RNAcentral lists this long non-coding RNA (174257 nucleotides) under Malus domestica (apple). RNAcentral describes it as "long non-coding RNA (MDOM_LNC007116)". The record is from RNAcentral. Lineage: Eukaryota; Viridiplantae; Streptophyta; Magnoliopsida; Rosales; Rosaceae.
CAUAAAGAUUAAAGGUUUUCAGACAUUUCAUAUGAAUGCAGCUUGGAAGACUCUUAAGUUCCUUGCAAUCUCUUAGGUUUAAAUGAAUCAACCCCGUGAGAUUAUUAAUUGACUCGGACAGUUCUUUAAUUUUGGACUUGGAUAAAUUAAGCUCUUGUAACUCCUCCAUACCUUCUGAAAUCUCUGGAAACAUCUCAAGGCUCACGCAGCCAAAAAGAUCAAGAGUUUUGAGAGAUUGCAUACGAAUUUUGCAGGGUAGAAUCUUAAGUUUUUCGCACCCUUUCAGAUCCAAUAAAACAAGUUUUGUAAGAUUCGAAAUAGAUGGGUGAACCUUAACUAACCCUCCACAACCAUGAAGAAUUAGCCUCUCAAGAUUUGGCACAUUUGUGAAGUCAGGGGUUUCCUUAAGGUAUGAACAAUAACUUAAAUUGAUGAAUUUCAACUUUUCCUGCGUCUGUUAAAACAUUCAGGAAAACAUGCAUUACUUAAUAAGACAUCUCACUCAAAGCCCAAACAUUUAAAAGAAACAAAUACAUGUAAAUGAUUGCACAUACCUGGGUUCCUUCCCAAAGUCGGUCAAUGUGGCUAUAUUGCAUGUCAAGUCCAACAAGAUUUUCGAAUUGAAAGUUGGAUGGCAAAGACUUGAGCGGGAAACAAGACCAGGAAAGAAACCUCAACUCACUAGAAACAAACUUUAAGGACCCAGUCAGGUGUUGUAUGCUGAAAGUACCGAUCUUGAGAAGUCUUAGUUUAGUCAUCCUAUCAAAAGCUUUAACAAUUAAGCAUCCCUCAUAUGAGUGCCCCAAAUCUAGGAUUAUGCUUUUAACUGUUUCUGUACCCUGUGCAAAUCAAAGGGAAGGAAAAAGCAGAGAACCUUAGUUUAGAUUAUGAAGUUAAUGGUUGUUUCUUAAGGAGUUGUUUGAUAAUAAUUUUGUUUUCACUUUUCACUUUUGUUUUGAUUAUUUAUUUAGAAAUCUGAAAAUUGAAAACAUAUAACUUGUUUGUAAUUGUUUUCAAUUUUCAAUUAUUAAAAAAAUGAAAAUUAAAAAUUAAAAAUGGAAACAAAAGUGGUUAUCAAACGAGCUUAAGAAAUUGAUUUUGGUCAAAAGUUGAAGCUUUCUACUAAACAUUGCAUAAGAAGAGAAAUUAUCACCGUAUUUUUAGUUAUCACAUGAAGAACAUCUUCAUAACUCCACAACCUACUUCGUUUCCCAGGCUCUUCGAUAGAUUCUUGCUGGACGAUUUUCCGACCCAUUUCCUCUAGUAAAUCAUGCAUCUCCAGUUCCCCCUUCCAUGAGACAGUUACUAGAGCUCGAUCGAUUAAAACUUUUAUUCCAAUAUCAGGAUAGGAACCACAGCUGUGCAGAACUUCGGUUGCAUAGUCUUUUCUCAUUCCUUUAAAGAAACAUGCAAUAUCUAGAAAGAUAUCCUUCUCCGUGUCAUCUAGUCCAUCGAAGCUUGUUUUAAGCACAUCAUGAAUUCCCUUUUGCGGGAUUUUCUUUAUUUUUUCUAACUCAUUUUCCCACUGGCGUACAUUUUUGUUAUCAAGAAAAGCUCCCAAGACUUUGAGUGCUAAAGGCAGACCUUGAGCAUAUUUUACAGCACGCCUCGAGAGAUCAUCAUAAUCUCUGUUGGGUUGGUUUUUUCUAAAGGCGUACCGCCUAAAGAGUUCCAGAGCUCCAUUAUCACUUAAAAUCUUGGGAUUAUAUAUCUCAUCAGCUAUGCUUAGUAAUUGCGAAUCUCUGGUUGUUAUAAUAAUUCUGCUUCCACCACCAAAGGAAUGUGGUUCUUUAAGUAAAGCUUCAAUUUGUUCUAAUUCUUCCACAUCAUCAACAACAAUAAGAACUUUUCUCCGACCUAGGCUAUUUAACACCACCUGGAAACCUUUAUUCGAAACGUCGGAACUCCCCACCUUGUUGUUCGAGAUACUCGAUAGAAGUUCUGCCUGCAUAUAUAGUUUGCCAUGCUUUAUGAAACCUUCCUUGAAAUUUUCAAGAAAGCAACAAGCUUUAAAUCCACCAGAGAUUUCAUCAUAAACAGCUCUAGCGAUGGUUGUUUUGCCUAAACCACCCAUACCCCAUAUUCCAACAAUGCGAACAUCAUUAGUUUCAACUCCAGGAGGAUACAAUAAUGAAUGCAUGUUAUGCAUAUGAGAGUCCAUUUCAACCAAGCCAUUAUCUUUGCUUGAUGAUGAUGAGAUGUGGAUCAAUUUCUUAAAAACAUCUUCUACAAUUUUCUCAAUAAGCUCUGCAUCAUCCCUGUCAAAUUUAAAAAACAAUAUAAUAACACCACCAAAUAAUACUUAAUGGGUCUUUUUCAUCUGUUAGUUUAAAAAAAAUAGAAAUUAAAACUAAAACUAAAAUCUAAACGUUAUAAAAAUCCCAAAAAUUAAUAGGAAACUAAAACAAAUUAGAAUUUACUCAUAUUUCGCGAAUCCCAGCCGGAUAAACUGGUGGCAAUUGUAAGAGCGGAUCUCCAGCUCUGAACCUCUUCCAUUUCAGCGUUAGAAUCACGAUCGUGCUGAGCAAAAGCUUCCUCGAAUUUUCUCUUGAGUUUACGAACGUCAGACGGAUCAACUUCAUAGAAAAUGGGGAGUACAAUCUGGUUAUUGGUAUCCUUGCAUUUCAAGAUUUGCACGAGUUCUUUCAAGCACCAAGUGGAAGAAGCAUAGUCUUGAGAGAAAACUACAAUCGAAAGCCUUGACUCUCGAAUCGCUGUCAGGAGCUCAGAAAGGUGGUCGCCUUUUCUGAGCUUCUCGGCAUCAAUGAAGGCGUUGAUUGGUUUCUUAACCAGAGCGUUGUAGAGAUGGCUGACGAAGCCCCUGCGAGUGUCUUCCCCUCUGAAAUUGAUGAACACAUCGUAUUUGCAACCAAGGCCAGAAGAAGAUGAAGAAGAAGAAGCAGCCAUUAUUAAUCGAUCGCACCUGGUCAGCGACGAUCGAGCAGCUAAGACUAAGAGAAUUGUAAGUACAGAGAUACUCAAUAGAUCUACAAAUUGGAUCACCGGAAAUUAGUCUGAUCGAUACCAAGUCAAUGAGUCAAUGCAAAAGUAAAAAGGGGAAAGGGAAAUUAUGCUUUAUGUUUUUUCACAUCUUCUUCGGGGAAAUUUCGGUGUGAAAGGAAUCUUAUCCUUUUGAUUUUUUAACCGAAGCAAAUGCGAAGAAAAGGGUCAAAGUGGUAAAUUGAAUAUACACUUGCCUAUCCAACAACCUCUUAAUUUAAUAUAUUUAAUUGAGAAAAGUAGUUUAGAGGAAGAGGUAUUCAUCAAUUCCCCAUAAACUUGUGACCAUUGGCCAAUUUUCCCCCUCAACUUUAAUUUUGGCCAAUUUCUUCCCUAAACUCUCAUAAUUAGUUAAUUUCCCCCAUCAACUUUAAUUUGGUCAAUUUCCCCCCUCAACUCUCAUAAUUAGUCAAUUUGCACCCUACUGUUAAUUUUUUAUUUAUUUUUCAUCUAUUCUUUUUUUUUUCUUUCAAUCUUUCUAAUAACUUCCAACAAAAUACUAAAAUUAAUAUAAACUCACCUGCAUAAUAUAGGGUAAAAUGUACAAAAACAUAAUACCAUUAGUAUGUGAUAUGGGUUGAUUAUAAGAAAAAGUUAUGAAUCGGGUUUAAAUCAUGUAGAAGAAGAAACAAUAAUCCUAAACUCAUGGAUCAGACCUAUUUCAAUAAAAUGGGUUAUUCUUAAUAAGGAGUCGAAAAUUAUGAAUUGACUAGCCAUUUUUGCACUAAACCUCGAUUCUCCGCAAUUUACUUGAACUUAGCUUUCACUUUUAUAAAGAAAAUUGUAUUCACAUACAAAAAUGUACACAUCAAUCCUUUUCGUUAUCAAUUUUGUAUAGUAAAAAAUCAAAUAAAAUUACUCCAUACUAAUUUAUUAUGACUAAUAAUACUAUUUAUGAUAAAUUGUAAAAUUCUAAAUUUUAAUCUAUUUGUAAUAGGAUAAAGACAUAGGAAAAUGAUUAACAUACAUCUUAUUUAGUUUCUUACACACACUUGUUUAAUUAUGAUCAAAUUAAAAAAUUAACAGUAGGGUGCAAAUUGACUAAUUAUAAGAGUUGAGGGGGGAAAUUGGCCAAAUUAAAGUUGAGGGGGGAAAUUGACUAAUUAUGAGAGUUGAGGGGGGAAAUUGGCCAAAAUUAAAGUUGAGGGGGGAAUUGGCCAAUAGUCACAAGUUCAUGGGGGAAAUUGAUGAAUACCUCUUAGAGGAAUGAUGGUAUCUCUUUUUCUUCUCACUCAAUCUUCCAGCAUGCGAUUUAAUCAUGAUUAAAGCCAAGCUUAAUAAUAGGUCGUAUUAUUUAGGUCGUUUUGGAUUAUAAGUUUUUGUUGUGAACUUGUGAUACGAUAGUUAGAAAAUUAAAAAAAUUAUAAUUUAAAUAUAUGUGGUGAAAUCUGUUAAGAUUUAGAUUCAAAAUUGAAAAUUUCAUUAACUUCAUUAAUUAUUAGCACACGAAGCUUACAAAUGAAAUAAAAAUAAUAAAAUUAGUCUCACAUGUAAUCUCUAUGCGCUAACAAUUAAUAGAGAGAUUCAUUUUAACCUAAAAUGUGUGACUUACGUACUAAUAAUUAACAAAAUAUUGACAAAAUUUUCAAUUUUAAGCAUAAAUCUUAAUAAACUUCAUCUCAUAAACUUAAAUCCUAAUUCAACAAUCUUCUCAUUACCUUACCACUGCAAACUACCUUGCCACUACAAAAAUUAUUAAUCAAAUUAAACUUAUUAUUUACUUACAAAUACGUAACUCAAUCACCGAAAGCUAUCUCCGUUGCUAUCUCCGUUUCUUUGCUGAGUGGACAGCUGUCUCUUUGUCUUCUUUUGGCAGAUAGCUACUAGACUCCUAGUGGCCGGCCUAUUUUCCACAGCUGGUUAUAGGACUCAGUUGCUAUUCAAGAAGUGUUAUGUUGUAAUUCAAUAUUGAUGGAAAUCCAACAGAAUCUUCUUCGAAUUGUUGUGAGCAUUUUGGGAUAUUUUUUAAUCAUAUUCAUUUAUCGUUGUGGGAUCAAUUUUAUUAAAUAUUAUUUAUGUUUAAUUUUAAAUAAAUAAAUUUAAAAUAAAUUUUUAUCGCACGAUAUACUAUGAACGAAUACGAUUCAUAGAUCUCCAAUAUCUUCACAAGAAGAAUCCAAAAGGAUCCGGAUUCAAUGGAAAUAAGCUAAUUUUGAAUCAAAUAACAUUACUUUAUUUUGUAAGUAAAUUAAUUUUAAAUCAAACAACAUUCAUUUAUUAUGUAGCUAAUUAAUUUUGUAUGUGUCAUCAUAUAUAUUAGGCACAUUUUAUUAUAGGUGAUUUUGUGGUAUUCAUUUUCAUUUGUAAGUAAGAGGUCUUAAGUUCGAUUUUCAUCAAAAACGAAUUUAAACUAUAUUAUUGCUAGUCCAUUAUGAGGCCUAACCCACCCUCCUCCCCCUUAGUGUAGAUAGAUCGUUUGUUCAAAAAAAUAUAUAAUCAAAAUAGAAUGUGAAGCGAAACAAUAGAUCAACAUUAUUUAUGUUAAUUAUAAAUAGGUCAACCAUGUAUGUGAUACUUAAAUCAUUUAAAAUAAAAUAAAAAUUACAAAAUCUGCCAUUACAGCUGGCACACACUUUAAUUAACACUUUCUUUCUCAUAAUUUUUAUAUUUGGAAUAAGUCAUACGAAUCAAAUACUACAAUGUAUUAUCUGUUUUUUAAUUCUAUUUUUUACAUUUGGAUUCAGACACUGCGUUGUAGUGUCCAUUUACUGAUUUUGUUUUUUCCAUCACUCACAUGCCUCCUAUAUGUUCCUUUGUACAUUUGGAUUUAGACAAUGCAAUGCAGUGUCUGUUUCUUGGUUCUGGUUUUCUCUUUUGGAUUCAAACGCUGCAUUGCAAUGUAUGUUUCCUAGUCCUAUUUCUUUCAUCAUCCACACGUCUCCUACACUUCACACUUUCAUGCGACUCCUGAUUUUUACAUUUAGAUUCAGACAUUGUAAUGCAAUGUUCAUUUCCUACCUUUGAUUUUUACAUUUAAAUCUAGGGUUAAACUCUGUUUACUACCCUAAUGUUUCGUGGUUUUCUACAUUUAGUACAUCAAAUUUUUUUCAUCCCAGAGUCAUACCUAAAGUGUUAAUUUUGGGACAGUCUCAUACAUCCAUUAGUCAAACUGUUAGUUCUCACGUUAAGUGAUGAUGUGGCGCCCAUGUGGACAAUGACUGGGCCCCACGUGUCAUUAAAAAAUAUUAAAAUAAUUAAUUAUGUAACACCCGCCCCCACUUAUAAAAUUAUAUGUGUGUAAUAUUCCCUAAAUAUUCUGAAUCUAUCAAUUUUACCCUUUUUGGACUACCCUAUCAGGAUCUAAACAUUGGAUCCUUCUUUCUUUUCAAACUGCCACGUGGCAGCUCCCUAGCAAUUUCCCUGUCUUCUCUCUCUGUCCCCCCCCCGUGACUCCUUCUUUCUCUUCUUCUUUUUCUGUUUUCUUUUCUUUCUUCUGUCUGUCUCUCUGUCCCUCCCGACUCUAUCUCUUUCUCUCGUCUCUCUCUCAUAGCUCCCUCAUCUCUCUUCUCUGCAGCAACCCGCACGCACGCACCCAUCUCCCCCGCGCGAAGAAGACCCAUCUCCUUCUUCUCUCUCCCUCUGUCCCGUGCUGCGAGCCCAGAAACCGGAGAGGAACUCCGGCGAAACCUUUAUUUUCCCGGUUGGGACGAAUCGAAGCCGGGUGUAAGCACACCCAACUCCGGCGAUCCCGAGGGUGUCGGGGCUUUUUCCGGCCAUCUCCGAUCGUUCCACGACGAAAGGAAGGUGCAAUUAUUAACGGUGAUUCUGUUAUACCUUCUUGGUAUAGCUUUGCACCGUUGGUGUACGGUGAGUGGACCCCUUCAAAAUCAUGUUUUAACAAUAGAAAUGCAUACAUGAAAAGCAUGAUUUAAUACUUAUGUUUUACGAAGUACUUUAUGAGAUAUAUGCUUACUGAGGCUAGAUUGAAUUAUUACUAUUUUUCCUAUAACCCAUGUUCUUAUAGAAUAUCCGAUGGAUGACGAUAUGAUAUUAGAACAUGUUUAGAACACCUCUUUGUAGUAUAGAUGAUGGAUGACUUUAUACUACGAAGUUGUUUUUCAAUAUGUUAUGCUCAAUGGUUUUGUACUUACCUAGUGGUCCUUUCCGCUACGGGACGUAGGGAUAGAUUCCGGUCCGUCCCGAGCGACGGUUUGGUGUUGGCAUAGGGCCUGGAGUGUGUUUCCUCUGGCUAUUUAGCACAGGGACGGGGAGCCGGCAUGGGGUCUGUAGUGUAUUUUCCUCUGACUGUCUGCUCAGAGACGGGGAGCUGGCAUGGGGCCUGUAGAGUAUCGGACAAUUCACUAGUGUUUAUUACUUAUACAAGUUAUGAAUUUGAGAUAUUGCACGGCAUGCUAGGUUUCGGAAAAUCUAUUUUGAUCAUGAUAUAUGUGUUUUCAUUAAACCUGGGGGUUAGUAUGUUGAUAACUGUUUUAUUAUAUUUAUAUCAAACUGGUCCACUCAUGUUUGUUUUGCGCCCCCUUCAGGACCUACGAACGAGGAUUACGAUAUAAGCUACGAGGCUUUUCCCUAUCAGUGAUCCAGUGCUAUACUUCUUCUGCUUCGAUAUCUUUUGUAAUAUAGCACAUCUCUAUUUUAAAUUCUGUUUGUACUCUGUAAUAGAUGUAUGCUUUGACAUUAUGCGUGGAUCCUAAUGUUGUAAUUAGAAGUUGAAUUUGUAGUAUUAUUGUGGCUAGUCUUGCUGCCUGUUUUAGCUUAUUUGUGAGUUUUUACUUAAAUUAAUGGCUUUCGUCACCCUUUGGGUGUCGGCCAGCACGUGAUAAUCCCGAUGUCACGAGGACAUCGGGAUCGGGGCGUGUCAGAUUGGUAUCAGAGCAUGAUUCAUUCAGAGCAUACUUAGGAUUCUUUUCCACCAUUUGGUAAUUAUAAUUCCCCUUAUAUCCUUAAUUUUCUGUUGUUCUAAAUCUUUCUUGUUUCUUAUCAGAAUUAUGGAUCCCGCUGGUGGGCAUGUACCUCGUCGAGCUCGUUUUGGUAUAGGGGGAGGACUUGAGCAAUUGGCUAAUGUUUUGCGAACUGCCCUUACUGGUAGAUCAUCGAAUCGCACCUAUAUUGAGAUUGCUACCAGUCAUGGUAUUCCAGAGCUUAAGGUAGUGGGAGCCUGUCCGGAGGCUGAGGAAUGGUUAGAGCAGGUGGAAGAUACUCUGGAGGGUAUGAGAUGUCCACCAGGUGAGUGGGCGGAGACUGCUGGGUUUUUUCUUAAGGGUCCUGCAAAGAUUUGGUGGAAAGGAGUGAAGCAUUCUCGUCCACGAGGCACUUCGAUGACUUGGGUGGCAUUCCGGAAAGCUUUCAGUGCACAUUUUCUGAGUCCCAGUUAUCAGUUGAGGAUGAGACAACAAUUUCUGGAGUUUCGUCAAGGCGAUCUGAGUAUCACAGAGAUGGAUAAUACUUUUCGACGCCUGUCGAGACACCAUCCGGUGACUUAUGAUAACCCGAGUGAGAAGAUGGUUCAGUUGCUGGUUUGUUUGAACCCUGAUUAUCGUGAACGAGUGGCAGCUAUAAGGCACAGAAGUUAUGAGGAAAUGAUUGAGACUUGUUUGAGGAUUGAACAAUCUAGGUGGGAGACUCAGCACCAGGAGGAGCAGGCGCAGUAUCAGGAACCACCCAGAUAUCAGGAACAACCUCGGAACCAGAACCAGAGAGGUCAUGGUUUUAGAUCUCGGAGUGUGAGGAAAUCUGGUAGCUCUUCUAACUUUGUUGGCCCUAGACACUCUCAUUCCUUCAAACGUCAGGGUCAAGGUUCAGGUUCUUCCAGCGAGGGUUCGGGUAAUGAAUCAGGGAGGCGAUAUUUCAGUCAUUUUCGAUCGCAGGUUACGUGCCACAGGUGUGGAGGCAUGGGACAUAUUGCCAGAUUUUGCCCUUCAGGACAGCCUGCUGAGAGUUAUGCAUCGGUGCCGAGUUAUGGUGGAGGGAGUAAUCCGAGUUCUAGCUAUGGAGGUAAUUACACUCAGAGUUAUGGUGGAAGUGGAAGUGGAAGUCAGAAUACCCAAUUUUCCACUCAGAGACAGCCGCAACAGUUUGGUGCAGCUUCGAGUAGCCGCUCUCAGGGGAAUCGAGCAGGCCGUAAUAAUCAAGGUUUCAGAGCUCGUGGUAACCGUAACAGUGGUGGAGGACGUCAGUUUCAUGGACGUAUCAACGCCAUGACACAGCAGGAGGCUGAUCAGGAUCCUCAAGUCAUUACCGGUAUGUUACUUAUUUGUGGUAACUGGGCGAGGGUUCUAAUCGAUCCGAGUGCUACUUUUUCUUUUGUGUCUUCAUCUUUUGCACCGAAUUUAAAUGCACCACCUACACCUCUUGGUUAUGAUAUGCUUGUGCAAAUGCCGCAAGGGGAUCUGUUUUGUGCUCAGUGGGAGUAUAAAAGUUGCCCAGUGGUAGUGGAAGGGGAAAUGAUGGAGGCUAAUCUGGUCCCUUUUCAUUUGGCGGAGUUCGAUGUGAUUUUGGGGAUGGAUUGGCUAUCCAGGCACCGGGCCUAUGUCGCAUGUUGGGAGAAAUCUGUGACGUUCAAUCGACCUGGACGACCGUCAAUCACAUUUCAGGGUGAGCGACGAAUCCUUCCUAGUAGUAUUAUUUCCGCUAUUCAGGCUACUAGAUUGUUGAGUAGGGGAUGUGUGGGAUUCUUAGCUCAUGUAGUAACGAGGGAUAAAUCUUCGUUACGUCCUAAGGAUGUGCCAGUGGUGAAGCAUUACACCGAUGUUUUCCCGGAGGAUUUACCAGGGUUACCGCCUGCGAGGGAAAUUGAAUUUACCAUCGAUUUACUUCCAGGAACAGACCCUAUCUCUUUAGCACCUUAUCGCAUGGCACCGGCGGAGUUGAGGGAAUUGAAGGUUCAACUUCAGGAAUUGGUGGAUAAAGGUUACAUCCAACCCAGUAUGUCUCCCUGGGGUGCUCCUGUUUUAUUUGUUAAAAAGAAGGAUGGAUCGAUGAGACUUUGCAUCGACUAUCGGCAGUUAAACCGGGUGACGGUGAAGAAUCGAUAUCCUUUGCCUCGGAUCGACGAUCUGUUCGACCAGCUGAAGGGUGCUCAGAUAUUCUCUAAGAUAGAUCUUCGCUCAGGUUAUCACCAGUUGUUAAUUCGGGAGGGAGAUGUACCGAAGACUGCUUUCCGCACUAGGUAUGGACACUUUGAAUUUCGUGUCAUGCCUUUCGGACUGACGAAUGCACCUGCAGCAUUCAUGGAUUUGAUGAACAGAGUUUUCAGACCGUAUUUGGAUCGGUUUGUGAUUGUGUUCAUUGAUGAUAUUCUGAUCUUUUCCAAGAGUGUCAGCGAGCACAAGAAGCAUUUGAGGUUGGUGUUGGAAAGGUUGAGCAGUGAGCAGUUGUAUGCUAAGUUUAGCAAGUGUCAGUUCUGGCUAACCCAAAUUAGCUUUCUCGGUCAUGUAGUAUCUGCUGAGGGGAUUAGUGUGGAUCCUCAGAAGGUGUCAGCAAUAACUACGUGGGAGCAACCGAGGAAUGUUACUGAAGUGAGGAGUUUUCUAGGUCUGGCUGGCUAUUACCGAAGAUUUGUUAAAGGUUUCUCAGCCAUUGCCUUACCUCUGAAUAAGUUGACUCGAAAGGAAGUGGAGUUUAAGUGGGAUGAAGAUUGUGAGCGGAGUUUUCAGGAACUGAAGCGAUGUCUUACUCAAGCUCCCGUUCUUACUCUUCCAGACGAUAGCGGUGAGUUUGAUAUCUACACGGAUGCAUCAUUAUCAGGUUUGGGUUGUGUACUGAUGCAGCAUGAUAAAGUCAUUGAUUAUGCUUCCAGACAGCUCAAAAUUCACGAGAGAAACUAUCCCACUCAUGAUUUGGAACUUGGUGCAGUAGUGUUUGCUUUGAAGAUCUGGAGACAUUACUUGUACGGUGAGAAGUGUCGUAUCUUUACUGAUCAUAAGAGCCUCAAGUAUAUCUUUACUCAGAGGGAUUUGAAUUUGAGGCAGAGAAGAUGGAUGGAACUUAUCACUGAUUAUAACUGCACGAUCGAGUAUCAUCCCGGACAUGCCAAUGUAGUGGCAGAUGCACUUAGUCGGAAAUAUCAUGGAUAGCUUGCAUCUCUCCAAGCUAUUCAUGUUCCACUACUAUUUUCUCUUCGAGAAACAGGCUUGUCGGUGAGACCGGGUGAGCAAUGAGCGUGGUUGGCAAAUUUCCAAGUUAGACCUGUUUUGGUGGAUAUAGUCAUAGAAGCUCAGGAGCUUGAUCAGGAGAGUGCCAACAUUAAGGUCUCGGUGGAAAAAGGAGAAGAGAAGCAUUUUAUCAUCCGAAGUGAUGGAGCCUUGAUGUGGGAAAACAGAUUGUAUGUUCCUCAUGAUAACGAAGCAGUGAAAAGAGCAAUUCUGGAUGAAGCACAUUUGUCAGCUUAUGCCAUGCAUCCGGGAAGUACUAAACUGUAUCGCACUAUCCGUCUGUUCUAUUAUUGGUUGGGAAUGAAGCGGGAUGUGGCGGAUUAUGUGAGUAGAUGCAUCAUUUGUCAACAAGUAAAGGCAGAGAGGCAAAGACCUGGAGGAUUGAUGCAGAAUCUUCCGAUACCAGCAUGGAAAUGGGAAGACAUCACCAUGGAUUUUGUGUAUGGUCUGCCGAGGACGCGGUCGAGAUUGGACGGCAUAUGGGUAAUUGUUGAUCGACUGACUAAGACCGCUCAUUUCUUACCUGUUCGACAGACCUAUUCAAUGGAGAAAUUAUCGAAGUUGUUCAUCGAUAAUAUUGUUAGACUUCAUGGUGUACCUGUCUCUAUUGUUUCAGACAGAGAUCCCAGAUUUACUUCCAAAUUUUGGAAAGCUUUUAAUACUGCCAUGGGUACUCAGUUGCUGUUUAGUACUGCUUAUCAUCCACAGACUGACGGUCAGUCCGAGAGGACAAUACAAACAUUGGAGGACAUGUUGAGAGUGUCUGUUCUUCAGUGGAAGGGUAGUUGGGAUAACUAUCUGCCGUUGGUUGAAUUUGCAUACAACAACAGCUACCAUUCGAGUAUUGGUGUGGCACCUUAUGAAGCCUUGUAUGGGAGAGUGUGUCGAACGCCGUUGUGUUGGGCAGAGGUCGGCGAGCGAGUAUUGUUGGGACCGGAGAUUGUAGACACUACCAAUGAGAACAUCCAGCUGAUAAAGAGAAAUCUCAAGGCAGCUCAAGACCGACAGAAAAGCAUAGCGGACAAACAUUCCAAAGAUCGUGAGUACAAGAUUGGUGACUUUGUAUUCUUGAAGUUGUCUCCCUGGAAGGGUGUGGUUCGUUUUGGUAAACGAGGAAAGUUGAGUCCUCGAUAUGUUGGUCCUUAUCAGAUUACGGAGAGAAUUGGUGCAGUUGCCUAUAGAUUGGAGUUGCCACCGGAGUUGUCUCAGAUUCACAAUGUUUUCCAUAUUUCUAUGCUUCGGAAAUAUGUAUCAGAUCCCUCUCAUGUUAUUCAGCUAGAGCCGCUGGAAGUAAGUCCGGAUGUUAGUUAUGUUGAAGAACCAGUGGCUAUUCUUGACCAGCAGAAUAAAGUGUUGAGGAACAAGGUCAUUCCGUUGGUGAAAGUGUUGUGGAGGAACCACGCUACUGAAGAAGCGACGUGGGAAACGGAAGACCUGAUGAGGAGUCAGUAUCCGUAUUUAUUUGCUUGAAGUUGUAAUUUCGGGGACGAAAUUUUUAUAAGGGGGGUAGAUUGUAACACCCGCCCCCACUUAUAAAAUUAUAUGUGUGUAAUAUUCCCUAAAUAUUCUGAAUCUAUCAAUUUUACCCUUUUUGGACUACCCUAUCAGGAUCUAAACAUUGGAUCAUUCUUUCUUUUCAAACUGCCACGUGGCAGCUCCCUAGCAAUUUCCCUGUCUUCUCUCUUUGUCCCCCCCCCCGUGACUCCUUCUUUCUCUUCUUCUUUUUCUGUUUUCUUUUCUUUCUUCUGUCUGUCUCUCUGUCCCUCCCGACUCUAUCUCUUUCUCUCGUCUCUCUCUCAUAGCUCCCUCAUCUCUCUUCUCUGCAGCAACCCGCACGCACGCACCCGUCUCCCCCGCGCGAAGAAAACCCAUCUCCUUCUUCUCUCUCCCUCUGUCCCGUGCUGCGAGCCCGGAAACCGGAGAGGAACUCCGGCGAAACCUUUAUUUUCCCGGUUGGGACGAAUCGAAGCCGGGUGUAAGCACACCCAACUCCGGCGAUCCCGAGGGUGUCGGGGCUUUUUCCGGCCAUCUCCGAUCGUUCCACGACGAAAGGAAGGUGCAAUUAUUAACGGUGAUUCUGUUAUACCUUCUUGGUAUAGCUUUGCACCGUUGGUGUACGGUGAGUGGACCCCUUCAAAAUCAUGUUUAACAAUAGAAAUGCAUACAUGAAAAGCAUGAUUUAAUACUUAUGUUUUACGAAGUACUUUAUGAGAUAUAUGCUUACUGAGGCUAGAUUGAAUUAUUACUAUUUUUCCUAUAACCCAUGUUCUUAUAGAAUAUCCGAUGGAUGACGAUAUGAUAUUAGAACAUGUUUAGAACACCUCUUUGUAGUAUAGAUGAUGGAUGACUUUAUACUACGAAGUUGUUUUUCAAUAUGUUAUGCUCAAUGGUUUUGUACUUACCUAGUGGUCCUUUCCGCUACGGGACGUAGGGAUAGAUUCCGGUCCGUCCCGAGCGACGGUUUGGUGUUGGCAUAGGGCCUGGAGUGUGUUUCCUCUGGCUAUUUAGCACAGGGACGGGGAGCCGGCAUGGGGCCUGUAGUGUAUUUUCCUCUGACUGUCUGCUCAGAGACGGGGAGCUGGCAUGGGGCAUGUAGAGUAUCGGACAAUUCACUAAUGUUUAUUACUUAUACAAGUUAUGAAUUUGAGAUAUUGCACGGCAUGCUAGGUUUCGGAAAAUCUAUUUUGAUCAUGAUAUAUGUGUUUUCAUUAAACCUGGGGGUUAGUAUGUUGAUAACUGUUUUAUUAUAUUUAUAUCAAACUGGUCCACUCAUGUUUGUUUUGCGCCCCCUUCAGGACCUACGAACGAGGAUUACGAUAUAAGCUACGAGGCUUUUCCCUAUCAGUGAUCCAGUGCUAUACUUCUUCUGCUUCGAUAUCUUUUGUAAUAUAGCACAUCUCUAUUUUAAAUUCUGUUUGUACUCUGUAAUAGAUGUAUGCUCUGACAUUAUGCGUGGAUCCUAAUGUUGUAAUUAGAAGUUGAAUUUGUAGUAUUAUUGUGGCUAGUCUUGCUGCCUGUUUUAGCUUAUUUGUGAGUUUUUACUUAAAUUAAUGGCUUUCGUCACCCUUUGGGUGUCGGCCAGCACGUGAUCAUCCCGAUGUCACGAGGACAUCGGGAUCGGGGCGUGUCAAAUUAAAUAAAAGUUAUAAAAAAAAAACCGAAUCUGCAACCCAGAAGAAGAACCUUCUGGGUACGUGUUUGCAGUUGCGGGGCGAAUUCUAGAUCUUAAUUGGAUUAUUAGUUUCUGUUGUAAUAUGGUAGUUAGAAGAUUAAAAAAAACUAUGAUUUAUGCUUCAUAUGCUAACAAUUAACAGAUAAUUAAUGAAAUUUUUAAUUUUAAAUCUAAAUCCUAACAUAUUUUACAAUAGAAGCUUAAAUCUUAAUUUACUCAAUCACAUGGAUUAUUUUAUAACUACCUUACUAUUAAUUCAAUUAAACCUAUUAUUUCUACGAAAACUAACAAAAAUUUCAAAAAAAACUUUAGUUUUAAUGAAAAAAGAAAAAUGAAGAUUUGGUAAAUAAUACCAAAAAAAAAAUAAAAAUAUAAAUUUUCAUUAAAAAUGAACAGCAUCAAAAGUGUUUUAUUAAUACUCCAAUUAUUUAUUUACAAAUACGUGACUAAAUGAAAGGGAGCACUCAAAAUGAUGAAAAGCAGGAGCACCGAAGGCUAUCUCCGUUUCUUUGUUGAGUGGACAGCUGUCUCUUCGUCUUCUUUUGGCAGAUAGCUCCUAGUGGCCAGCCUAUAUUCCACAGCUGGUUAUAGGAUUCGGUUGCUAUAUAAGAAGUGUUUUGUUGUAAUUCAAUAUCGAUAGAAAUCCAAUAGGAUCUUUUUCAAAAUUUUGUGCGGAUUUUGGUAUGUUCGUAAAUCGUAUUUGUUCAUAUUAUACGCUCAUUUUUCAUGGAAUAUUAUUUUUGUUUAAUUUUAAAUAAAAUAAUUUAAAAUAAUUUUUUAUUGUAACAUGUACAAUGAACGGAUAUGAAUUGAUUCACAGAUCUUCAAAAUCCUUACAAAGAAAAUCCAAAAAUAAUCCGAAUUCAAUGGAGAUAAGUUAAUUUUGAAUCAAAUAACAUUAGGAAAAAAAAUUAACAUUAGACGGUUUUAAAUAAUUUAUUGUAUAUUUUUAGGGAAUUGUUAUUAGCACUUUAAAAAUCUCAUUUUACACUCCAAACUUUUUAUAUUAGAAAAGAAAAAUACACUUAUGAGGAAUGUAGAAUAAGAUUUUUGAAUUAACCAUGCAAAAAUGUAAUGUUAAAGCAUCAUGUCAUACAGACCUCUUCAAGGUACCAGAAAUUUUUGCACUAAAGAUGUCACAAGCAGCUGAUAUGAAGCUGCAUUUUCUGUGAGUUGAAAUUUUGUCAAUAUAAUCGAUCACCUGAAGAGAGAGAGAGAGAGAAAGACAGUGAUGUCCAGAGAUGUGAGCCUAAAUGCUGAGUGUGUAAAAAAAGAAGAUUAAAUGGAUAGCAAGAAUAUACAACUUUAAUGCUGAAAAGAACAUUGAAUAUGAUGCUCAUUCAUCAUUGCCAUUGAACGUGUACCUUCUUCUUUUCCUCUUUCUCAAAAGCAAGUAGAGCCUUGAAGACUUGCCUAUAUGAUCCAUCAUCACAACCAGGCAAAGUUGUUUUAAUCAUAGCAACAAUGGCUCUAACUAACUACCUGCCAUAAGAAACAUGCUACAUCAACAAGAUCACAGAGUGUACCAGAAACCGUAAUGUAGCAAAAUCUUAGAUAAAAUAGCUGGCCAAAAGGGAAUGGAAAAGCAAGCACAAAAAACAAUGAAAAGGACCAGUGAUGCCAAAAUUCUGGUGGAAAAGGUGAAAAGCUUAUGUCUAUUACAGUUCUUGUAUGCAUUCUUUAUAACUUAAGUUCUACGUAGCAAAAACCACCUUAUGCACAACAAUAUUGGAAAAAUUAGAUACAUACAACUGAGAAGAUAGGUUUUCAUAAUCUGGACAAGUGCUAACUACCUUCUUCCUAUAAACUGCCACUCCAUGAACAUUAAAUGGUAUUUUCCUUUCACGCAAGGCUGUCUGGAAGACUUUUCCUGAUACCUGUAGAAUAAAUUACAAAAGAAAAUGUGACCAAAAUGUCUUAUAUGAUUCACCUCAUUCACAUUAGCACUAAGGCAAGUAAGCUUGACCUGCCUCCGGUAAAGGAUUGCUAUAUUUCCAUAGGAGCACCCUGCUUCUGACCGUUUAGAUGCAGUCUCCAGGAUCUUGUCGACAACAAAGGCGCAUUGUGCAUCCUCAUUGUGACUUUCCUUGAUAAUUACCUACAUUUUGCCAGUAAAACCAGUGUCACUAACUAAAAGGACUGAAAAAUGACAUCAAAUUGUACUUGUUGGAGCAAGGAAAGAUUAAGUACCUUAGACCCAGAAGAAUUGUCCGUGUCAACAUUCUUUAGUUGGCAUCACUUCUUAUUGUUUUUUAUAACAGAAGAUGCAGCUUCCACACAAUAUAGCGUGUGGACCGAAAGUUCUUAUUAAGCCUAAUCUGAACCAUAAAGUUAUGUCAAAUCCCACAGAACCCCAUAAAAUAAAACUUACUUUCCUGUAAUUGUACAAUAUAUUUGUUCUAUACUAUAUAUAACGAAAAAAGACACCGUGAAUGACAUAAGAUAACAUAGCAGUCAAGUGCGAAGCGAACCUCUUUGUAAUUUGAAAAAUCUUUACGAAAAGAAUCAAAUCCAGAAAUGUCCGCCCCAUUGAAACUGAAAAUGGACUGCAGCAGGAUAUAUGUUAUUUGAUUUAGAACAGAUAAGGGCUGGAUUAGAAUGAGCUGAGAGAGGGAGAGAGGGAGAGACGGAGCAAUAACAUUGGAUUUCCAUAAUAAAUCAACAACAUGCCUGAUCAUCAUCACCAACAAUGGUUAUGUGGUUAUGAGAGGCGAGAAUCCGCAAAAGUCUAUAUUGCAUAGCACUUGUGUCUUGAAACUCGUCUAUUACAAUAGCUUUCCAUGACUCCUGGCACUCCUUCAACACUAAUUAAGAGAACACCAUGUAUCAACAUUUAGCAUUACUUGUAAAACUAGAUAAAUCAAUGAAAUAUACUUAGAUGAUAGAGACCUUCAGGAAAAUCACUUAGCAGCUUCACAGAGCAGCUAAUUAAGUCGUGGUAGUCCAAAGCGUUGCACGAUUUCAAGAUAUCAUUGUAAUUCCUAAGAAUUUCACCCUGAUUCAGAUUGAGAGCUAAAACUCAUAAGCAAUAGUUUCAAAGAACUGAAAUGAUAUCUGAAAUUCUAGUUCUGAGCGUACUCCUGUCACAUCACCCAUUCUUUGGCAUUCAGCGGGAGUUCUUUCCAGAAGCUUUUGCCUGAAACAUAAAUAAAUUUAUUGCCUAAUGCCACAUAUUGUAAGACACACCAUUGUAUUGGUCACUCUAGCUAAGCACAAUGAGCUUCAGUGGCAUACGGCGGUCACACAACACGCCGGAUGCACUCUUCCACUUCAUCCAUCCAGCUUGUAUUCUAUGGUUGAGAUCUCCAUCUAAUUCUCCGUUCUUUUGCAAAAUAGAUCCUAGGUAACGAAAACGGUCGCUCUUUGAUAUUUCUUGAUCUCCGAUCCUCACCCCUAAAUCGUUUUGGCCUCCAUUUGCACUGAACUUGCACUCCAUAUAUUCUGUCUUUGAUCGGCUUAGGCGAAAACCUUUAGAUUCCAACACUUCUCUCCAAAGGUUAAGCUUUGCAUUUACCCCUUCCUGAGUUUCAUCUAUCAACACUAUAUCGUCUGCGAAAAGCAUACACCAAGGAAUAUCACCUUGAAUAUGUCCUGUUAACUCAUCCAUUACCAACGCAAAAAAGGUAAGGACUUAAGGAUGAGCCUUGAUGUAAUCCUACAGUUAUGGGAAAGCUUUCGGUUUGUCCUUCAUGAGUUCUUACGGCAGUCUUUGCUCCUUCAUACAUAUCUUGUAUAGCUUGGAUAUAUGCUACUCGUACUCCUUUCUUCUCUAAAAUCCUCCAAAGAAUGUCUCUUGGGACCCUAUCAUACGCUUUUUCCAAAUCUAUAAAGACCAUGUGUAAAUCCUUUUUCCCAUCUCUAUAUCUUUCCAUCAAUCUUCGUAAGAGAUAGAUUGCCUCCAUGGUUGAGCGCCCUGGCAUGAACCCGAAUUGGUUGUCCGAAACCCGUCUCUUGCCUCAAUCUAUGCUCAAUGACUCUCUCCCAGAGCUUCAUUGUAUGACUCAUUAGCUUAAUACCACUAUAGUUCAUGCAAUUUUGUACAUCGCCCUUAUUCUUGUAGAUAGGCACCAAAGUGCUAAUUCGCCACUCAUUCGGCAUCUUCUUCGUUUUCAAAAUCCUAUUGAAAAGGUCAGUGAGCCAUGUUAUACCUGUCUCUCCCAAAACUUUCCACACUUCGAUUGGUAUAUUGUCUGGGCCUACUGCUUUUCUAUGUUUCAUCUUCUUCAAAGCUACAACCACUUAUUCCUUCCGGAUUCCACGAUAAAAAAAGUAGUUUCUACACUCUUCUGAGUUACUCAACUCCCCUAAAGAAGCACUCAUUUCAUGUCCUUCAUUGAAAAGAUUAUGAAAAUAACCUUUCCAUCUGUCUUUAACCGCGUUCUCUGUAGCAAGAACCUUUCCAUCCUCAUCCUUAAUGCACCUCACUUGGUUUAGGUCCCUUGUCUUCUUUUCCCUUACUCUAGCUAGUUUAUAGAUAUCCAACUCUCCUUCUUUGGUAUCUAGUCGCUUAUACAUAUCGUCAUAAGCCGCUAACUUAGCUUCUCUCACAGCUUUCUUCGCCUCUUGCUUCGCAUUUCUAUACCUUUCACCAUUUUCAUCGGUCCUAUCCUUGUAUAAGGUUUUACAACAUUCCUUCUUAGCCUUCACCUUUGCUUGUACCUCCUCAUUCCACCACCAAGAUUCCUUUUGGUGUGGGGCAAAGCCCUUGGACUCUCCUAAUACCUCUUUUGCUACUUUUCGGAUACAACUAGCCAUGGAAUCCCACAUUUGAUUAACUUCCCCCUCUCUAUCCCACACACACUGGGUGAUUACUUUCUCUUUGAAAAUGGCUUAUUUUUCUUCUUUUAGAUUCCACCAUCUAGUCCUUGGGCACUUCCAAGUCUUGUUCUUUUUUCUCACUCUUUUGAUAUGUACAUCCAUCACCAACAAGCGAUGUUGAUUAGCCACGCUCUCUCCUGGUAUAACUUUGCAAUCUUUACAAGUUAUACGAUCCCCUUUCCUCAUUAGAAGAAAAUAUAUUUGUGUUUUUGACGACCCACUCUUGUAGGUGAUCACAUGUUCUUCUCUCUUCUUAAAGAAGGUGUUGGCUAAGAAGAGAUCAUAUGCCAUUGCAAAAUCCAAGAUAGCUUCCCCAUCCUCGUUUCUCUCCCCAAAACCAUGGCCACCAUGAAAACCUCCAUAGUUGCCUGUCUCCCUGCCCACGUGUCCAUUUAAAUCUCCUCCUAUAAAUAACUUCUCCGUCUGAGCAAUUCCUUGCACCAAGUCUCCAAGGUCUUCCCAAAAUUUCUCCUUCGAACUCGUAUCCAACCCUACUUGAGGUGCGUACGCACUAAUCACAUUGAUAAGUUAUUGUCCUAUUACAAUCUUGAUUGCCAUGAUUCUAUCUCCUACCCUCUUGACAUCUACAACAUCUUGUGUCAAGGUCUUGUCCACGAUGAUGCCAACACCGUUUCUCGUUCUAUUUGUGCCCGAAUACCAUAGUUUAAACCCUGAGUUUCUAGAUAUAUAUAUAUAUAUAUAUAUAUAUCAAAUGGCCCCUAAAUGCUAUUAAAAAUCUCAAAAAUUAACAGGAAACUAAAACAAAUUAGAAUUUAUUCAUGGUUUCGCAAUUCCCAGCCGGGUAAACUGGUGGCCGUUGUAAGAGAGGGCCUCCAGCCGGAUAAACAUUUUCGAGUUAUAUGAUAUUUGUAUAGCAAAAAUACUUUAAUAGCAAGUGCGCGUGAGUGAAGAAAUUGAACUUACUUAUAUUCUUUCGAAUCCCAACCGGAAAAAUUGCAGGCUCUGGGAAGAGCGGACCUCCAGCUCUGCACCUCCUUCACGUCAACGUUAGAACGACCUUCAUGUUUAGCAAAAGCUUCUGCAAAACUUCCCUCGAGUUUACGAAUAUUGGACGGAUCGACUUGGUAGAAAAUGGGGAAUACAAUCUGGUUCUUGGAAUGGUUGCAUUCCAAGAUUUCCACGAGUUCUUUCAAGCACCAUGUGGAUGAAGCAUAGUUUUCAGAGAAAACUACAAUCGAAAUCCUUGACUCUCGAAUCGCUGUCAGGAGCUCGGAAAGGCGGUCGCCUUUUCUGAGGUCUUCGGCAUCAAUGAACGUGUUGAUUGGUUUCUGACGCAGAGCUUUGUAGAGAUGGCUGACGAAGCCCGUGCGAGUGUCUUCCCCUCUAAAAUUGAUGAACACAUCGUAUUCCCAACCAAGGCAAGAAGAAGAAGAAGAAGCAGCAAUUAAUCGAUCGCACCUGGGCAGCGAUGAUCGAGCAGCUUAAGACUAAGAGAAUUGUAAGUACAGAAACACUCAAUAGAUCUACAAAUUGGAUCACCAGAAAUUAGUCAAUGAGUCAAUGCAAAAGGGAAAAGGGCAAUUAUGCUUUUUGCGUUUUCACAUCUUCUUCAGGAAAUUUCGGUGUGAAAGGAAUCCGCAUACUUUUGAUUUUUCAACCCAAGAAAAUGCGAAGAAAGGGGACAAAGUAGUAAAUUUAAUCUACAGUUGCCUACCCAACAACCUCUUGAUUUAAUAUAUAUUUAAUUAGGAAAAGUAGUUUAGAGGAAGGAUGGUAUCUCCUUUUCUUCUCUCUCGAUCAGUCAAUCUUCCCGCGUGCGAUUUAAUCAUGAUUAAAGCUAAGCUUAAUCUUAGAUCGUAUUAUUUAGGUCUAAUUGGAUUCUUAAUUCUUGUUGUGAUAUAGUAGUUGGAAGAUUAAAAAAAAUUAUGAUUUAAAUGUUUGUGGUGAAGUCUGUUACGAUUUAGUUUCAAACUUGAAAAUUUCGUUAACUCCGUUAAUUAUUAGCACAUGAGACUCACAAAUGAAACUAAAAAUAUAAAGUUAGCCUCACAUGUAAUCUUCACGUGCUAACAAUUAAAAGAGAGUUCCGUUUUAGCUUAAUAUAUGUGACUCACGUGUUAAUAAUUAACGGAAUAUUAACAAAAAUUUUAAUUUUAAGCAUAAAUUCAAAUAAACUUCACCACAUAAGCUUAAAUUCUAAUUUAGAUAUCUUCUAACUAUCUUAUCACCAUAAAAAUUAUAAUCAAAUUAAACUUAUUAUUUAUUUAUAAAUGCGUAAUUAAAUCACAAAGUGUUGAAUGAAAGGGAGCACUCCAAAUGAUGAAAGAUGUGUGAUAUCCACACAUCUUUUUUUUUACUUUUUACACAUCGUUUUAAUUUUCGACUGUCGGAUCGAAUUAAUUGAAGAAAAUCAAAGGAUAAAAAUCAACAAAGGGUGUGCAAGAAGUAAAAAUGAGUGUGUGGAUAGUCAUCCCAUGAAAAGCGGGAGCAUCGAAAGCUAUCUCCGUUUCUUGUUGUCUAUUUGUCUUCUUUUGGCAGAUAGCUCCUAGGGACCGGCCUAUUUUCCACAGCUGGUUAUAGGACUCAGUUACUAUAGAAGGAGUGUUUUGUUGUAAUUCAAUAUCGAUGGAAAUCCAACAUAAUCUUUUUCAAAUUUUUGUGAGGAUUUUGGGGUGUACGUAAAUUGAUUAUGUUCAUCGUAUAUUAUGUGACCAUUUUUUAUCAAAUACUAUUUGUGUUUCAUUUUAAAUAAAAUAAUUUAAAAUAAUUUUUAACUGCAAGAUGUACAAUGAACGGAUAUAAUUCACAAAUCUCCAAAAUCCUUACAAAAAAAUCCGAAAAAGAUCCAAAUUCAAUGGAAAUAAGCUAAUUUUGAAUCAAAUUACAUUACUUUAUUUUGUAAAUAAAUUAAUUUUGAAUCGAACAACAUUCAUUUAUUAUGUAAGUAAUUCAUUUUGUAUGUAUCAUCAUAUAUAUUAGGCACAUUUUAUCAUAGGUGAUUUUGUGAAAAAUUAAUAAAAAGUUACAAUAUUAACAAUAGAUCAAUAAUAUUUAUGUUAAUUAUAAAUAGGUUAACCAUAUGUUGUGAUACUUAAAUACAUUUAAAAUAAAUAAAAAUUACAAAAUCUGACAUCCACUGCGACGUAGGAGCCACGGUGCAGCCCAAACUUUGCAGAUAAGAAAUCUGGUAAUUCACAGCAUGACAAACAAAUUACUGGGUCUCCUGACCAUCGUUGAUGCCAAUGUGUGCACAAGGAAAGGAGUAAGGUAAUCAAAUGCGUUAGUCUUGUGUACCUGUUUCGGUGUUGGUUUGGAUGAACCCAUUGAGUUCUCGAUCCUUAACUUCUGGAAAUGCUCCUGAAAGCAUAAAUAUAUGUACGGAUUUAAACCAAUGACAAAUGGACAUAAUUUACGGACAAUGAUUGAAGAAAAUACAGAUAUAAACGCCUCAGUAUUCCAUUGACGAAAGUUCUAGAUUUGAUGAAUCAAAAGUCCCACGUUGAGACUGCGUUAAGGCAAAUGGUUCUCAAAACCUGUUUUUCCCUCAUCAAAUGAGCGCGUUGAUCUGCAGGUAUUUUCUGCCAUCUCAAAACCUGUUACAAAGAAAUAUAACGUUGAUGUCGAGCUGGAUAGCAUAUUAUACCAAUUAUGUGUACAAACCUAUUGAAAUAAAGUAGCUGUAGUUGCAUAUUACGACAGAUAUUAACGAAAACAAAAGAAGGCUCGCCUAUUCAAGAUCCUAAAUCCCGUGAUUCUUUUGUUUUUAGUUUCAGAAAUUUUCAGAGCAAACUGGAAAGUACCAAGAUACUUACAUAUUGGGCAUAAUGAAAUGCAUCUUCAUCUUUCAAGCAAGAUUUGAGUGAGCGCAAACCGUCCUGAGAGUUACAUAAGUCAAUCAGUAAUAUAAAAACGUAGACGCAUCACAUCCAAACACAAGUAUUCAAACACCAACAACUUCUUCAUGCGGUGAGGCAUGUUAAAAAAUAGGGAAGAACAGUUAUUGAAUAGGAAGUUAAAGGACUAAAUUUAUGACCUUGUGUUUGUAGUUCUUGGCUCGUAUGCGUUCAUCUAUUACAAAACCAAUCUGUAACAGGUACAACAGAAAAUAUAAGCAGUAGUCAGAACAUUAAUCUUCGGCAUUCACAUUGCCACCAAUCCAAAGUUAAAAGUCUGAAGGCAAAACAGUAUGAUUCUUAUCUCUCAAACAAAAAUGAAACUAUACCCCGGUCUCAGACAUAAAUGAAAUAAGUUCUACUGCCUCAACUGAGUACUGUGAUUAUAUAUAAAUCCAAUUCACCUUGUCAAGUAAUCUCUUAGGAUCUUGAAAUGCUUCCUUCUUAGCCCAGUCAUUAAAUACAUGCGAGAAAAUUGAUCUCUCAUCCACACUGAAUCUAUUGCACAGUGACAGAAGAAUAAAGUUAAACAUGAACAUAACCAACCAAAAUGCUAGUUAUAAUAGUACACCCAUAAUUGCAAGCAAAACCUUUUUAAGAAGCCAUUUCCAUGGUUUUCCUCCCAAAUUCCAUCAAUUCUGCAGAGGCAACGUCAAAUUUACUAUGAUGGAGAUCAUUUUGCACUGUAAUAACUUCAGAAGGUAGGAGAUUUGGUUUCAGAUCAUCUGUUGACGGAGUAGUUUCUUUUGAAGUGUCAUGAUGCUUUUGAUUGCAAGCCUUCUGUACUUACGUCAGCCUACAAAACAAAAAUUGCAUUCAUCCACACUAGACUUAAUAAGAUUAGAAACACUUCAGAUUCUUCAUUAUUUGUAUUUUUGACUAAACAGCAGAACAACUGAGGAUAAUGAACAGUAAUACACACCUGGACUUCUCGUAGAUGAUUUGGAAUUUCUUUCAGAAAUCGCGAAGGUUGAAGCAUCUGAAGGAGUCACCUUCUCAGUCAGAGCAACAACAACAAAUAAGGAGGACAGGAAUUCAAGCUAAAACGAACCUGCCAACUGGAAUCCAUCGUAACAUAAAGAAUGAAAAGCUUUUUUCGAGCACGAGUCAUUGCAACAUAUAAUAGGCGUCUCUCCUCCUAUGAUUAGAGUGGGAUUAUUGAGUUAUUGACCAAAAGAAAAAAGAGUGGGAUUAUUGUGAAAAACAUGUCAAAGCUCUGCAUAUAACUGAAAAAUGUUGAACAAUUUACCACACACCUCAAUGGAGGUCCCAUUUUCUUUUGCAACCCCAUUGAAUUCAUGCAACAACGGGAUCUCAGAUUCAUUUACCUGUGUUAUUGGCAUGAGCAUUAAAGCAAGCUAAGAUGAUUUGAAGAGGUUGAUAUCGUCAUGAAUAUAGUAGAACAGAAUACCAAUUUCAAGCCAUCAAUUAGGUAUAGCAUUGGCAUGUUUAAUCCGUAAAUCUAAUGACAGAACACCUCAACUCUACACAUAAAUAAAUAAACAACCUGAAAAAUAUUACAGCCACAUGUUAAGGCAAAUACCUUAAUUAUGAAAACUAUAUCCCACUCUAAACCUUUUGACUGCAAGAGAAUGAAAAAGAAAGACAGUAAGCCAAGAAUGUUUUGUAGAACUCCAAAGGAAGUCCAAUAGGGAAAUCAUCGCAAGUAUAAGAGUUAGCGAGGUUCGCAUAAGAGGAUAUCAAAAAGAUCUAGAACCUGAUGAAUAGUAGUCAAAGUGACAGAACUUUGGUUGUCAUGUCUUCGGGAGUGAAAAUUUUCACUCUCCUGCUCAGAUAUGUAGUCGAUGAAAGCUUUGAGUAAAUUAACGCAGCCUUUUUCUUCUGCUACGACUUCUCUCUCCCCUUUUCCCGCAACAAAAUGAGUUGAUAAGAAAUCAGAUACGUCGUCUAGUAGGUACUGAAGAACCUGCAAUGAGAAUAAUCGCAUCACAGCAACAGGGUUGGACCAAGAUUUAAGUGACAACAAUGAUUAACUAACUAAAAUAGAGAAAUUAUUCAUUUAAGACCUUGUUGACGGAAAAAAGGGUUUUCCAAGCAGCGGGUCAUUUAAGCUUAUUGUAUAAAUGACAAUCAUCACAAACGGCAAACUUACAGAUCUCACGUCAUUGUCUUCAUUCAGCAGUUUUCCUCCAUCUACAUCAACGACUGCACGUUGCUCAAGACGGUACUUCUAAAAAUUGAAAGUCAACAACAACAACAACAACAACAACAAAGCCUUUUCCCACUAAGUGGGGUCGGCUAUAUGAAUCCUAGAACGCCAUUGCGCUCGGUUUUGUGUCAUGUCCUCCGUUAGAUCCAAGUACUCUAAGUCUUUUCUUAGAGUCUCUUCCAAAGUUGUCCUAGGUCUUCCUCUACCCCUUCGGCCCUGAACCUCUGUCCCGUAGUCACAUCUUCGAACCGGAGCGUUAGUCGGCCUUCUUUGCACAUGUUCAAAAUCACCGGAGCCGAUUUUCUCUCAUAUUUCCUACAAUUUCGGCUACUCCUACUUUACCUCGGAUAUCCUCAUUCCCAAUCUUAUCCUUUCUCGUGUGCCCACACAUCCCACGAAGCAUCCUCAUCUCCGCUACACCCAUUUUGUGUACGUGUUGAUGCUUCACCACCCAACAUUCUGUGCCAUACAACAUCGCUAGCCUUAUUGCCGUCCUAUAAAAUUUUCCCUUGAGCUUCAGUGGCCUACGACGGUCACACAACACGCCGGAUGCACUCUUUCCAUCCAGCUCGUAUUCUAUGGUUGAGAUCUCCAUCUAAUUCUCCGUUCUCUUGCAAGAUAGAUCCUAGGUAGCGAAAACGAUCGCUUUUUGUGAUCUUCGCUAGAUUUCUCCGGUCAUUAGUGUGGAUAAGUAUAUAAAUGGAUAGAGAUAGGAAAGCAAACACAAGAUGUACGUGGUUCACCCAGAUUGGCUACGUCCACGGAAUAGAAGAGUUCUCAUUAAUUGUGAAGGGUUUACACAAGUACAUAGGUUCAAGCUUUCAUUUAGUGAGUACAAGUGAAUGAUUUUAGUACAAAUGACAUUAGGAAAUAUUGUGGGAGAAUGAUCUCGUAAUCACGAAACUUCUAAGUAUCGGAGUGUGGUGUCGUCUUGACUUGCCUUAUCUGUCUCAUAGGUAGAUGUGGCAUCUUCUCUGGAAGUACUCUUCCUCAAACGAUAAAUUAUUAAGAAGCAUUGAAUAUAAGCAUGAAACGAAGAAAAUGUUAUGGAAUGGUGAUCCUCAUCCUCAAAGAUGAUUAAAAGCAAUUUGAUUCAAAAAUGACAUAUCAACUCUGGAGAAAUGGAAGACAAACCUGUGGUACCAUAUUCGCAACUGAGGUUAUGACAGCUGAAAUCGAUUGUUCCUGUGUGCAUUGAUAAGUGAGACUACCAUAGAGAUUCACAACUAAAUAAAGACAGGUAUUCCACAGAACAACCUUUACCUCUUUGGAAACACAGAUCUAACAAAAACUAUAACAUUUUGGAUUAAUAUUGACAAAUCAAGAAUAAUGCAAGGGAGCAAGAGAUACUCUUCCUUCUAAUAACAAGGAGGCGUGAAAAGUAUACAGAGUUCCAACAAUUAGAGAACUAAAAUCAAACUAAAAAAAUCACCAAAGUAGACAGAAUCUCACUUCGCCAAAAAUUUGAAAAUAUACCUUUUUAUCCAUUGAGAUUCAUGAACUACUACUACUACAUCAUGCCAAUAAGCAAUGCGUAAGAGGAGCUACAAUUUACCGAAUAUAUUUACCCUGAGAACAAGUUUUGAAAUCAUCUCUAGUGUUAACAGCACCUUGCGUCCUUGGGUAAGCUGAGUCCUAUUAUCAAGUAAAGAGACCAAUCAGUACAUAUCCAAAAGAUCUUAAAUGCUUGUAAUACCAAAUAAGAAAGAAACAUGAGUAUAUCUUGAAUUAACCAUGCAAAAAUGUAAUGUUAAAGCAUCUUGUCAUACAGACCUCUUCAAGGUACCAGAAAUUUUUGCACUAAAGAUGUCACAAGCAGCUGAUAUGAAGCUGCAUUUUCUGUGAGUUGAAAUUUUGUCAAUAUAAUCGAUCACCUGAAGAGAGAGAGAGAGAAAAAGACAGUGAUAUCCAGAGAUGUGAGCCUAAAUGCUGAGUGUGUAAAAAAAGAAGAUUAAAUGGAUAGCAAGAAUAUACAACUUUAAUGCUGAAAAGAACAUUGAAUAUGAUGCUCAUUCAUCAUUCCCAUUGAACGUGUACCUUCUUCUUUUCCUCUUUCUCAAAAGCAAGUAGAGCCUUGAAGACUUGCCUAUAUGAUCCAUCAUCACAACCAGGCAAAGUUGUUUUAAUCAUAGCAACAAUGGCUCUAACUACCUGCCAUAAGAAACAUGCUACAUCAACAAGAUCACAGAGUGUACCAGAAACCGUAAUGUAGCAAAAUCUUGGAUAAAAUAGCUGGCCAAAAGGGAAUGGAAAAGCAAGCAUGAAAAACAAUGAAAAGGACCAGUGAUGCCAAAAUUCUGGUGGAAAAGGUGAAAAGCUUCUGUCUAUUACAGUUCUUGUAUGCAUUCUUUAUAACUUAAGUUCUACGUAGCAAAAACCACCUUAUGCACAACAAUAUUGGAAAAAUUAGAUACAUACAACUGAGAAGAUAGGUUUUCAUAAUCUGGACAAGUGCUAACUACUUUCUUCCUAUAAACUGCCACUCCAUGAACAUUAAAUGGUAUUUUCCUUUCACGCAAGGCUGUCUGGAAGACUUUUCCUGAUACCUGUAGCAUAAAAUACAAAAGAAAAUGUGACCAAAAUGUCUUAUAUGAUUCACCUCAUUCACAUUAGCACUAAGGCAAGUAAGCUUGACCUGCCUCCGGUAAAGGAUUGCUAUAUUUCCAUAGGAGCACCCUGCUUCUGACCGUUUAGAUGCAGUCUCCAGGAUCUUGUCGACAACAAAGGCGCAUUGUGCAUCCUCAUUGUGACUUUCCUUGAUAAUUACCUACAUUUUGCCAGUAAAACCAGUGUCACUAACUAUAAGGACUGAAAAAUGACAUCAAAUUGUACUUGUUGGAGCAAGGAAAGAUUAAGUACCUUAGACCCAGAAGAAUUGUCCAUGUCAACAUUCUUUAGUUGGCAUUGCUUCUUAUUGUUUUUUAUAACAGAAGUUGCAGCUUCCACAAUAUAGCGUGUGGACCGAAAGUUUUUAUUAAGCCUAAUCUGAACCAUAAAGUUAUGUCAAAUCCCACAGAACCUCGUAAAAUAAAACUUACUUUCCUGUAAUUGUACAAUAUAUUUUUUCUGUACUAUAUAUAAUGAAAAAAGACACUGAAUGACAUAAGAUAACAUAGCAGUCAAGUGCGAAGCGAACCUCUUUGUAAUUUGAAAAAUCUUUACGAAAAGAAUCAAAUCCAGAAAUGUCCGCCCCAUUGAAACUGAAAAUGGACUGCAGCAGGAUAUAUGUUAUUUGAUUUAAAACAGAUAAGGGCUGGAUUAGAAUGAGCUGAGAGAGAGAGAGAGAGAGGGAGAGAGGGAGAGAGGGAGAGAGGGAGAGAGGGAGCAAUAACAUUGGAUUUCCAUAACAAAUCAACAACAUGCCUGAUCAUCAUCACCAACAAUGGUUAUGUGGUUAUGAGAGGCGAGAAUCCGCAAAAGACUAUAUUGCAUAGCACUUGUGUCUUGAAACUCGUCUAUUACAGUAGCUUUCCAUGACUCCUGGCACUCCUUCAACACUAAUUAAGAGAACACCAUGUAUCAACAUUUAGCAUUACUUGUAAAACUAGAUAAAUCAAUGAAAUAUACUUAGAUGAUAGAGACCUUCAGGAAAAUCACUUAGCAGCUUCACAGAGCAGCUAAUUAAGUCGUGGUAGUCCAAAGCAUUGCACGAUUUCAAGAUAUCAUUGUAAUUCCUAAGAAUUUCACCCUGAUUCAGAUUGAGAGCUAAAACUCAUAAGCAAUAGUUUCAAAGAACUGAAAUGAUAUCUGAAAUUCUAGUUCUGAGCGUACUCCUGUCACAUCACCCAUUCUUCGGCAUUCAGCCGGAGUCUUUCCAGAAGCCUUUGCCUGAAACAUAAAUAAAUUUAUUGCCUAAUGCCACAUAUUGUAAGACACACCAUUGUAUUGGUCAUUCUAGCUUGAUUGUAGCUAAUAUUUUUUAAAUCGAAUGAUUAGAGUUCUUAAUCCACAAUAAUCUGAACAUUAAAUUUGGUAUUCAAGACUAACCUGUGUCACCAACUACAGCCAUUUCCUUGAUGCAUCCUUAAAAUGAUGUGGAGAUGUUACGCCGUUAGACUCUUCCCCAUCUAUAGCAACAUUAAGAUUCGUUUACUCUUUUCAUCUUCUGAUAACCGCACAGCUUCAAUGAUUGCUCUUCUCUGUUGCCCAUGUCCAUAUAUCAAAAAUUCUGGUCUGCGCUCGAGUCUAAAACACAAGCCAACAUAACAGACUCAGCUAUACCACCAAAUGUAUGGUGUUCAAAAUCAAGGGAGGUGAAUCAAUAGCUUACUUCUCAGCAUGUGAUCGGCAAAGUUGCAAUGAAAAUGAAUGAAAUGUACUGAUUGUUAGUAGUUUUGCCGUUGCUUUCCCAGUCACAGAUCCAAUUCGAUCUCUCAUCUCGGAAGCUGCUGCUGUAGUGAAAGUCAUUGCUAGAAUGUUCGACGUGCUAAUGCCCUAAGAACACAAAAAAAAAAAAAAAAACGUAUAAGAUUUCGAUCAUAAACAAGAAAUGUAGAGAAACACACAAUUACGAAAGAAAAAGUUAGAGGGAAAGUAGCAACACCUCAUUGAGCAGCAUUAGAACGCGCCCAACUAUCGUUGAAGUCUUUCCACUUCCAGGGCCGGCAACAAUCAUCAAAGGUACUGAAAUAUCGCUGCAAGCUGCCUCGCGCUGCCUUUCGUUGAGAGAAAGCAAAUACUUCAAUACUCAUCCGGCAUGUUAGGCAAUCCAUGGUUAACAGAAUCUUUUUGGUUUUCACUACUCAAAGGUGGCGCUGAUGCGGCACUAACGUCACUACCACAACUCCCAAUAUCAUCACGCUGAAUGUCCACACUCGGUUUCUGCUCGAUUAAAGCGUCAAUUUCCUGCAAAAUACUCUCGUCGAAAUCAUCAUCGUUAAGAAUUCCAGAUGCAGAGAAAGAAUCAAAUGAAGUCAGAAACUGCGGUUGUCUGAUUGGAGUUGUGAAAGAAUCCGAUUUUGACACGCUUGAUUCGGUCCGGCUAACGCUUAAGCUCCCGGAACACGAAGCACUGCCAUAUUCACCACGCGUUGAAUUGUACCGGCUUGCGGAAAUCGGAGGCGGUGUUCUUUGAACUCUAUUGAGCUGAGUUGGCGUUUGGAUUCCAUUUCCGCCACAGAUUCUGGAAUUUGAAAAACACAAUUGAAUUGAUUUAAAUUGAAGCAAGAAAACAGCCGAGUAGCAAAAAAAUAGUAAGAAGAUGAAACCUUUGAUUCCUGAACGACUUACUUGGUAUGAGGGAGGUGAUGAUCAGGUGAAACGGCGUCGUUGCGGGGGCGUUUGCGAUCAAUGAGGGCCUUGGCGGCUCUGAAAUUCCGAGAGAUGCGGUUUCUUUGUUCCGCCGUGAGCCCUCCGCCGUACGCCUGAACGUUUUCCUUGGACAUUGCUUCGAAGAUUCCAACGGAGGAUUUGGCCUGACGGCCUGACCAGGCUGAUAACAGUGUAAAACCUUAGGAGCUAAGGAAAACUAAGAGAUAGAUCGUAGAGAGGGAAAGUUUUUUCUUUUUGGAAACUAGUAGGGAGGGAAAGUUUGUUAAACCUGAAUAAUAUUCUUUUCAUUCAACUUGUCUACAAUAAUUACCACUCUUGGUAUUUAUACAUUUCUAACACACCUCACUAACUAACUAAGACCACUACCAAUCAUACAAAAAUAAUUGUCCUUUGAUGAACUCUUUCACGAACAAAGUGGCAAUCAAUCUCUACAUGUUUGGCUUUAGAGUGCAAUACAGGUUUAGUGGCAAGAGCCAUUGCUUAAAUGUUAUCACAAUGCAAAACUGGAACAGAAGGAGAACCAACAUGCAAAUCUCGAAGAAGAUGUUGUAUCCAGAUAACCUUAGCAGUGGUUGUAGCCAUUGCUCUAUAUUCAGCUUCAGUGGAAGACCCACUCACUGUAUGCUGCUUUUUAGAACUCAAAGAGAUAGGAGUGACAAAACCCAUGGUUGAACGACGAUCAUUGUGAUCCCCUGCCCAAUCAGCAUAUGUAUGAGCUUUCAACUAAGAUGAACCUGAUUUAAAACACAAUCCCAGAGACAUAGUGCCUCUGAGAUAUCGCAGAAUACGUUUCACAGCAGCAAAUGAGUGGCUAAUGGUGAAUGCAUAAACUGACAUACUUGAUUGACGGAAAAAGAAAUAUCUGGUCUUGUAAAUGUUACGUAUUGUAGUGCCCCAACAAUACUUUUGUAAGUGGUAGGAUCAGAAACAGGUUCACUACCAUGAUUCAGAAGCUUUUGAUUAGGAUGACAAGGUGUGGAAAAAGGUUUACAGUCCAGCAUAUGCAUCUUUUGAAUGAGUUCUUUGACACACUUGGUCUGAUGAACAAAGAGUCCCUGUUCUUGAUAUUCAAUCUGUAAACCAAGAAAAUAAUGCAACACACCCAGAUCUUUCAUGUCAAACUCACUAGUUAACUGACUAAUAACAUUCUGAACCUUCACAGCAUCAUUACUAGUGGGAAUGAUAUUAUCAACAUGUAAUAAGAGAACAAUAAUUGAUGAACCAUCACACUUGACAAAUAAAGAAGGAUCUGCAUAUGAUGACUUGAACCCAAGCUUAGGCAAAUAACCUGAAAACCUGUCAUGUUAGGCUCUGGGAGCUUGCUUGAGUCCAUAUAAAGACCUCUCUAGUUUGCACACAUAAUCCGGAUAGGUAGAAUCCACAAACCCUUGGGGCUGAGACAUAAAAACUUCUUCCUCAAGAAAGCCAUGCAAAAAAGCGUUCUUGACAUCUAACUGUUUGAGUUUCCAAUUAUGAGAUGCAGCCAAGGAUAGAACCAAUCGAACUAUGUUUGGUUUGACCACAGGGCUAAAGGUUUCAUAAUAGUUAAUACCAACUUCUUAAGAAUACCCCUUAGCUACAAGUCUAGCCUUGUACCUAGCCACUAAACCAUCUGGAUUUCUCUUAAUCUUGUAGAUCCAUUUACAACUAACAAGAUUUUUGUCAGGUGGUAAGGGCACAAGCCUCCAAGUAUGAUGUUGAAUCAAAGCAUCCAUCUAUUCUUUCAUGGCAUUUUGCCAUUAAACACACUUGACAAUACUAGAAAAAGACUGAGGUUCCUUGAUUUCAGAAGCCUGAUCCACCUUAGCAGAAAACACCUUCUUUUUCAUAAUCCUAGACUUAGACCGGGUUUGCAUGGGAUGACAAUUUUGAGCAUUGAUACACACUGGUUGGAGAUCAUCCACUUGAGACAUUGUAGUAUUUGGAUGAUCUUUUGAAUACACAGUAGGCAAAACCUCUGAAGAAGGCACAAAACUUGUGGAAGAAGAGACAAGAUCACCAGAACUAGUGGGUUGAGAGGAUGAUGACUGAGUAACAUGUUGUGAUUUAGAGGUAAGAGAAGUGGGACCAAUAAAUGGAAAUGUGGAAGAAACACUAGGUGGAUGAAUGAAUGUGUUUGAAUGCACAACAGACAUUGGUGAGGAAGAAUGACCAGAAGUAACUUGAGGAUUGAAACCCAAAGCAUUAGAGUCUGUAGGAAACUUGGAUUCAUCAAAAAUAACAUGUCUAGAUACUAACAGUUUCUGAUCUUUGAGAGAUAAGCAAAUAUACCCUUUGUAUUGUGUAGCAUACCCCAGAAAAAUACACUUAGUAGUUUUAGGUUCAAGUUUAUUGCUUCUAUAGGGUUUCAAUGAAUGAUAGCAUAAACAACAAAAAAUUCUCAAAUGAUCAAGCUUAGGUGGAGAUUUAUAUAGCAUUUCAAAAGGAGACUACAUAUGUAGGGUAGGUGUGGGCAUUCUGUUUAUAAGAAAAGUAGCAGUGGCACACGAAUGGAACUAGAAUUUUGAAGGUUGAAACUUGUUGUAAAAAGGUAAUAGCUGUUUCGACAAUAUGUUGAUUUUUUCUCUCAGCCAACCCAUUAUGUUAUGGGGUAUAAGGACAAGAUUUUUGAUGAACAAUGCCUUUGGUAAGAAGAAAUUGCUUAAACUGAGUAUUAACAUAUUCCCCACCCCCAUCACUUUGCAAAAUUUUUACAUAAGCAUCAAAAUAAUUCGAGACAAAAGCAAGAAAGUUGACAAAACAGUGAGGGACCCCAAACAUCUAUGUGAAUUACUUCAAAUGGAGUAAGUGACUUCGAAGCAAUUACAGGAAAAAUGGAGCUUGGUAAAAUUUGCCUUGCAAACAAGCUUUACAAGUAUGAGAUUGAGAGUUACAAGGAAAAGAUAUACAAGACUUAUUAAGUGCUGCAGUGACAAUGGAAUGUGCAGGAUGGCCUAAUCGACAAUGCCACAAUGUAGAAUACAUCUUUUGACCCACAAAUGCAAUUGGAUUAAAAACAGGAGAAAUAGACCUAUGUGGUUUGAUUAUGGGAAGUGGAUAGACAACAUUAUUACUCAGCCCUUGGAAUAGCACUUUCCCGGUGACCUUGUCUUGUAGAUAGAGAGAAACAUCAUCAAUGAUACAAUGACACUGAUUAUCUUUGCACAACUGAUUCAUAGAUAAUAAGUGUUGUGACAGUUUUGGAACAUGUAACACAAAGUUUAACUUGAAAUUAUGUGACUUAGUGAGAAGAGAAGAGGAACCAAUAUGUUUGAUAGCUAAACCUUCACCACUAGCACUGGUCACAGUAUCAUUUGAUGGAUAAAUUUGUUGCCAUGUGCAAGUUUGACAAAUCUGAGGUCAUAUGGUUAGUUGCUCCCAAGUCAAGAAACCAUAAAUCUUGUUGAAGAGUUGAGGAUGAUGCACCAGCUCGUGCUUGUAUAGCAAGAGGAGGAUUUUGUGAGGAUAUAGUUGAGAGAUACAUAUGUGGUAUGACAUGAUACUGAAACUGGGAGCUAUUAGACCGUGGAAUCAUGCCUUGUGAAGGACCACAUGGAUUCUAGCUAGGUGCUUCGCCAUAUGACCCAGCAGGCAUUGGAGUUGGCAUAGAUGAGGAUAAACCCUGAGAGAAAUGCUUUGAUGUGCCUGUGAAAUUCUUAUUUCGAUCAAAGCAAGUAGCAGCAACAUGGCAAUUUCUGUGACAAAUUUGACAUCCAUGUUGAAAACAAUUCAAUGCAAAAUAAACUUUGCGAUCACAUAUUUGCAGAAAGGCCUUUGCAACCCUAGAAAGAAGAAGGAGCAAAGAAGACCAAAUGUGUACGUUUCUCUUUGGUUUUUUUUCCCUCUUAAUCACGCUGUUCGAAAUCACGGACCUCGGGCCUGGGCCUAGUGGGCCCAAUUAUGAGGCCCAUUAUCUCCGGUCUUCUCGUUCUACUUCUAGUUACCCAAAUUAAGAACGUACUGGUUCGCUUUUAGCGCGAGAGAGAAAUGGAGGCCCUGAUUGCCUCGUACGGAGACUCGUCGUCGGGCUCAGACUCCGAGUCGCCGGCUCCACCUCCAUCACCACCUCCGGAGCUCAACAACCCUCAAGAACCGACCCCUGCGCUGCCUCCACCUCCUCUGUCACUUCUCGACAACCCCAAUUCCUUCGGUAACCUCUGAUUCCCAUCAAUUUUCAUCUUUUAGCUUUCUGUUGUGAUGGCUUUUUCCGAGUUGCCCACCAAGUAUUUGAUGUUUUGCCUCUGAAGGAUUUCUGGACUUCUCGGCAAGCGCCCAGCCGAGCAGAGUUCGGAACUUUCCUCACGUCGAAGGGAACUACGCAGUACAUGUAUACAUCCCAGGUUAUCAAAAUUCUCGAAAUUUUCAGCUCCAUUAGCAAAUGCGAUCGCUUUGCACUUAGUUUUUGCUUGUUUAAUUCUGUGGUCAGUUUAUAUACCACCAGCACCAAGGAAAGAGAUGGCCUUGUUUUUGAACAAGCUAGCUUCUCUGGUGCCUGGUCUCCAUGCGGUUGACGUUGACUUCCUGCUUGACAUUCUGCGUAAGGACGAGCACAAGCUUGAACAAGUUGCUUUAGGCAGAGAGUUCCAUAUAAGUCUCGGAAGAACUGUUCCGAUUCGGGUGCACCAGAUUGAUUCCUUGGUGACAAUGCUGCGGCAGAAGCUUCAGAUUCAGAGGCGGUAUGGUUACAUUUACAUUCUCUUGUCUGCAUUGCGUGAAUUUAGUUCUGUUAUUUAACAUAAUUCUGUAAGCCUGCAAAUUUUUCGUCCAUUUUCAGUUUAACACAUUUUGUUAUUGUGAAACAAGUAUUGGAUUGAUUUUAGCAAGUGGUAGGUUUUUGUUAAUGAUGAUCAGACCCGGACCUUUGUGUCUAUCGAAAUCAUUGCUGCUGGGUUAGCUGAGGUAUGAUUGCUAGCUUUCUCUCUUGGUGCAAUUCUAAAUGUUUUCAGUUGUUAUAUGGGCUUAAGAUUUAGCAAGGACUUGCCGAAAGUCAUGGGAUUUUGAAAUAUCGAGAUCUUGCUUGCUUAUUAGCUUAGAUUUGGUCUUCGAUGCACUUGUAACAUGAAAAACACAAACGAAAACUAAUGCAUGAUAUGCUCAUGGUUUUAACAUGUGUUGUCCUGGCGUAAAUCAUGUUCCUAAUCAUGUCAUGUGAGUAUAAGCCUAUGAAACUUAGGGCAUGUUUGGCGGGCUGGACAAGAUUGGAAUUGGUAUUUCAGACUAGUUAGGUUAGGAUUGAACUGGAUAGGAUAGGUUUUUUGUCUAAAGAUUGGUGUAGACUGUCUUAACCAGACUAGGAACGAUGGGAUUUAAAACGUGAAACAGAUCGGCGACAUCCCAACGAUGACCCGCCCACCCAACAACUCUGCUCGUGACUUGCAACACCUCUCGUACCCUCCACGCCCCUUGCGGCCCGUCAGACCACUCUGAUAUCCUGGAGGAGUGAAACGUGGUUACUAGAAGCAUACCUGUUUUCGUAUUAAUGCACGGUUGAAUCAGCUUUCAUUGUCUACAAGUCUGAAAUAUUUUAACUUCCAUUGAUUUCAGAUAACAAAGCAGAUUCAAGCUGUGAAUGAGGUGUAUAAGCUUCACAAUCAUCCUAAAUUUUACAAGGUUAGCUUUUUCGUCCUUUUCAAACUCGAAUCGCUUCCUGAAUAUAUGACAAUAUAUUGGAUCAAAUGAUUUCUCAAAAAACUAAUUCACUUGAUGGGGUCUUGGUGAUCACAGGAUCCACGCCCUCACAUCUCGGUAGCUUGGGCAUUGGGUGACAUCAGCAAUUCCCUGAACAAAGUGGUUGAAGAAGAAAGACGAAGAUCUACCAUCGGAGGAUCGUUACAGAAAUGUAUUUUUACCAGUAAAUUCAAUGGUAUCGAAUGUAGGAUUGGUAAUAAGACACACAAAAUAUGUAAAUUUUCUGAAGAAUAAUGUAGCCAUUUAACUGUAUUGUGAAAUUCCGAGAAUAUAUCACUGAGCAUUGGAUGAGAAGACAUUUCUUCGUUGGUGUCGAACUUCUUGUCGAAGGUAUUGGCACCAGUGUAAACGUCAUCAUCCAUGUUGAUGGUAAUUACUUCCCAGCUACUAAGGGUGUCGGAACAGCCUUGCACGCAGCCUCCUGUGCAUUACUUGGUAUUGUCUCAGAUUCUCCAAACUUGAAUGCUAAUGUAAACCCACUCUUGACCUUUCCGUCAUCUGCGAUUACCGGAAUGCCGGCUUGGAUGUUGCCGUUGACCUACCGAACUUAAAAUACCGACGAAAUGUUGGAGUACUUAAGUGUACUACUCGUUUUUGUAUGCGAGAGCUCCACCUCUAUCGUUGUAACAGCAUCUGAUGCGGACUAGUCCUUCAUUCCCGUUACUCUUUGCCAUCUCCACUUCGAACUUGGCGUGAUGGCUCCCGGCCUCCUCUCCGGUGAAAUUGAGUAACCCCGGAGCUGGCGUGCCAUCAAGAUUUCCGUCGUGUCUCUAUUUGCUGUUGUGGUUUGGUUUCACCACUAUAAACUUGGCAGAGUUGGCAUUUUCAUUCUGUUGUCUGUAUAUCUUGAUAUUACAAGUAUUUGUUGUGCAAAAUGCAUGCUAAGUUCAACUUAUGUUUAUAUGUGUGUGUGUGUGUGUUGCCACUUUUCCAACGUUUUCUCCAAAAUUGUGACGAGCAACAAAGCAGUUUUGAUUCCGUGCACAACAACGAUACCUCGAAAGAAAUUGAUUCUUCCCCAGAAAGAUGUUUUAAAACAAAGUUGAACAAGGGAAGAAAACUUUUGAAUCGCAAUCAGAUGUCUGGUCAAAUUCUUUAACAGUUGAUGUAUACAGAAGUUCCUUGCUUAUGACACGACUUAUGAGAGGAUGUAUGUAUUGCAUUUGCAUCAAAAGAAAGAAAGAAGGUUGUAAGUGGUAAGGGAACGACUACCGAUGCCGCUCCACUUCUAAUCAAAGGGAUCGAUCCGAGGGUCGUGUUCACUUGCCAUCGCCAUUCCAGUGCAAAGGCAUGUCGGGCACAUUACCUGCCACAUUUACAGACGCAAUGUUAGAUAUAGCUGCCAUUUGGAAGUCAUCUCUCAAAAUUUUGCUACUAAAUCAAUCUUAAACUUCAUUUCCAGUGCAAUUUUUUUCUUCUGAAUUGUCUUUCACAUGCCCGACAAAUAGAAGUAUCACCAAACAUGUGAAUAUAGAGCAUCUAAGCGGCAGGCACUAAAAGGAAUUUAGUAUGCAAUAAACAUUCAACGGACAUAAUUAUAUGUCUAACCUUUCCCGCUCCUGAGCAAUUUGAACAUCGUUCAGUUUUUGGCAGAGAUAGGGGUUGGUUUCCGCCAUCAGCUGUCGAUACUGGUUCAGUAAGAACAAGGGUUCCAGUGCUGGAGCAACGAGCACAAGCAAGAGAUCCUGCGUAAGUAUCAAAUACACAGGUAAGUUGACAUACGAAACCAAUCCGAACAUCUCCAUCGUAUAUAUUUAAAGCUACAGUACAUAAACUAAAAGUCAGAAAUAUAGGACAUUAUCACACCAGUUCCAAGACAAUAUUUGCAUCGUUUAUGCUCCUGCUGUUUCACAUUGUUUAUUUCAACUACCAUCAAUGCUGAGAUCACUCCGACUGCUCCUCCAGAGAAUGACGCCACUAUGGGAUCAACUUGACUGCAGUUUGAAAGUAAAGGAGAUCAAUAAACGAAACUGGUAACAACAUAGUAUCAACAUUAUUUAGCUUCGUUUCAAGAAAGAUGACAUCCUAGGUUUUUCUAAUGUGUAAAAAUUGAGGAUCCUCGUAAAAUUUGACCAUAUCGGUUCCCAAAGCAUUUGAUUCCUACGUUACAGACGGAAAACAGCAACAAUCGAAUUUAAAGAUUCAUAACACGAUAGAUGGUACAAAAUUUCAAAACGAUAAUUACUAGAGAACAGGAGGGUUAAUAGCCUGAGAUAUGAGCAAUACCUCAACUGCAACGGCAGAUGCAUAUUUACUAUAAAGUCUUUAUAUGAUGUGCCUCCUAUUCCCAGCUUCAACUCCAACUGAAAGAUGUAAAGGUAAUUGUAGGCAAAGAGUUACAAACAUAACCGAAUCCAUGUUUUAUAAGCAACAACUACACUUAUUUUGAUAUGUUUCCUCAUUUUUUACUUGCAAAUUCCGAACCAUAUUGUCGGACCAGUAAAAGAAAAUAAUGUUUAUGAUAACUGUUAAAACUAAUUACAACAAGUUAAUGCAUAAAGAACUUACGGAGGGUGCUAUGAGGCCACCGAAAAGGAUAAACCCCACAAUAAUUGAAUAACAAACAGCAUAAUACUGCUUAAGGUUGUCUGAACUCUGCAAGCAAUGAAUUCACCUUGUGAUUAAUACUUUGCACAAACACUAGUUUUCGCAAUUUUUUAUGAAUCGACAAAAGGCUACAACAAAAUAUGGCUAAAACAUGUCGGGGAUAUGAAAAUACAUGUCUUCACAGGGGCACCAGCUUACCAGGGGAGGCAAAAAUGGAAUGAACGAUGGAAAACUAGGAAGUUCGUUUUCUUGAUCUUCAUUUACCGCUCCAAGCUCUGCACGUUUAAUCCGCUGUUGUAUCCUCAGCCUGCGAACCUACGCAUAUCGAAGCUCAUUCUUAAAGAACACAUUUCUAAUGGCAAUUGGAGAGUAAUUUAAAACAUGCUAAACUGAGAAAGUGGUAGCAACUAGUAAUUGCUCUCACCUCCUCCAUAUGCAAGAAAAUUUUGUUGCGACGACUCCGAAUAUUAUCUUGAAUUUCCUGCAGCUCCAUUGUGGCAAAAUCCUGCACUGUUUCAGGCCCCUCUAUGAUACAAAAUCUGCACCAUUAAGCAUGUAAAAAUUAAAAAUUACAGGCUACAAAGCAAUUUCCGUAUAGUUGUUGGGUUAAAUAACAUCAACAGCAAAUAAAUCACAUAGGUUUUUCACAUAAAGUUACAAACUUUCAAGGACUAAUAAGCUGUCUGCAAUCUCAUAAAUUUCACAGUGCAAAGUAACAAUCCAAAGCUUGGAACUUUAAAUUUCCACCUUCUGUUAAUUUUUUAGUGCACCUGGUGUCGUUAGAUUCGAGUAGUAUGUCACAUUAAAUUUUUUUUUUCUGUGCAUGCAUUUUUUUUUAAAAGAAAAUUUUAUAUUGUUAAAGAGCGAGUUCGAAACUAUUACAUUAUGGAAGGACAUAGUACCGAAACUCCGACGAUCAAAAACAAAAUCAUGUACAACCACUCCAAGCAGUCAACAUGGCCAUCACAUAUUGAAUCCAAAAUGUUGACGCCCCAUUCGCUGCAUAUAAUGUACAGACGAGCGGCAGCUUCAACCAGUUCUGCCAUAUCCGGCUGGAUGAGAGCAGCUAAAGACAUGAUUGUUCCCUAAUAACAUGAAUAAAUUGAGUAAACACCAAAAGUAGCAGCAAGGGAAGGAGAUGUGAAGUAUAUGAAGAGGUGUAAGACCUGUGAAUGUCCAGCAACAAAGAUUUUGGAGCUUGUUGUCGAAUAAUGCAACGCAUCAUUUCUGGUAGAUCAAAUAGAGCCAAUUCCCGCCAACUCCAAUUCCAAAAUUUCUACAGUAAAGCAUAAAUCUUAUUCUCUCUUCUGAUAAAGAUGAGUGUCCCAGACUCCAACGUGUUCCACACACAUUCCCUACCCAUACAUCGAAACCUUCAUCUGCAAGGACGAAUCCCAGCGAUUCUUCUGGAGAAUUUAAGAAUCAUGCAUCACCUGGUUAAGAUCAAGAAAAGCCAGUAACCAAGUUCAAUUGAGUUAAAAUGUAUCCCAUGGAUGUUCAUCACUUUGCCCAAUUGUUCUUUUCAAGAAAGGAAAUUUCAACAGAACCUGAAAACUUCAGAUCAGGGGGCACCAAAUAGUGAGCUAUACAUUCAAAAUUUGAAAUAAUCAACUUAGUAGGACCAGUAUGUUGAAAAAAUGGGAAGGAGCUAUGAAAGUAAGACUUUUCACUAAUCAGGCGUCCAGAGAAUCCAUAUUUUACCCGCGUAUCAGUUACGGGGAACACUCCCCACCAGAGCAAUCUCAUUAGUCCUUCACAUCUCAACCGUACAGAAGUUGCACUAACAAACAUGACUCCUAUUAGUCCUUCACAUCUCAAAUCCAGGAAGUACCCAUCUUUCGUCUGAAUCUGGAAAAUAAGCAGCAGUCAAUUUAACAAUCUCGGUAUCUCAAAGUUACUCACUUUAAUCACAAAUUUAGCAAUUAAACAUAUAAAUGGGCAUUUUUUUAGGGAAAUAUUAGUAUAGUACUCACUGUGUGCUCGGAGCAAGAGUACCCAGAAAGCUCAAUGAGCUGCGCACAGAGGACUGCAGUGGUGAACGACAGCGACCAAUUCUGUAAAAUUUAGUCGAGUUUUGGGAAAUUUCUGCAGCGAUUUCGGAGGUCAAGAGGCUGAUAAGGAAAGCCGCGACCAAAGGGCACUGGUCUGGAAGAAAGGCUUUGGUCGCCGCUAUCGCAAUUCGCGAAGGAAGAAGUGCCCCAAAACAAUUUCGGCCCUGGACAGGUGCACUGUUUGCACUGAGCCAGGGCCGGCCCUGAAUCGCGAUAACGUCCUUCUCCAAACAGUAUAUAUACAGAUGCUAGAAAAAUCUACCGGAACUAUUCAAUUCUAGCGUCUACAGCUUUAGCAUUAGUUGGUACAAGGGGCAUUCUUCCAAAGAGGGAGAUGAAAUCGUUGAGGCACCAAAUAGUGAGCUAUACAUUCAAAAUUUGAAAUAAUCAACAUGGUAGGACCAAUAUGUUGAAAAAAUUGGAAGGAGCUAUGAAAGUAUGGCUUUUCACUAAUCAGGCGUCCACAUAAUCAAUAUUUUACUCACAGAUCAUUUACGGGGAACACUCCCCACCAAAACAAUCUUUUUAGUCCCUCACAUCUCAAACCAAGUAGAAAUUGCAGUAACAAACACAUCUCAAACCCAGUAAGUACCCAUCUUUCGUCUGAAUCUGGAAAACAAGCAGCAGUGGAUUCAACAAUCUGGGUAUCUCAAAGUCACUCACUUUAAUCACAAAAUUAACAAUUAAACAUAUAAAUGGGCAUUUAUUUAGUGAAAUAUUAGUAUAGUACUCACUGUGUGCUCGGAGCAAGAGUACCCAGAAAGCUCAAUGAGCUGCGCACAGAGGGACUGCAGCGGUGACGACGGCAACCGAUUCUGUAAAAUUCAGUCGAGUUUUGGGCGAUUUCUGCAGCGAUUUCGGAGGUCAAGAGGCUGAUAAGGAAAGCUGGGACGGAAGGGCACUGGUCUGGAAGAAAGGCUCAGGACACCGCUGUCCCGAUUCAUGAAGGAAGAAGUGCCCCCAAAACAAUUUCGGCUCUGGACAGGUGUACUGUUUGCACUGGACCAGGGUCGGCCCUGGCGAUAACGUCCCCCAAACAGCACAUAUACAGAUGCUAGAAAUAUAUAAAUGUAACCUGAAACUACUAGAACCAUUCAAUUCUAGCGUCUACAGCUUUAGCAUUAGUUGGUACAAGGGACAUUCUUCCAAAGAGGGAGAUGAACUCAUUGAGGCUCUUAUUUAUUCCUCCUCUUGAUGUGCCCUUUUAGGCUGCUAAUUCCACACGAUCCAAUUUCAUACAUCUUCCCUGCAAAAGCAUGUGUGCCUGACUUCAAGAUCAAAUUUUUCCAACAAAAGAAACUUAAAGAUCAAACUCGCUAGCGGAAUAAGUGGUGCACAAGGGUGUUAAAAUCUUGACAUAUGUAUAUUUUUGGCAGAUUUUAUGUGAGCAUGCAACUAAAACUGGCAUCACUAUCAAUGGUGCACAAAGAUUGGUGGAAAACUUUAACAGUUUGAGUUGUAACUUCUCCAUUGUAUUUGUUAAGGCAAGACGGAUGUCAUCUAUUCAUUUUUCUGUAAAACUUAAAAGGCUGCAUAGCAGCUCUUGUUCGUUGUAUUGAAUACCAUGGUUUUACUGAUGAAUGCAGAGUUUGCUGAUGAUUCAUACGACAAGCAAUUGAAAAUCCCAUCAUUAUGCCCCGCAUAUACCAGAAGAAAAAAAAGUCAUUUACACAAAUUCAGAGCGUUCAUCCACUGUAAUUUGCAGAUAUGGAAACGUUAAGAUAAAAGGAAAUGCAAAGUACCUUUCACCCAAAUUGGAGGAGCAACGGUGGCAUUAGCAAGCUAGCAACGGGAAUUGACAUACCAAUAUCUUCACAGUUUCUGCACAAGAACAAAUCAAAAGAAUCCGGCGGUGGAGUUAUGUACCUCUCCUUGGAAAAUGCCACCUCCUGGGAUUUCAAAAUAUACGGCCGUGGCUAGCCGUCUGACCACGCCAAUUCCACCAAAGCCGCCGCAACGUGGCGUAGUGUCCGGUUGAUUGCUUCAAAACAGAGCUUCGUAUCCAUGUGUUUAUCAGCAGAGAGUACCCAAAACCCCUGAAAAUUAUUUCUUUAUUCAGAUAAUAAAAUUUCCCAAAUUUCGAAUUUUAAUUCCGAACAAAAAAAAUAGGGUUUGAAUUUUGAUUACCUAGAAAUUGGGGGGUUGGGGUGGAGAGGGACUCGGGCCAAGACACAGAUAUGCAUCCGUGAUAAGGUGUGCAAGGCUUUUGCAGUUUCUCAGAUCUAAACACUGAAGCCCCGUAAGCCGUUCAAUCCAGGGGGAAAGCUCUUUAAUAGAUGUUCCAUCCAAGAAAAGAAAUCUUAAUCCUUCCAUAUUUUCUUCAAUGCUUGGAAACACCUCAAAUUUUGUACAACCGGAAAGAGAGAGAAAGGCAAGGGACUUCAGCUGACAAAUGCUACUUGGAAGACUCUUAAGUUCUUUACAAUUUUCUAGCUUCAAAUGAUUCAAUCCCAUGAGAUUAUUAAUUGAUAAGGGCAGUUCUUUAAUUUUCGACCCAGAUAAAUCAAGAACUUUUAACCCCUCAAUCACUUCUGAAAUCUCUGGAAACAUCUCAAGACUCCAGCAACCAUAAAGAUCAAAGGUUUUGAGAGAUUUCAUAUGAAUGCUGCUUGGAAGACUCUUAAGUUCCUUGCAAUCUUGUAGAUUCAAAUGACACAACCUCGUAAGAUUAUUAAUUGACGGGGACAGUUCUUUAAUUUUUGAGCAGGGUAAAUCAAGCUUUUCUAACCCCUCAAUACCUUCUGAAAUCGAUGGAAACAUCUCAAGACUGGAGCAGCCAUAAAGAUUAAAGGUUUUCAGACAUUUCAUAUGAAUGCAGCUUGGAAGACUCUUAAGUUUCUUGCAAUCUUUUAGGUUGAAAUGACUCAACCCCGUGAGAUUAUUAAUUGACAGGGGCAGUUCUUUAAUUUUGGACCCGGAUAAAUUAAGCUCUUCUAACUCCUCCAUACCUUCUGAAAUCUCUGGAAACAUCUCAAGACUGGAGCAGCCAGAAAGAUUAAAGGUUUUGAGAGAUCUCAUACGAAUUUUGCUGGGUAGAAUCUUAAGUUCCUUGCAAUUUGAUAGGUUCAAAUGACACAACCCCAUGAGAUUAUUAAUUGACUCGGGCAGUUCUUUAAUUUUGGACUCGGAUAAAUUAAGCUCUUCUAACUCCUCCAUACCUUCUGAAAUCUCUGGAAACAUCAGAAGACUGGAGCAGCCAAAAAGAUUAAAGGUUUUGAGAGAUCUCAUACGAAUUUUGCUAGGUAGAAUCUUAAGUUCCUUGCAAUUUGAUAGGUUGAAAUGACUCAACCCCAUGAGAUUGUUAAUUGACUCGGACAGUUCUUUAAUUUUGGACCCGGAUAAAUCAAGCUCUUCUAACCCCUCAAUCACUUCUAAAAUCUCUGGAAACAUCUCAAGGCUCACGCAGUUAAUAAGAUCAAGAGUUUUGAGAGAUUGCAUACGAAUUUUACUAGGUAGAAUCUUAAGUUUUUCGCACCCAUUCAGAUCCAAUAAAACAAGUUUUGUAAGAUUCGAAAUAGAUGGGUGAACCUUAACUAACCCUAUACAACCAUGAAGAAUUAGCCUCUCAAGAUUUGGCACAUUUGUGAAGUCAGGGGUUUCCUUAAGGUAUUCACAAUAACUUAAAUUGAUGAAUUUCAACUUUUCCUGCGUCUGUUAAAACAUUCAGGAAAACAUGCAUUACUUAAUAAGACAUCUCACUCAAAGCCCAAACAUUUAAAAGAAACAAAUACAUGUAAAUGAUUGUACAUACCUGGGUUCCUUCCCAAAGUCGGUCAAUGUGGCUAUAUUGCAUGUCAAGUCCAACAAGAUUUUCGAAUUGAAAGUUGGAUGGCAAAGACUUGAGCGGGAAACAAGACCAGGAAAGAAACCUCAACUCACUAGAAACAAACUUUAAGGACCCAGUCAGGUGUUGUAUGCUGAAAGUACCGAUCUUGAGAAGUCUUAGUUUAGUCAUCCUAUCAAAAGCUUUAACAAUUAAGCAUCCCUCAUAUGAGUGCCCCAAAUCUAGGAUUAUGCUUUCAACUGUUUCUGUACCCUGUGCAAAUCAAAGGGAAGGAAAAAGCAGAGAACCUUAGUUUAGAUUAUGAAGUUAAUGCUUGUUUCUUAAGGAGUUGUUUGAUAAUAAUUUUGUUUUCACUUUUCACUUUUGUUUUGAUUAUUUAUUUAGAAAUCUGAAAAUUGAAAACAUAUAACUUGUUUGUAAUUGUUUUCAAUUUUCAAUUAUUAAAAAAAUGAAAAUUUAAAAAUAUAAAUGGAAACAAAAGUGGUUAUCAAACGAGCUUAAGAAAUUGAUUUUGGUCAAAAGUUGAAGCUUUCUACUAAACAUUGCAUAAGAAAAGAAAUUAUCACCGUAUUUUUAGUUAUCACAUGAAAAACAUCUUCAUAACUCCACAACCUACUUCGUCUCCCAGGCUCUUUGAUAGAUUCUUGGUAGACGAUUUUCUGACCCAUUUCCUCUAGUAAAUCAUGCAUCUCCAGUUCCCCCCUCCAUGAGACAGUUACUAGAGCUCGAUCGAUUAGAACUUUUAUUCCAAUAUCAGGAUAGGAACCACAGCUGUGCAGAACUGUGGUUGCAUAGUCUUUUCUCAUUCCUUUAAAGAAACAUGCAAUAUCUAGAAAGAUAUCCUUCUCCGUGUCAUCUAGUCCAUCGAAGCUUGUUUUAAGCACAUCAUGAAUUCCCUUUUGCGGGAUUUUCUUUAUUUUUUCUAACUCAUUUUCCCACUGGCGUACAUUUUUGUUAUAAAGAAAAGCUCCCAAGACUUUGAGUGCUAAAGGCAGACCUUGAGCAUAAUUUACAGCACGACUCGAGAUCAUCAUAAUCUCUGUUGGGUUGGUUUUUUCUAAAGGCGUACCGCCUAAAGAGUUCCAGAGCUCCAUAAUCACUUAAAAUCUUGGGAUUAUAUAUCCCAUCAGCUAUGCUUAGUAAUUGCGAAUCUCUGGUUGUUAUAAUAAUUCUGCUUCCACCACCAAAGGAAUGUGGCUCUCCAAGUAAAGCUUCAAUUUGUUCUAAUUCUUCCACAUCAUCAACAACAAUAAGAACUUUUCUCCGACCUAGACUAUUUAACAUCACCUGGAAACCUUUAUUCGAAACGUCGGAACUCCCCACCCUGUUGUUCGAGAUACUCGAUAGAAGUUCUGCCUGCAUAUGUAGUUUGCCAUGCUUCAUGAAACCUUCCUUGAAAUUUUCAAGAAAGCAACAAGCUUUAAAUCCACCAGAGAUUUCAUUAUAAAUAGCUCUAGCGAUGGUUGUUUUGCCUAAACCACCCAUACCCCAUAUUCCAACAAUGCGAACAUCAUUAGUUUCAACUCCAGGAGGAUGCAGUAAUGAAUGCAUGUUAUGCAUAUGAGAGUCCAUUUCAACCAAGCCAUUAUAUUUGCUUGAGGAUGAUGAGAUGUAUCGCCGACCCCACUUAGUGGGAAAAGGCUUUGUUGUUGUUGUUGUUGAUGAUGAUGAUGAGAUGUGGAUCAAUUUCUUAAAAACAUCUUCUACAAUUUUCUCAAUAAGCUCUGCAUCAUCCCUGUCAAAUUUAAAACACAAUAUAAUUACAACACCAAAUGAUACUUAAUGGGUCGUUUUGAUAACAAUUUCGUUUGCAAUUUUUUUUAAAUCUAGAUUUUAAGUUUGCAGAUUUUGUUUUCAGUUUUUAGUUUCAAUGAAAGUAGUUAUUAAACAAGGUUUCCAAUUUUUCUUUCAUGGUAUACAGUACGUAGUCCCAAAUAUCAGUAGUUAGAUCUUGCAUUUAGAUCUAAUGGGUAUUUACAACCUUUUUUCCUGAGAAUUUUGUACCAUUGUAGCCAGAUCACAUGUUUUCAUCCGUUAGUUUUAUAAAAAUGGAAACUACAAACUUAAAAAAAAAAAAAAAUAUAUAAUAUAUAUAUAUAUAUAUAUAUAUCAAAUGGCCCCUAAAUGCUAUUAAAAAUCUCAAAAAUUAACAGGAAACUAAAACAAAUUAGAAUUUAUUCAUGGUUUCGCAAAUCCCAGCCGGAUAAACUGGUGGCCGUUGUAAGAGAGGACCUCCAGCCGGAUAAACAUUUUCGAGUUAUUUGAUAUUUGUAUAGUAAAAAUACUUUAAUAGCAAGUGCGCGUGAGUGAAGAAAUUGAACUUACUUAUAUUCUUUCGAAUCCCAACCGGAAAAAUUGCAGGCUCUGGGAAGAGCGGACCUCCAGCUCUGCACCUCCUUCACGUCAACGUUAGAACGACCUUCAUGUUUAGCAAAAGCUUCUGCAAAACUUCCCUCGAGUUUACGAAUAUUGGACGGAUCGACUUGGUAGAAAAUGGGGAAUACAAUCUGGUUCUUGGAAUGGUUGCAUUCCAAGAUUUCCACGAGUUCUUUCAAGCACCAUGUGGAUGAAGCAUAGUUUUGAGAGAAAACUACAAUCGAAAUCCUUGACUCUCGAAUCGCUGUCAGGAGCUCGGAAAGGCGGUCGCCUUUUCUGAGGUCUUCGGCAUCAAUGAAGGUGUUGAUUGGUUUCUGACGCAGAGCUUUGUAGAGAUGGCUGACGAAGCCCGUGCGAGUGUCUUCCCCUCUAAAACUGAUGAACACAUCGUAUUCCCAACCAAGGCAAGAAGAAGAAGAAGAAGCAGCCAUUAAUCGAUCUCACCUGGGCAGCGAUGAUCGAGCAGCUAAGACUAAGAGAAUUGUAAGUACAGAAACACUCAAUAGAUCUACAAAUUGGAUCACCAGAAAUUAGUCAAUGAGUCAAUGCAAAAGGGAAAAGGGCAAUUAUGCUUUUUGCGUUUUCACAUCUUCUUCAGGAAAUUUCGGUGUGAAAGGAAUCCGCAUACUUUUGAUUUUUCAACCCAAGAAAAUGCGAAGAAAGGGGACAAAGUAGUAAAUUUAAUCUACAGUUAGUUACCUACUCAAUAACCUCUUGAUUUAAUAUAUAUUUAAUUGGGAAAAGUAGUUUAGAGCAAGGAUGUUAUCUCCUUUUCUUCUCUCUCGAUCAGUCAAUCUUCCCGCGUGCGAUUUAAUCAUGAUUAAAGCUAAGCUUAAUCUUAGGUCGUAUUAUUUAGGUCUAAUUGGAUUCUUAAUUCUUGUGAUAUAGUAGUUGGAAGAUUAAAAAAAAAUUAUGAUUUAAACGUUUGUGAUGAAGUCUGUUACGAUUUAAAUUCAAAAUUGAAAAUUUCGUUAACUCCAUUAAUUGUUAGCACAUGAGACUCACAAAUGAAACUAAAAAUAUAAAGUUAGCCUCACAUGUAAUCUUCACGUGCUAACAAUUAAAAGAGAGUUCCGUUUUAGCUUAAUAUAUGUGACUCACGUGUUAAUAAUUAACAAAAUAUUAACAAAAAUUUUAAUUUUAAGCAUAAAUUCAAAUAAACUUCACCACAUAAGCUUAAAUUCUAAUUUAGAUAUCUUCUAAUUUAGAUAAUUUUUAACUGCAAGAUGUACGAUGAACGGAUAUAAUUCACAAAUCUCCAAAAUCCUUACAAAAAAUAUCCGAAAAAGAGCCAAAUUCAAUGGAAAUAAGCUAAUUUUGAAUCAAAUAACAUUACUUUAUUUUGUAAAUAAAUUAAUUUUGAAUUGAACAACAUUCAUUUAUUAUGUAAGUAAUUCAUUUUGUAUGUAUCAUCAUAUAUAUUAGGCACAUUUUAUCAUAGGUGAUUUUGUGAAAAAUUAAUAAAAAGUUACAAUAUUAACAAUAGAUCAAUAAUAUUUAUGUUAAUUAUAAAUAGGCUAACCAUGUAUUAUGAUACUUAAAUGCAUUUAAAAUAAAUAAAAAUUACAAAAUCUACUACUACAGCUAGCAUUCACUUCAACUAAAGCAAUACGUAGUUUUUAUAUUUGGAAUAAGUCAUACGAAUCAGAGACAUGAAGAGGUGUAAGAACUGUGAAUGUCCAACAACAAAGACUUCGGAGUUUGUUGUCGAAUAUCUGCAGCGCAUCAUUUCUGAUAGAUCAAAUCGAGCCAAUUCCCGCAAACUCCAAUCCCACCACCACCUUUCAAGCCGGACUCAGCCCUCCGGGCGGCAUUUGGCAGGACAGCACUGGAUCAAACAAGAUUGAGACUGGCAGUGGGAGCAAUGAACGAGCACACUCAGCAGGGAAGUCCAUCAUGGGUUCUAACCACACAUUGUUUCUCUACUUUGUGGCUUCCAACACGAUUGGAUUUUUUGUUUCACUUUACAUGAUCAAUGUCCUCACCAGCAAUUUCCCUCUGCAGUUGGAGCUUCAAAUUUGUAUUGUCGCGAUGUACAGCACGUACAACACUGCAGUUUUCAGCAUUGCACCGGAGAACGUGCGCUUCUUCGUCCUUCUGUUCUCUGUAGUUUUCCCAACUUUGGUUACACUUGCUGUCCAAAAUGAUCGUCUUUCGACAUACAUCACAAUGGCGAUCUUUAAUCAUAAUGACUUGUACUGCUCGAUCAAACGAGACGCAUGGAGGCGCGACGUAGGAGCCACGGUGCAGCCCAAACUUUGCAGAUAAGAAAUCUGGUAAUUCACAGCAUCACAAACAUGUUACUGGGUCUCCUGACCAUCGUAGAUGCCAAUGUGUGCACAAGGAAAGGAGUAAGGUAAUCAAAUGCUUGAGUCUUGUGUACCUGUUUCGGUGUUGGUUCGGAUGAACCCAUUGAGUUCUCGAUCCUUAACUUCUGGAAAUGCUCCUGAAAGCAUAAAUAUAUGUACGGAUUUAAACCAAUGGCAAAUGGACAUAAUUUACGGACAAUGAUUGAAGAAAAUACAGAUAUAAACGCCUCAGUAUUCCAUUGACGAAAGUUCUAGAUUUGAUGAAUCAAACGUCCCACGUUGAGACUGCGUUAAGGCAAAUGGUUCUCAAACACAAAGCAAUAGUUUGCUACCGAAAACAACCAAAGUCUGACAAAGGGAACCGUCUUACACCUAACCUGUUUUUCCCUCAUCAAAUGAGCGCGUUGAUCUGCAGGUAUUUUCUGCCAUCUCAAAACCUGUUACAAAGAAAUAUAACGUUGAUGUUGAGCUGGAUAGCAUAUUAUACCAAUUAUGUGUACAAACCUAUUGAAAUAAAGUAGCUGUAGUUGCAUAUUACGACAGAUAUUAACGAAAACAAAAGAAGGCUCGCCUAUUCAAGAUCCUAAAUCCCAUGAUUCUUUUGUUUUUAGUUUCAGAAAUUUUCAGAGCACAAACUGGAAAGUACCAAGAUACUUACAUAUUGGGCAUAAUGAAAUGCAUCUUCAUCUUUCAAGCAAGAUUUCAGUGAGCGCAAACCAUCCUGGGAGUUACAUAAGUCAAUCAGUAAUAUAAAAACGUAGAUGCAUCACAUCCAAACACAAGUAUUCAAACACCAACAACUUCUUCAUGCGGUGAGGCAUGUUAAAAAAUAGGGAAGAACAGUUAUUGAAUAGGAAGUUAAAGGACUAAAUUUAUGACCUUGUGUUUGUAGUUCUUGGCUCGUAUGCGUUCAUCUAUUACAAAACCAAUCUGUAACAGGUACAACAGAAAAUAUAAGCAGUAGUCAGAACAUUAAGCAUCGGCAUUCAAAUUGCCGCCAAUCCAAAGUUAAAAGUCUAAAGGCAAAACAGUAUGAUUCUUAUCUCUCAAACAAAAAUGAAACUAUACCCCGGUCUCAGACAUAAAUGAAAUAAGUUCUACUGCCUCAACUGAGUACUGUGAUUAUAUAUAAAUCCAAUUCACCUUGUCAAGUAAUCUCUUAGGAUCUUGAAAUGCUUGCUUCUUAGCCCAGUCAUUAAAUACAUGCGAGAUAAUCGAUCUCUCAUCCACACUGAAUCUAUUGCACAGUGACAGGAGAAUAAAGUCAAACAUGAACAUAACCAACCAAAAAUGCUAGUUAUAAUAGUACACCCAUAAUUGCAAGCAAAACCUUUUUAAGAAGCCAUUUCCAUGGUUUUCCUCCCCAAAUUCCAUCAAUUCUGCAGAGGCAACGUCAAAUUUACUAUGAUGGAGAUCAUUUUGCACCAUAACAACUUCAGAAGGUAGGAGAUUUGGUUUGAGAUCAUCUGUUGACGGAGUAGUUUCUUUUGAAGUGUCAUGAUGCUUUGAUUGCAAGCCUUCUGUACUUACGUCAGCCUACAAAACAAAAAUUGCAUUCAUCCACACUAGACUUAAUAAGAUUAGAAACACUUCAGAUUCUUCACUAUUUGUAAGUUUGACUAAACAGCAGAACAACUGAGGAUAAUGAACAGUAAUACACACCUGGACUUCUCGUAGAUGAUUUGGAAUUUCUUUCAGAAAUCGCGAAGGUUGAAGCAUCUGAAGGAGCCACCUUCUCAGUCAGAGCAACAACAACAAAUAAGGAGGACAGGAAUUCAAGCUAAAACGAACCUGCCAACUGGAAUCCAUCGUAACAUAAAGAAUGAAAAGCUUUUUUCGAGCACGAGUCAUUGCAACAUAUAAUAGGCGUCUUUCCUCCUAUGAUUAGAGUGGGAUUAUUGAGUUAUUGACCAAAAGAAAAAAGAGUGGAAUUAUUGUGACAAACACUUCAAAGCUCUGCAUAUAACUGAAAAAUGUUGAACAAUUUACCACACACCUCAAUGGAGGUCCCAUUUUCUUUUGCAACGCCAUUGAAUUCAUGCAACAACGGAAUCUCAGAUUCAUUUACCUGUGUUAUUGGCAUGAGCAUUAAAGCAAGCUAAGAUGAUUUGAAGAGGUUGAUAUUGUCAUGAAUAUAGUAGAAUAGAAUACCAAUUUCAAGCCAUCAAUUAGGUAUAGCAUUGGCAUGUUUAAUCCGUAAAUCUAAUGACAGAACACCUCAACUCUACACAUAAAUAAAUAAACAACCUGAAAAAUAUUACAGCCACUUGUUAAGGCAAAUACCUUAAUUAUGAAAACUAUAUCCCACUCUAAACCUUUUGACUGCAAGAGAAUGAAAAAGAAAGACAGUAAGCCAAGAAUGUUUUGUAGAACUCCAAAGGAAGUCCAAUAGGGAAAUCAUCGCAAGUAUAAGAGUUAGCGAGGUUCGCAUAAGAGGAUAUCAAAAAGAUCUAGAACCUGAUGAAUAGUAGUCAAAGUGACAGAACUUUGGUUGUCAUGUCUUCGGGAGUGAAAAUUUUCACUCUCCCGCUCAGAUAUGUAGUCGAUGAAAGCUUUGAGUAAAUUAACGCAGCCUUUUUCUUCUGCUACGACUUCUCUCUCCCCUUUUCCCGCAACAAAAUGAGUUGAUAAGAAAUCAGAUACGUCGUCUAGUAGGUACUGAAGAACCUGCAAUGAGAAUAAUCGCAUCAAAACAACAGGGUUGGACCAAGAUUUAAGUGACAACAAUGAUUAACUAACUAAAAUAGAGAAAUUAUUCAUUUAAGACCUUGUUGACUGAAAAAAGGGUUUUCCAAGCAGCGGGUCAUUUAAGCUUAUUGUAUAAAUGACAAUCAUCACAAACGGCAAACUUACAGAUCUCACGUCAUUGUCUUCAUUCAGCAGUUUUCCUCCAUCUACAUCAACGACUGCACGUUGCUCAAGAAGGUACUUCUAAAAACUGAAAGUCAAACGAUAAAUUAUUAAGAAGCAUUGAAUAUAAGCAUGAAACGAAGAAAAUGUUAUGGAAUGGUGAUCCUCAUCCUCAAAGAUGAUUAAAAGCAAUUUGAUUCAAAAAUGACAUAUCAACUCUGGAGAAAUGGAAGACAAACCUGUGGUACCAUAUUCGCAACUGAGGUUAUGACAGCUGAAAUCGAUUGUUCCUGUGUGCAUUGAUAAGUGAGACUACCAUAGAGAUUCACAACUAAAUAAAGACAGGUAUUCCACAGAACAACCUUUACCUCUUUGGAAACACAGAUCUAACAAAAACUAUAACAUUUUGGAUUAAUAUUGACGAAUCAAGAAUAAUGCAAGGGAGCAAGAGAUACUCUUCCUUCUAAUAACAAGGAGGCGUGAAAAGUUUACAGAGUUCCAACAAUUAGAGAACUAAAAUCAAACUAAAAAAAUCACCAAAGUAGACAGAAUCCCACUUCGCCAAAAAUUUGAAAAUAUAUCCUUUUUAUCCAUUGAGAUUCAUGAACUACUACUACUACAUCAUGCCAAUAAGCAAUGCGUAAGAGGUGCUACAAUUUACCGAAUAUAUUUACCCUGAGAACAAGUUUUGAAAUCAUCUCUAGUGUUAACAGCACCUUGCGUCCUUGGGUAAGCUGAGUCCUAUUAUCAAGUAAAGAGACCAAUCAGUACAUAUCCAAAAGAUCUUAAAUGCUUGUAAUACCAAAUAAGAAAGAAACAUGAGUAUAUCUUGAAUUAACAAUGCAAAAAUGUAAUGUUAAAGCAUCUUGUCAUACAGACCUCUUCAAGGUACCAGAAAUUUUGGCACUAAAGAUGUCACAAGCAGCUGAUAUGAAGCUGCAUUUUCUGUGAGUUGAAAUUUUGUCAAUAUAAUCAAUCACCUGAAGAGAGAGAGAGAGAAAGACAGUGAUAUCCAGAGAUGUGAGCCUAAAUGCUGAGUGUGUAAAAAAAGAAGAUUAAAUGGAUAGCAAGAAUAUACAACUUUAAUGCUGAAAAGAACAUUGAAUAUGAUGCUCAUUCAUCAUUGCCAUUGAACGUGUACCUUCUUCUUUUCCUCUUUCUCAAAAGCAAGUAGAGCCUUGAAGACUCGCCUAUAUGAUCCAUCAUCACAACCAGGCAAAGUUGUUUUAAUCAUAGCAACAAUGGCUCUAACUACCUGCCAUAAGAAACAUGCUACAUCAACAAGAUCACAGAGUGUACCAGAAACCGUAAUGUAGCAAAAUCUUAGAUAAAAUAGCUGGCCAAAAGGGAAUGGAAAAGCAAGCACAAAAAACAAUGAAAAGGACCAGUGAUGCCAAAAUUCUGGUGGAAAAGGUGAAAAGCUUACGUCUAUUACAGUUCUUGUAUGCAUUCUUUAUAACUUAAGUUCUACGCAGCAAAAACCACCUUAUGCACAACAAUAUUGGAAAAAUUAGAUACAUACAACUGAGAAGAUAGGUUUUCAUAGCUGGACAAGUGCUAACUACCUUCUUCCUAUAAACUGCCACUCCAUGAACAUUAAAUGGUAUUUUCCUUUCACGCAAGGCUGUCUGGAAGACUUUUCCUGAUACCUGUAGUAUAAAAUACAAAAGAAAAUGUGAGCAAAAUGUCUUAUAUGAUUCACCUCAUUCACAUUAGCACUAAGGCAAGUACGCUUGACCUGCCUCCGGUAAAGGAUUGCUAUAUUUCCAUAGGAGCACCCUGCUUCUGACCGUUUAGAUGCAGUCUCCAGGAUCUUGUCGACAACAAAGGCGCAUUGUGCAUCCUCAUUGUGACUUUCCUUGAUAAUUACCUACAUUUUGCCAGUAAAACCGGUGUCACUAACUAAAAGGACUGAAAAAUGACAUCAAAUUGUACUUGUUGGAGCAAGGAAAGAUUAAGUACCUUAGACCCAGAAGAAUUGUCCGUGUCAACAUUCUUUAGUUGGCAUCGCUUCUUAUUGUUUUUUAUAACAGAAGAUGCAGCUUCCACAAUAUAGCGUGUGGACCGAAAGUUUUUAUUAAGCCUAAUCUGAACCAUAAAGUUAUGUCAAAUCCCACAGAACCCCAUAAAAUAAAACUUACUUUCCUGUAAUUGUACAAUAUAUUUGUUCUAUACUAUAUAUAAUGAAAAAAGACACUGUGAAUGACAUAAGAUAACAUAGCAGUCAAGUGCGAAGCGAACCUCUUUGUUAUUUGAAAAAUCUUUACGAAAAGAAUCAAAUCCAGAAAUGUCCGCCCCAUUGAAACUGAAAAUGGACUGCAGCAGGAUAUAUGUUAUUUGAUUUAGAAAAGAUAAGGGCUGGAUUAAAAUGAGCUGAGAGAGAGAGAGAGGGAGAGAGGGAGCAAUAACAUUGGAUUUCCAUAAUAAAUCAACAACAUGCCUGAUCAUCAUCACCAACAAUGGUUAUGUGGUUAUGAGAGGCGAGAAUCCGCAAAAGACUAUAUUGCAUAGCACUUGUGUCUUGAAACUCGUCUAUUACAAUAGCUUUCCAUGACUCCUGGCACUCCUUCAACACUAAUUAAAAGAACACCAUGUAUCAACAUUUAGCAUUACUUGUAAAACUAGAUAAAUCAAUGAAAUAUACUUAGAUGAUAGAGACCUUCAGGAAAAUCACUUAGCAGCUUCACAGAGCAGCUAAUUAAGUCGUGGUAGUCCAAAGCGUUGCACGAUUUCAAGAUAUCAUUGUAAUUCCUAAGAAUUUCACCCUGAUUCAGAUUGAGAGCUAAAACUCAUAAGCAAUAGUUUCAAAGAACUGAAAUCAUAUCUGAAAUUCUAGUUCUGAGCGUACUCCUGUCACAUCACCCAUUCUUCGGCAUUCAGCGGGAGUCUUUCCAGAAGCUUUUGCCUGAAACAUAAAUAAAUUUAUUGCCUAAUGCCACAUAUUGUAAGACACACCAUUGUAUUGGUCAUUCUAGCUUGAUUGUAGCUAAUAUUUUUUAAAUCGAAUGAUUAGAGUUCUUAAUCCACAAUAAUCUGAACAUUAAAUUUGGUAUUCAAGACUGACCUGUGUCACAAACUUCAGCCAUUUCUUUGAUGCAUCCUUAAAAUGAUGUGGAGAUGUUACGCCGUUAGACUCUUCCCCAUCUAUAGCAACAUUAAGAUUCGUUUUACUCUUUUCAUCUUCUGAUAAACGCACAGCUUCAAUGAUUGCUCUUCUCUGUUGCCCAUGUCCAUAUAUCAAAAAUUCUGGUCUGCGCUCGAGUCUAAAACACAAGGCAACAUAACAGACUCAGCUAUACCACCAUAUGUAUGGUGUUCAAAAUCAAGGGAGGUGAAUCAAUAGCUUACUUCUCAGCAUGUGAUCGGCAAAGUUGCAAUGAAAAUGAAUGAAAUGUACUGAUUGUUAGUAGUUUGCCGUUGCUUUCCCAGUCACAGAUCCAAUUCGAUCUCUCAUCUCGGAAGCUGCUGCUGUAGUGAAAGUCAUUGCUAGAACGUUCGACGUGCUAAUGCCCUAAGAACACCCAAAAAAAAAAAACGAAUAAGAUUUCGAUCAUAAACAAGAAAUGUAGAGAAACAGACAAUUAUGAAAGAAAAAGUUAAGAGGGAAAGUAGCAACACCUCAUUGAGCAGCAUUAGAACGCGCCCAACUAUCGUUGAAGUCUUUCCACUUCCAGGGCCGGCAACAAUCAUCAAAGGUACUGAACUAUCGCUGCAAGCUGCCUCGAGCUGCCUUUCGUUGAGAGAAAGCAAAUACUUCAAAUACUCAUCCGGCAUGUUAGGCAAUCCAUGGUUAACAGAAUCUGUUUGGUUUUCACUACUCAAAGGCGGCGCUGAUGCGGCACUAACGACACUACCACAACUCCCAAUAUCAUCACGCUGAAUGUCCACACUCGUUUUCUGCUCGAUUAAAGCGUCAAUUUCCUGCAAAAUACUCUCAUCGAAAUCAUCAUCGUUAAGAAUUCCAGAUGCAGAGAAAGAAUCAAAUGAAGUCAGAAACUGCGGUUGUCUGAUUGGAGUUGUGAAAGAAUCCGAUUUUGACACGCUUGAUUCGGUCCGGCUAACGCUUAAGCUCCCGGAACACGAAGCACUGCCAUAUUCACCACGCGCUGAAUUGUACCGGCUUGCGGAAAUCGGAGGCGGUGUUCUUUGAACUCUAUUGAGCUGAGUUGGCGUUUGGAUUCCAUUUCCGCCACAGAUUCUGGAAUUUGAAAAACACAAUUGAAUUGAUUUAAAUUGAAGCAAGAAAACGGCCGAGUAGCAAAAAAAUAGUAAGAAGAUGAAACCUUUGAUUCCUGAACGACUUACUUGGUAUGAGGGAGGUGAUGAUCAGGUGAAACGGCGUCGUUGCGGGGGCGUUUGCGAUCAAUGAGGGCCUUGGCGGCUCUGCAAUUCCGAGAGAUGCGGUUUCUUUGUUCCGCCGUGAGCCCUCCGCCGUACGCCUGAACGUUUUCCUUGGACAUUGCUUCGAAGAUUCCAACGGAGGAUUUGGCCUGACGGCCUGACCAGGCUGAUAACAGUGUAAAACCUUAGGAGCUAAGGAAAAACUAAGAGAGAGAUCGUAGAGAGGGGAAAGUUUUUUGUUUUUUGGAAACUUAGAGAGGGAAAGUUUGUUAAACCUGCAUAAUAUUCUUUUCGUUCAACUUGUCUACAAUAAUUACCACUCUUGGUAUUUAUACAUUUGUAACACACCUCACUAACUAACUAAGACCACUACCAAUCAUACAUAAACACUUGUCAUAAUCCUAUGCACUCAUAGUAUCAUCACUCUAACAUCCCCCUCAAGCUCGUGUGGCAGAUUGCCAAGUAUGAAAUUGGAACAAUUACGAGUGAACUGGGGUGAACACAAGCCUUUGGUGAACAUGUCGGCAUAUUGAUCUGCAGAGGUAACAAACUGCAAAAUAAUUGUCCUUCGAUGAACUCUUUCACGAACAAAGUGGCAAUCAAUCUCUAUAUGUUUGGCUUUAGAGUGCAAUACAGGAUUAGUCGCAAGAGCCAUUGCUGAAAUGUUAUCACAAUUCAAAACUGGAACAGAAGGAUAACCAACAUGCAAAUCUCGAAUAAGUUGUUGUAUCCAGAUAACCUUAGCAGUGGUUGUAGCCAUUGCUCUAUAUUCAGCUUCAGUGGAAGACCUACUCACUGUAUGCUGCUUUUUAGAACUCCAAGAGAUAGGAGUAUCUCCCAAAAAAAUGACAAAACCCGUGGUUGAACGACGAUCAUUGGGAUCCCCUGCCCAAUCAGCAUCUGUAUAAGCUUUCAACUAAGAUGAACCUAAUUUAAAACACAAUCCCAAAGACAUAGUGCCUCUGAGAUAUCGCAGAAUACGUUUCACAGCAGCAAAUAAGUGGCUAAGGGUGAAUGCAUAAACUGACAUACUUGAUUGACAUAAAAAGAAAUAUCUAGUCUUGUAAAUGUUACGUAUUGCAGUGCCCCAACAAUACUUUUAUAAGUGGUAGGAUCAGAAACAGGUUCACUACCAUGAUUCAGAAGCUUCUAAUUAGGAUGACAAGGUGUGGGAAAAGGUUUAUAGUCCAGCAUAUGCAUAUUUUGAAGGAGUUCUUUGACAUACUUGGUCUGAUGAACAAAGAGUCCCUGAUCCUGAUACUCAAUCUGUAAACCAAGAAAAUAAUGCAACACACCUAGAUCUUUCAUGUCAAACUCACUAGUUAACUGACUAAUAACAUUAUGAACCUUCACAUCAUCAUUACUAGUGAGAAUGAUAUCAUCAACAUAUAAUAAGAGAACAAUAAUUGAUGAACAAUCACACUUGACAAAUAAUGAAGGAUCUGCAUAUGAGAUUGAGAGUUACAAGGAAAAGAUAUACAAGACUUAUUAAGUGUUGCAAUGACAAUGGAAUGUGCAGGAUCGCCUAAUCAACAAUGCCACAAUGUAGAAGAAAUCUUUUGACCCACAAAUGCAACUGGAUUAAAAACAGGAGAAAUAGACCUCUGUGGUUUGAUAUGGGAAGUGGAUAGACAACAUUAUUACUCAGCCCUUGGAAUAGCACUCUCCCGAUGACCUUGUCCUAUAGACAGAGAGAAACAUCAUCAAUGAUACAACGACACUAAUUAUCUUUGCACAACUAAUUCAUAGAUAAUAAGUGUUGUGAUAGUUUUGGAACAUGUAACAAAGAGUUUAACUUGAAAUUAUGUGACUUAGUGAGAAGAGAAGAGGAACCAAUAUGUUUGAUAGCUAAACCUUCACCACUAGCAGUGGUCACAGUAUCAUUUGAUGGAUAAAUUUGUUGCCAUGUGCAAGUUUGACAAAUCUGAGGUCAUAUGGUUAGUUGCUCCCAAGUCAAGAAACCAGAAAUCUUGUUGAAGAGUUGAGGAUGAUGCACCAGCUCGUGCUUGCACAGCAAGAGGAGGAUUUUGUGAGGAUAUAAUUGAGAGAUACAUAUGUGGUAUGACAGGAUACUGAAACUCGAAGCUAUUAGACUGUGGAAUCAUGCCUUGUGAAAGACCACAUGGAUUCUAGCUAGGUGCUUCACCAUAUGACCCAGUAGGCAUUGGAGUUGGCAUAGACGAGGAUAAACCCUGAGAGAAAUGCUAUGAUGUGUCUGUGAAAUUCUUAUUCCGAUCAAAGCAAGUAGCAGCAACACGGCAGCCUCUGUGACAAAUUUGACAUCCAUGUUGAAAACAAUUCAAUGCAGAAUGACCUUUGCGAUCACAUAUUUGCAUAAUGGCCUCUGUGAUCACAUAUUUGCAGAAUGGCCUUUGCAACCCUAGAAAGAACAAGGCGCGAAGAAGACCAAAUGUGUACGUUUCUCUUUGUUUUUUUUUCCCUCCUAAUCGUGCUGUUCGAAAUCACGGACCUCGGGCUUGGGCCUAAUGGGCCCAAUUAUGAGGCCUAUUAUCUCCGGUCUUCUCGUUCUACUUCUAGUUACCCAAAUUAAGAACGUGCUGGUUCGCUUUUAGCGCGAGAGAGAAAUGGAGGCCCUGAUUGCCUCGUACGGAAACUCGUCGUCGGGCUCAGACUCCGAGACGCCGGCUCCACCUCCACCACCACCUCCGGAGCUCAACAACCCUCAAGAACCGACCCCUGCGCUGCCUCCACCUCCUCUGUCACUUCUCGACAGCCCCAAUUCCUUCGGUAACCUCUGAUUCCCAUCAAUUUUCAUCUUUUAGCUUUCUGUUGUGAUGGCUUUUUCCGAGUUGCCCACCAAGUGUUUGAUAUUUUGCCUCUGAAGGAUUUCUGGACUUCUCGGCAAGCGUCCAGCCGAGCAGAGUUCGGAACUUUCCUCACGUCGAAGGGAACUACGCAGUACAUGUAUACAUCCCAGGUUAUCAAAAUUCUCGAAAUUUUCAGCUCCAUUAGCAAAUGCGAUCGCUUUGCACUUAGUUUUUGCUUGUUUAAUUGUGUGGUUCCAGUUUAUAUACCACCAGCACCAAGGAAAGAGAUGGCCUUGUUUUUGAACAAGCUAGCUUCUCUGGUGCCUUGUCUCCAUGCGGUUGACGUUGACUUCCCGCUUGACAUUCUGCGUAAGGACGAGCACAAGCUUGAACAAGUUGCUUUAGGCAGAGAGUUCCAUAUAAGUCUCGGAAGAACUGUUCCGAUUCGGGUGCACCAGAUUGAUUCCUUGGUGACAAUGCUGCGGCAGAAGCUUCAGAUUCAGAGGCGGUAUGGUUACAUUUACAUUCUCUUGUCUGCAUUGCGUGAAUUUAGUUCUGUUAUUUAACAUAAUUCUGUAAGCCUGCAAUUUUUUCGUCCAUUUUCGGUUUAACACAUUUUGUUAUUGUGCAACAGGUAUUGGAUUGAUUUUAGCAAGUGGGAGGUUUUUGUUAAUGAUGAUCAGACCCGGACCUUUGUGUCUAUCGAAAUCAUUGCUGCUGGGUUAGCUGAGGUAUGAUUGCUAGCUUUCUCUCUUGGUGCAAUUCUAAAUGUUUUCAGUUGUUAUAUGGGCUUAAGAUUUAGUAAGGACUUGCCGAAAGUCAUGGGAUUUUGAAAUAUCGAUAUCUUGCUUGCUUAUUAGCUUAGAUUUGGUCUUCGAUGCACUUGUAACAUGAAAAACACAAACGAAAACUAAUGCAUGAUAUGCUCAUGGUUUUAACAUGUGUUGUCCUGGCGUAAAUCAUGUUCCUAAUCCUGUCAUGUGAGUAUAAGCCUAUGAAACUCAGGGCAUGUUUGGCGGGCCGGACAAGAUUGGAAUUGGUAUUUCAGACUAGUUAGGUUAGGAUUGAACUGGAUAGGAUAGGUUUUUUUGUCUAAAGAUUGGUGUAGACUGUCUUAACCAGACUAGGAACGAUGGGAUUUAAAACGUGAAACAGAUCCGCGACAUCCCAACGAUGACCCGCCCACCCAACAACUCUGCUCGUGACUUGCAACACCUCUCGUACCCUCCACGCCCCUUGAGGCCCGUCAGACCACUCUGAUAUCCUGGAGGGGUGAAACGUGGUUACUAGAAGCAUACCUGUUUUCGUAUUAAUGCACAGUUGAAGCAGCUUUCAUUGUCUACAAGUCUGAAAUAUUUCAACUUCCAUUGAUUUCAGAUAACAAAGCAGAUUCAAGCUGUGAAUGAGGUGUAUAAGCUUCACAAUCUUCCUGAAUUUUACAAGGUUAGCUUUUUCGUGCUUUUCAAACUCGAAAUUACUUACUGAAUAUAUGACAAUAUAUUGGAGCAAAUGAUUGUGCCUGAAUGCUACUCAUUGCUCAAAAAACUAAAUCACUUCAUGGGGUGUUGGUGAUCACAGGAUCCGCGCCCUCACAUCUCGGUAGCUUGGGCAUUGGGUGACAUCGGCAAUUCCCUGAAGAAAGUGGUUGAAGAAGAAAGACGAAGAUCUACCAUCGGAGGAUCGUUACAGAAAUGUAUUUUUACCAGUAAAUUCAAUGGUAUUGAAUGUAGGAUUGGUAAUAAAACACACAAAAUAUGUAAAUUUUCUGAACAAUAAUGUAGCCAUUUAACUAUAUUGUGAAAUUCCGAGAAUAUAUCGCUGAGCAUUGGAUGAGAAGACAUUUCUUCGUUGGUGUCGAACUUCAUGCCGAAGGUAUAGACACCGUGUAAACGCCAUCAUCCAUGCAGUCUCCUGUGCAUUAUUUAGUAUUGUCUCAGUUUCUCCAAACUUGAAUGCUCCUAUAAACCCACUCUUGACCUUUCCGUCAUCUGCGAUUACCGGAAAGCUGGCAAGGAUGUUGCCGUUAACCUACCUAACCGGCUAGGAUGUUGCCGUCAUCUCCAAACUUUAAAUACCGGAAAGCCGGCUCCAAACUUCAAUGUGCUACUAGUUUUUGUAUGCGAGAGCUCCACCUCCAUUGUUGUAACAGCAUCUGAUGCGGACUAGUCCUUCAUUCCCGUUACUCUUUGCUAUCUCCACUUCGAACUUGGCGUAAUGGCUCCCGGCCUCCUCUCCGGUGAAAUUGAGAAACCCCGGAGCUGGCGUUUUCAUUCUGUUGUCCGUAUAUCUUGUAUUACAAGUAUUUGUUGUGCAAAAUGCAAGCUAAGUUCAAUUUAUGUUUAUGUGUGUGUGUGUGUUGCCACUUUGUCACUUUUCCAACGUUUUCUCCAAAAUUGUGAUUUUGGUGAAUCCUAAUAACAAUUCCCUCGUUAAUCAUUGGGACGAGCACCAAGGCAGUUUUGAUUCCGUGCACAACGGCGAUACCUCGAAAGAAAUUGAUUCUAACCCAGAAAGAUGUUUUAAAUCAAAGUUGAACAAGGGAAGAAAACUUUUGAAUCGCAAUCACAUGUCUGGUCAAAUUCUUGAACAGUUGAUGUAUACAGACGUUCCUUGCUUAUGACACGACUUAUGAGAGGAUGUAUGUAUUGCAUUUGCAUCAAAAAAGAGAGAGAAGGUUGUAAGUGGUAAGGGAACGACUACCGAUGCCGCUCCACUUCUAAUCAAAGGGAUCGAUCCGAGGGUCGUGUUCACUUGCCAUCGCCAUUCCAGUGCAAAGGCAUGUCGGGCACAUUACCUGCCACAUUUACAGACGCAAUGUUAGAUAUAGCUGCCAUUUGGAAGUCACUUCUCAAAAUUUUGCUACUAAAUUAAUCUUAGACUUCAUUUCCAGUGCAAUUUUUUGCUACUAAAUUAAGCUUGUGAAUAUAGUACAUCUAAGCGGCAGGCACUAAAAGGAAUUUAGUAUGCAAUAAACAUUCAACGGACUAACCUUUCCCGCUCCUGAGCAAUUUGAACAUCGUUCAGUUUUUGGCAGAGAUAGGGGUUGGUUUCCGCCAUCAGCUGUCGAUACUGGUUCAGUAAGAACAAGGGUUCCAGUGCUGGAGCAACGAGCACAAGCAAGAUAUCCUGCGUAAGUAUCAAAUACACAGGUAAGUUGACAUAUGAAACCAAUCUGUGUAAACUACACUGUAAUAGCAGAAGAAUAUGCAGUACGAGAGAAAGAGAGAGAGAGAGAUUUAGAGAGAGAAGUUAAUACUUCAUAUGUAAUAUUUUCUAUAUCAUCAAUCUUACAAUAUUAAGACUAUAUACUAUAUGAAACUGCUAACUAACUCUAACAACCUCUCUAACAACCUUUCUAAUCUUUUGACAAGUGUCUUCAUAUUCUACCAUUGGAUUACUAUCCUUAACAUCCCCCCUCAAGCUCAGGAGAGGUAGAAUCCAAACUGAGAUUGCGACAAUGAAUCUGAAAGAGAGGAGCAGAUAAUCCCUUGGUCAGUAUGUCUGCAUAUUGCUCACUGGAAGACACAAACUGAACAAGCAACUGCUUCUUUGCAACUCGUUCGCGAACAAAAUGAAUAUCAACCUCAAUGUGCUUUGUGCGUUGAUGUAGAACUGGAUUGGAUUAAGCAAUUACUGACCUUUGUGCAUCUUACUAUUCCUACUUCACCAGUUUUGUAUUGUGAUAAUAUGUCAGCAAUCGCAUUAACAACCUCUCUAACAACCUUUCUAAUCUUUUGACAAGUGUCUUCAUAUUCUACCAUUGGAUUACUAUCCUUAACAAUCUGAACAUCUCCAUCGUAUAUAUUUAAAGCUACAGUACAUAAAACGAAAAGUCAGAAAUAGAGGACAUUAUCACACCAGUUCCAAGACAAUAUUUGCAUCGUUUAUGCUCCUGCUGUUUCACAUUGUUUAUUUCAACUACCAUCAAUGCUGAGAUCACUCCGACUGCUCCUCCAGAGAAUGACGCCACUAUGGGAUCAACUUGACUGCAGUUUGAAAGUAAAGGAGAUCAAUAAACAAAACUGUUAACAACAUAGUAUCAACAUUAUUUAGCUUCGUUUCAAGAAAUAUGACAUCCUAGGUUUUUCUAAUGUGUAAAAAUUGAGGAUCCUUGACUAUAUCGGUUCCCAAAGCAUUUGAUUCCUACGUUACAGACGGAAAACAGUAACAAUCGAAUUUAAAGAUUCAUAACACGAUAGAUGGUAGGUCUCGGGUUCGAGACUUGGGAGCAGCCUCUCCAUAAAUGGGGGUAAGGCUAGCCGACAUUCACCUCUCCCAGACCCUGCGUAAAGCGGGAGCCUUGUGCACUGGGUACGACCUUUUAUAACACGAUAGAUGGUACAAAUUUUCAAAACGAUAAUUACUAGAGAACAGGAGGGUUAAUAGCCUGAGAUAUGAGCAAUACCUCAACUGCAACGGCAGAUGCAUAUUUACUAUAAAGUCUUUAUAUGAUGUGCCUCCUAUUCCCAGCUUCAACUCCAACUGAAAGAUGUAAAGGUAAUUGUAGGCAAAGAGUUACAAACAUAACCGAAUCCAUGUUUUAUAAGCAACAACUACACUUAUUUUGUUAUGUUUCCUCAUUUUUUACUUGCAAAUUCCGAACCAUAUUGUCGGACCAGUAAAAAGAAAAUAAUGUUUAUGAUAACUGUUAAAACUAAUCACAACAAGUUAAUGCAUAAAGAACUUACGGAGGGUGCUAUGAGGCCACCGAAAAGGAUAAACCCCGCAAUAAUUGAAUAACAAACAGCAUAAUAUUGCUUAAGGUUGUCUGAACUCUGCAAGCAAUGAAUUCACCUUGUGAUUAAUACUUUGCACAAACACUAGUUUUCGCAAUUUUUUAUGAAUCGACAAAAGGCUACAACAAAAUAUGGCUAAAACAUGUGAAAAUACAUGUCUUCACAGGGGCACCAGCUUACCAGGGGAGGCAAAAAUGGAAUGAACGAUGGAAAACUAGGAAGUUCGUUUUCUUGAUCUUCAUUUACCGCUCCAAGCUCUGCACGUUUAAUCCGCUGUUGUAUCCUCAGCCCGCGAACCUACGCAUAUCGAAGCUCAUUCUUAAAGAACACAUUUCUAAUGGCAAUUGGAGAGUAAUUUAAAACAUGCUAAACUGAGAAAGUGGUAGCAACAAGCAAUUGCUCUCACUUCCUCCAUAUGCAAGAAAAUUUUGUUGCGACGACUCCGAAUAUUAUCUUGAAUUUCCUGCAGCUCCAUUGUCGCAAAGUCCUGCACUGUUUCAGGCCCCUCUAUGAUACAAAAUCUGCACAAUUAAGCAUGUAAAAACUAAAAAUUACAGGCUAUAAAACAAUUUCCGUAUCAUUUUUGGGAGCUCUCUCUCUCUCUCAAACCAGAAGGCAGAGCUUUCUGUUUCUCUUGAGGUUUCUUUCACUGGUAAAUUCCAGAGAAGCAGAGAAGAAGGCUCUCUGAGAAAUGGCGAUGGUGCAAGUGGAGACAAAACAAAUGUAUAUCUUGAAGCACCGAAAUUGUGCAGAACACUUGUCAACUACCGAACUCUAGGAUUAGGAGAGAGAGAGAGAGAGAGAGUGAGUGACCGGCAAAAAAAAAAAUGAGGGAAGAAUCACCCACAUUUAAAAAUGAUUUUUAGGGGACCUGGUGUCGUUGGAUUCGAGUAGUUGUUCGGUAUGUCACAUUUAAAAUUUUAUUAUCUGAUGAUAAACGUCGAAACAUAAAGAUAGGUCAUCUCUAACCGAAUGAGGACUAAAAAGUCAUGUUUAGUACUAUAAUCCUGCAAUGAAUUAUAUUUUAAUAAAUAAUAUCAGGUUAUAUUUUAUACCAUAUCUAACCGAGUGGGUCAAAUGAUCAUAUGCCAAACAUAGCCUUUUGACAAAAAACUCAUCUCCAACCGAGGGGGCUAAAUGGUCAUAGACCAAACAUAAUUGCUCAAUAAUUUAUUAUUCUAAUUGAAUUAAUAUGAUUAAUUAAAUUAAAUUACCAUAUUAAAAUAAGAUUUCAUGAUAUAUUUUGAGUGCCACUUGCCACAAUACCGAAGAAAGCAUGGUAUUAUUGCACCUGCCACAAAGUCAAGCUUGACAUUCUGCUGCUGGAGGGCUGGCUGGCUAGCUGAAAAUGGCCAGCCUGCUGGCCUGAUUUGGGAGGUUUUGGCCCAAUGGGGCCCCAAGCCCUUUGGCCUAGCCUUCGGUUGGAAACGGUUUUCGUGUUAUUCUGAGUUAUUUUUAACCCUAUGAUCCUUUGGCCGGAUCGAUUGGAGAUGACCUUAGGUGUGUUGAUUGUCUUUGAGACAUCGGAGGUUCUGUGUGAUUGAAUACUUCACCCUCCUCCAAAGGCGCCACUCUUGAGAAGGUUACUUGCCUCAUGCAAACAUUGUGAAUUGCAAGUGAUGAAUUGUUCUGAUGAUGAGGUUUAUUUUUUAACUCAUUAUGUUUCAAGUUUAAACAUUUUUCCCUCUCUUAGUGUAAAAUAUUGUUUGUGAUAAAAAAACUUAAAAUGAGACACUCUCCUUCAUAUAUAAGAUGAUCAAGUGUGAGAUUAAUACUUUUAAUGAGUGACUCAAUUAACCAUUUUCAUUUCUUACGCGUUCAAAAUUAGACAAAUUCUUUGCAUACAUUUAAAAAAAAAAGAUAUUAAGGAGAGUAUAAAAUUAUUACAUUACGAAGAGAGAGUUUCGAACUCGGGACGUAUGAGUAGAACCCUAACGCCUCUCCACUAGGAUAUUAGACCAAUACUGGUCUUGAAUUUUUUUGGUGCCCGGAGCGAAUGCUCAAAACGUGUCUUUUUCCAGUACAACAUAAAUUAAAAAGAAAUAUUUAUAGAGGGCUAGAACCCAAUCGAAGCUGGGGGACUAGGCCCUUACGCCUAUAUUAUAUUACUUACCUAAUACAAACAUUUCUGAUAGAUUUCAGAGGCUCUAAAUGGUCAAACACUUCGUCCUUCCCAAAACCGUUACUGUUGAGAGGGUUCCUUACCUAAUACAAACAUUUUACGUUUACUUAGAACUAGAAAAAUAAGAAUUGCAGGUGAUGAAUUGCUCUAAUGAUGAUGUUUAUUUUUUAACUUAUUGUGUUUUAAGUUUAAAUAAUUCUGUUUCUUUGAUAUAUAUAUUAGUGUAAAAUCAUUCGUAAUAAUAAAAAAAAAGAAUAAAAAUGAUACUCUCAUUUAUAUACAAGUUGAUCAAGUGUGAGAUUAAUAAUUUUAAUGAGUGAAUUAACUAUUUUCAUUUCUUACGAGUUCAAAAUUACACAAAUUCUUUGCAUACAUUUUUUUUUUAAAUAGAAAAUUUCUAUUAUUAAGGAGAGAGUCCUAAACUAUUAGGUUAUGGAAUGUGAGUAGAAACCUAACGCCUAUCCACUAGGAUAUUAGACCACCAGAGCUGAUCCUGAGAUUUUUGGUGCCUGCGUCAAAAUAUGUCCUUUUCCAGUACAACAAUAUAAAUUAAAAAGAAAUAUUUAAAGAGGGCUGGAACCCAGUCGAAGCUGGGAGGCUAGGCCCUCACGCCCAUAUUCUAUUACUUGAAGAAACAAUAUACAACGGGGGGAAUCAUAGUACCGAAACCCCAACAAUAAAAAACAAAGUCACAUGCAACCACUCCAAGCAGUCAACUUGGCCAUUACAUAUUGAAUCCAAAAGGUUGACGGCCUAUUCUCUGCAUACAAUGCACAGAAGAUAACAAGAUUACUAAUAUAAAAAGAACAUCUGAAAAGAUGAACAUAUGCAUCAACAAAUAAGCAGGGGCGGAUCCACAGUGGGGUCGUCGGGGUCAAACGACCCCUUGGAAACCAUGGAAACAACCUUGAAGCUCCCAUAUGCGACCUCUUGGAGCUGGGGUUGUCGGGGUUGUCAGGAAGAGGAAGAAGAAGACUCGGCAGGAAGAGGAAGAAGAAGCAGCUCGCGCGACGUGUAGGUUCUGUGUAGAGUUUCUGACCUUUAAUUCCCACUUCACAAAGACGAGAGAAAGAGAGAGAGGGAAGGAAAGUCCUCGGGGUGGUGGUGAUGUAGACCUUCGUCGGGGUAGUGGUGUGGGUGUGCGUGGGUGUGGAUUCGAUCGGAGAGAGUGAGAGGGUUAAAGAGUGAAAAAGAGAGAGAGAGAGAGAGAGAGAGAGAGAGAGAGAGAGAGAGAGAGAGAGAGAGAGAGAGAGAGAGAGAGAGAGAGAGGAGAGUUCGGGGAGAUGAGAAGGAGGACAAUGGGGACUUGCCCCGUGGCAAGUUGUGAUAGGUAGGAAAUCCCAAAAAGGGAUCCGGAUAGGGUAAGUAAGUGGGGACCAAAUUGUAAACUUCAUUUAACUGUAGGGAAAUUGUGAAAUUACAAGGAAAUCUUUGGGGAGGGGUUUUACAGAAACCCUUCUCAACACUUAAAAGCAAACUGCGUGCUUUUAAUCAGGUUUGGCUCUAUAAUUGAACUUGUAACCAUGCCUUUCCCUAUGACGGAAUUGUGAUAUGCUUUGCCAGAUAUUCACAAGGAAUUCAUUUUUCUUUUUCCAAUUGCAAAAUAUUAGUGAACAAGUUGUUUCUUCUAUGAGAGAUCCAAGCAUAAUGGUUGGGUAGAUGCAGAUGAGAAAAUCAGCAGUUGCUGUAUUUGGCACAGUAAGAUAUUAACUCUUACAUCUAAAUUGAAAAACAUGAAAAUUUCCUAGUUCUCAAGGUCUCACGUGCAUGCUCAGAUACAUUUGUGCUUCAUAUUUGUGUGUUUGAUUCCGAGAAGGCUGACAAGUUGAAGCAAUCUCUUCCUCCAUGUUUGAACAUUCAGGACCUUUGAACAAGGAUUUUGGAGUAGCUGGUUGCGCUAUCCUACCAAGACCCGAUGAAAUGACGAUAUGCAUGCCGUUUCUGUUAAAAAAAAAUAUCCUUAUUGACCCCCCAAACAUUAUUUCCUGGAUCCGCCACUGCAAAUAAGUAAACCAUUCUAAGUGCAAUUUUAGAAGUGAUACGCUCCAAGUGUGAUAUUGGACAGAAGAGCGGCAGCUUCAACCAGUUCUGCUAUAUCCGGCUGGAUGAGAGCUGCUAAAGACAUGAUUGUUCCCUAAUAACAUGAAUAAAUUGAGUAAACACCAAAAGUAGCGCAGCAAGGGAAGGAGAUUUGAAGUAGAUGAAGAGGUGUAAUACCCGUAUAUGCAGCGCAUCAUUUCUGAUAGAUCAAAUCGAGCCAAUUCCUGCCAACUCCAAUGCCGAUAAUCCUACAGUAAAGCAUAAAUCUUAUUCUCUUCUGAUAAAGAUGUGUGUCCCUGACUCCAACGUGUUUGACGCACAUUCCCUACCCAUACAUUGAAACCUUCAUCUGCAAGGACGAAUCCCAGUUAUUCUUCUGGAGAAUUUAAGAACCAUGAAUCACCUGGUCAAGAAAAGCCAGUAACCAAUUACAAUUGAGUUUGAAGCACAUAAGAGCCUAAUUUAAAAUGUAUCCCAUGGAUGUUCAUCAAUUUACACAAUAGUUAGUUUCAAGAAAGGAAAUUUCAACAGAACCUGAAAACUUCAGAUCAGGGGGCACCAAAUAGUGAGCUAUACAUUCAAAAUUUGAAAUAAUCAACUUAGUGGGACCAAUAUGUUGAAAAAAUUGGAAGGAGCUAUGAAAGUAAGGCUUUUCACUAAUCAGACGUCCAGAGAAUCAAUAUUUUACUCACGGAUCAGUUACGGGGAACACUCCCCACCAAAGCAAACUCUUUCGUCUGAAUCUGGAAAACAAGCAGCAGUGGAUUUUAACAGUCUGGGUAUCUCAAAGUUACUUUAAUCACAAAUUUAACAAUUAAACAUAUAAAUGGGCAUUAUUUAGUGAAAUAUUAGUAUAGUACUCACUGUGUGCUCGGAACAAGAGUACCCAGAAAGCUCAAUGAGCUGCGCACAGAGGACUACAGCGGUGAACGACAGCGACCGAUUCUGUAAAAUUCAGUCGAGUUUUGGGUGAUUUCGGAGGUCAAGAGGCUGAUAAGGAAAGCUGCGACCGAAGGGCACUGGUCUGGAAGAAAAGGCUCAGGUCACUGCUGUCCCAAUUCGCGAAGGAAGUGCCCCCAAAACAAUUUCGGCCCUGGACAGGUGCACUGUUUGCACUGGACCAGGGCCGGCCGGCCCAGGCGAUAACGUCCCCCAAACAGUACAUAUACAGAUGCUAGAAAUAUAUUAAUGUAACCUGAAACUACUAGAACCAUUCAAUUCUAGCGUCUACAGCUUUAGCAUUAGUUGGUACAUGGGACAUUCUUCCAAAGAGGGAGAUGAGCUCGUUGAGGCUCUUAUUUAUUCCCCCUCUUGAUGUGCCCUUCUAGGCUGCUAAUUCCAGACGAUCCAAUCUCAUACAUCUUCCCUGCAAAAGCAUGUGUGCCAGACUUCAAGAUCAAAUUUUUCCAACAAAAGAAACUUAAAGAUCAAACUCGCCAGCGGAAUAAAUGAUGCACAAGGGUGUUAAAAUCUUGACAUAUGUAUAUUUUUGGCAGAUUUUAUGUGAGCAUGCUACUAAAACUGGCAUCACUAAAGAUUGGUGGAAAACUUUAACAGUUUGAGUUGUAACUUCUCCAUUGUAUUUGUUAAGGCAAGAUGGAUGACAUCUAUGCAAUUUUCAGUAGAACUUAAAAGGCUGCAUAGCAGCUCUUGUUCGUUGUAUUGAAUACCGUGGUUUUACUGAUGAAUGCAGAGUUUGUUGAUGAUUCAUACGACAAGCAAUUGAAAAUCCCAUCAUUAUGCCCCACAUAUACCAAAAAAAAAAAGUCAUUUACACAAAUUCAGAGCGUUCAUCCACUGUAAUUUGCAGAUAUAGAAACGUUAAGAUAAAAGGAAAUGCAAAGUACCUUUCACCCAAAUUGGAGGAGCACCGGUGGCAUUAGCAAGUUAGCAACGGGAAUUGACAUACCAAUAUCUUCACAGUUUCUGCACAAGCACAAAUCAAAAGAACCCGGCGGUGGAGUUAUGUACCUCUCCUUGGAAAAUGCCACCUCUUGGGAUUUCAAAAUAUGCAGCCAUGGCUAGCCGUCUGACCACGCCAAUUCCACCAAAGCCACCGCAACGCGGCGUAGUGUCCGAUUGAUUGCUUCAAAACAGAGCUUCGUAUCCAUGUGUUUAUCAGCAGAGAGUACCCAAAACCACUGAAAAUUAUUUCUUUAUUCAGAUAAUAAAAUUUCCCAAAUUUGGAAAUUUAAUUCCGAAUCAAAAGUAGGGUUUGAAUUUUGAUUACCUAGAAAUUGGGGGGUUGGGGUGGAGAGGGACCCGUGCCACGACGGAUCUCUGUGUCUGUUUUAACUCAUGCCAAAUUAUAGAGAGUGUCAGGAAGACUUAAAUACUGAAGCCCCGUAAGCCGUUCAAUCCAGGGGGGAAGCUCUUUGAUAGAUGUUUUAUCCAAGAUAAGAUAUCUUAAUCCUUCCAUAUUUUCUUCAAUGCUUGGAAACACCUCAAAUUUUGUACAACCGGAAACAGAGAGACGGACAAGGGACUUGAGCUGACAAAUGCUGCUUGGAAGGCUCUUUAGUUCCUCGCAGUCGUUUAGCUUCAAAUAAGUCAAUCCCGUGAGAUUAUUAAUCGACCAUGGUAGUUCUUUAAUUUUUGAUCCGGAUAAAUUAAGAAAUUCUAACCCUUCAAUCACUUCUGUAAUCUCUGGAAACAUCUCAAGGCUCGAGCAACCAUAAAGAUCAAAGCUUUUGAGUGAUUUCAUACGAAUGCUGCUGGGAAGACUCUUAAGUUUCUUGCAGUAUAGUAGAUUCAAAUGACUCAACCCCGUAAGAUUAUUAAUUGAUGGGGGCAGUUCUUUAAUUUUUGAGCAGCGUAAAUCAAGCUUUUCUAACCCCUCAAUACCUUUUGACAUCGAUGGAAACAUCUCAAGACUGGAGCAGCCAUGAAGGUUCAAGGUUUUGAGACAUUUCAUACGAAUGCAGCCUGGAAGACUCUUAAGUUCCUUGCAAUCUUUUAGGUUGAAAUGACACAACCCCGUGAGAUUAUUAAUUGACAUGGGCAGUUCUUUAAUUUUUGACUCGGAUAAAUUAAGCUCUUCUAACUCCUCCAUACAUUUUGAAAUCUCUGGAAACAUCACAAGAUUGGAGCAGCCAUAAAGAUUAAAGGUUUUGAGAGAUCUCAUACGAAUUUUGCUGGGUAGACUCUCAAGUUCCUUGGAAAAUUCUAAGUUUAAAUGACUCAAUCCCGUGAGAUUAUUAAUUGACUCGGGCAGUACUUUAAUUUUUGACGCGGUUAAAUUAAGCUCUUCUAACUCCUCCAUACCUUCUGAAAUCUCUGGAAACAUCUCAAGAUUGGUGCAACCUCUUAGAUUAAAGGUUUUGAGAGAUUGCAUGCCAAUGUUGUUGGGUAGAAUCUUAAGUUCAUUGCACCAAUUCAGAUCUAAUAAAACAAGCUUUGUAAGAGUCAAAAUCGACCCGUGAACCUCAACUAAGCGUGUACAACUUUGAACAAUUAGCCUCUCAAGAUUUGGCACAUUUGUGAAGUCAGGGGUUAUCUCAAGGUUUUGACAAUGACUUAAAUUGAUGAAUUUCAACUUUUCCUGCGUCUGUUAAAACAUUCAGGAAAACAUGCAUUACUUAAUAAGACAUCUUACUCAAAGCCCAAACAUUUAAAAGAAACAAAUACAAGUAAAUGAUUGUACAUACCUGGGUUCCUUCCCAAAGUCGGUUAAUGAGACUACAUCGCAUGUCAAGUUCAACAAGAUUUUUGAAUUGAAAGUUGGAUGGCAAAGACUUGAGAGGGAAUUGAAACCAGGAGAGAUACCUCAAGUUAGGUAACUUAAAACGGAGCCCACUCAGGUGGUGUUUCCAGUAAUCACGUUUAAAAACGGAGCCCUCACUACUGAUCUUGAGAAGUCUUAGUUGAGUCAUACUAGCAAAAGCUUUAGCAUUUAAGCAUACCCGGUCUGAGUACGAGAAAUCCACGAUUAUGCUUUCAACUGUUUUCGUAGCCUGUGCAAAUCAAAGUAUUAGAAAAUACAAAGAACCUUAGUUUAGAUUAUGAAAUUAAUGCUUGUUUCUUAGGGAGCUGUUUGAUAAUCAUUUCGUUUUUAGUUUAAUUUUUUUUUCAAUUUUCAAUUAUUCAAACAAUGAAAACUAAAAAUUAAAAAUUGAAAACAAAAAUGGUUAUCAAAUGGCCUAAGAAAUUGAUUUUGGUCAAAAGUUGAAGCUUUCUACUAACAAUUGCAUAAGAAAAAGACUUCUCACCGUAUUUUGAGUUAGCAUUUGAUUAACAUCUUCAUAACUCCACAACCUACUUCGUUUCCCAGGCUCUUUGAUAGAUUCUUGACGGACGAUUUCCCGACCCAUUUCCUCUAAUGAAUCAUGCUUCUCCAGUUCCCCCUCCCCUGAGACAGUUAUGAGAGCAUGAUCGAUUAGAACUCUUAUUCCUAUAUGAGGAUGGAAACCACAAUCGUCCAUAAUUCGGGUUGCACAGUCUUUCUUCAUCCCUUUAAAGAAACAUGCAAUAUCUAGAAAGAUGUCUUUCACUGUGUCAUCUAGUCCAUCGAAGCUUGAUUUAAGCACAUCAUGAAUUCCCCUUUGCGGGAUUUUCCUUAUUUUUUCUAACUCAUCUUCCCACUCACGGAUAGUUUUUUUAAGAAGAAAAGCUCCCAAAACUUUGAGUGCUAAGGGCAGACCUUGAGCAUAUUUUACGACACGCUUAGAGAGAUCAUCAUAAUCUCUGGUGGGUUGGUUUUUUCGGAAGGCGUGCUGCCUAAAGAGUUUCAGAGCUCCAGAAUCACUCAAAGUCUUGGGAUUAUAUAUCACAUCAACUAUGCUUAGUAACUGUGAAUCUCUACUUGUUAUAAUAAUCCUACUUCCACCACCAAAGGAAUGUGGCUCUCCAAGUAAAGCAUCAAUUUGUUCUGAUUUGUCCACAUCAUCAACAACAAUAAGAACUUCUCUGACCAAGGCUUUUUAACAUCACCUGAAAACCUUUGUUCGAUAUGUCAGAGCUCCCCACCUUGUUGUCCGAGAUACUAGAUAGAAGUUGUGUCUGCAUAUGUAGUUCGCCGUGCUUCAUGAAACCCUCCUUGACAUUUUUAAGAAAGCAACAAGUUUCAAAUCGACUAGCGAUUUCAUCAUAAACAGCUCUAGCGAUGGUUGUUUUGCCUAAACCACCCAUACCCCAUAUUCCAACAACGCGAACAUUAUUCGUUUCAACUCCAGGAGGAUGUAAUAAUAAAUGCAUUUCAUGCAUAUGAGAAUCCAUGUCAACCAAGCCAUUCUCUUUCCUUGAUGAUGAUGAGAUGUCAAUCAAUUUCCGAUAAACAUAUUCUACAAUUUCCUCUACGAGCACCGCAUCACUCCUGUCAAAUUAAAAAAAAAAAAUAUAAUAACAACAAAAAAUAAUAAUUAAUAGGUCUUUUUCAUCUGUUAGUUUUAAAAAAACUAGAAAUUAAAACCAAAAUCUUGUUGUGGUCUAUUUUAUCUGACAGAGGGACUAGGGCCGGCGGCAGAGAGAGAGAGGAGAGAGAGGUGUGUUUGUAGAAUUGUAGGGGAAUGUGUGUGUUGUUAUCCCUCCUACAUUGUGCCUUUAUUUAUAGUAGUAAAGGGAGAGAAGAUAUUCCUUCUUCUCCAAGUAAUACAAGUUGUAAUAGGAAAGGAUAACUAGAAUCAAAUCUUAUCUAGGAUUUACACAAUCAUACUUAAACUAGGAAUGUUUACAACACUCCCCCUUGAGUGGGUAAAUACUCAAGGUAGAUUCAGCAUCAUGCAGAAGUUGAGGAAGUCGACUCGUCGGCAUUGAUUCCAAGGAACAACGCUUAUUCUCAAUAAGGUAGGAACUUGCAUAAGUAGUAAGUCUCACUAAAAAACCCUAAGGCUAUGGCAAAAACCCAAGUAGGGACAAAAUCCAUAGUCUAAGGAAAAAUGCGUGAGGAAUGCAAAGUCAAAAGAAACGUCUACAGGACAUCAUCAGGGAUAUGACCAGCCCAAGGUGGGUGCCUCGUUAAAACCUAGUUAGGUAGCAAAAACCCAGUGGGAAAAAUGCUCCUAAUCGUAGGGAAAAAGAGUACAUUAAGAUCAAGCAAGUAUCCAGAAGAAACUCCCCCUGAGUUUGACAUAAUUCCAAAGAGAAAUAGCAAAGUUACAACUCAGAAAGUUUUUACGCAUACCAAUUCCAUGAACAAGCUUCUAAAAACGUCGCCUUCGGUAGUGAUUUGGUGAAGAGGUCGGCCAGAUUGUCUUGUGAUCGGAUUUGCGUGACUUCAAUCUUCUGAUGCUCUUGUUGUUGAUGUGUAAAGAAGAACUUCGGCGCAAUAUGCUUGGUGUUGUCUCCUUUGAUGUAACCCUUCUUGAGCUGUUCGAUGCAAGCUGCGUUGUCUUCAAAAAUCGUCGUCGGGGCAUUAACGGCGGGAUGAAGAUCACAGGAGCUUCGAAUAUGGCCCACUACUGCUCUCAACCAAAAGCAUUCCCGAGUUGCUUCAUGUAAGGCGAGAAUUUCAGCAUGGUUAGACGAAGUGGCAACUAAGGUCUGUUUAGUUGACCUCCAAGAUAUUGCGGUGCCUCCAACGGUAAAGACAUAACCCGUUUGAAGAACGCGCCUUGUGCGGAUCAGAUAAGUAUCCAGUGUCGGCAUAACCAACAAGGCGAGAAUCAACCCGAUGAGCAUAGGGUGCGGCAUCACUCGAGGAUUCGUAGGGAUAAGAUAAAGCCCAAAUCCGUAGUACCCUUAAGGUAACGGAAGAUGUCUUUCACGCCAGUCCAAUGUCUGCGUGUUGGUGCAUUGCUGUAUCUUGCCAAAAGAUUAACAGCGAAGGAGAUGUCGGGUCUAGUGCAUUGAGCUAAGUACAAUAAAGCGCCUAUCGCACUUAGAUAAGGAACUUCAGGCUCCAAAAUCUCUUCAUCAUCCUCCUUCGGACGGAAGGGAUCUCGCUUUGCAUCUAGCGUACGAACGACCAUAGGAGUACUCGAAGGCUUCGCUUUAUCCUCAUUAAAACGGCGCAACACCUUCUGGGUGUAGUUCGAUUGAAGUACUAGGAUUCCAUCCGAACAAUGCUCUAUCUCGAGGCCGAGACAGUAUCGAGUCUUACCUAGAUCUUUCAUCUCAAAUUCCGACUUCAGGUGCGAAGCAGUUCUCGCGAGCUCUUCAGGAGUUCCGAUGAGAUUCAUGUCAUCGACAUAUACUGCAACAAUCGCAAAUCCGGAAUGUGACUUCUUAAUGAACACACAAGGGCAUAGUUCGUUAUUCACAUAUCCCUGACUAGUCAAAUACUCACUUAAACGGUUAUACCACAUUCUUCCGGAUUGUUUCAAACCGUAUAGUGAACGCCUCAGCCGAAUUGAGAGCGUGUUCCGAGGUUUGGAAAUAUUUGAACCAGUCAAUGUAAGUCCUUCGGGAACUUUCAUAUAAAUUUCCGUAUCAAGAUCCCCAUAGAGAUACGCGGUUACUACGUCCAUCAGCUGCAUAUCCAGUUUUUCGGAAACUACCAAACUGAUAAGGUAUCGAAAAGUAAUCACAUCCAUAACGGGUGAGUAAGUUUCGUCAUAGUCAAUCCCGGGGCGUUGUGAGAAACCUUGUGCUACAAGACGAGCUUUGUAACGCACAAUUUCGUUCUUCUCAUUACGCUUCCGAACGAAAACCCACUUGUAGCCAACGGGCUUCACAUGUGGAGGAGUAGGAACUACAGGUCCAAACACCUUACGUUUCGCAAGUGAAUCAAGUUCGACUUGGAUUGCUUGUUUCCAGUUUGACCAAUCAGCUCUACGUCGACAUUCAUCAACGGAACGCGGUUCAAUGUCAUCGCUCAACAUGAUCUCAGUAGCUACUGCAAAUGCUAAUGCAUCGUCGACAAUCAUCUCAUUUCUACGCCACACAUCAUCUAAGCUAGCAUAAUAGACCGAAAUCUCACGAUUCUCGGGAGGAGGAUUCGUCUCUUCAAGGACGCUUCCAUAAUCUAGAAUUUCCUCAUGAGUUGGGUAAAAUGAGUAAGCGAUAGUCGGAUUCACGGUAGGCUCUUCAGGACCUUGUGCCGUGGUUUUCCUCUUCCGGGGGUGUGAAUCCUUUGAACCAAGGGGUCUGCCACGCUUUUGUGUAGGGGCAGAUGAUUGGCUAGCCGCUAAUGUACGUGGAUCACCAGAAUUGGCGUCCCGGGCUUCCAGGAGGGUAGUCCGUCGUACAUUUGGUACAUCCAUCUUUGCAGGCGUUUUCGCAGCUGGAAUAUGUGAUCUUGUCACGCGCGCUAGAUCGGUGAAAGCAUCUGGCAUGCUCUGAGCUAUGCUCUGGAGAUCUAAUAUGCGCUGCACUUCAGCUUCAGACUGAGCGGUGCGGGGAUCUAAAUGAGACAAAGUGGGAGUCAUCCACGAUAAUUCGCGUCGUUCAUUAGGAACGUUGACGUUCUUAUCUCCCCCUAACGACGGGAAGACUGUCUCAUAGAAGUGACAAUCCGCGAAACGAGCGGUAAACAGAUCGCCUGUCAAAGGUUCUAAGUAACGAAUAAUCGAAGGAGAAUCAUAUCCGACAUAGAUUCCCAUCCUUCGCUGAGGCCCCAUUUUUGUACAUAAGGGCGGCGAGAUCGGCACAUAGACCGCACAACCAAAAACGCGCAGAUGAGAUAUGUCGGGUUCGCAUCCGGUGACCAACUGAAGGGCACUAAAUGGUUGUGUCGCAACAGGCCUCAGGCGGACCAACUUUGCUGCGUGCAAUAUUGCAUGGCCCCAAGCAGCGAUCGGGAGCUUGGUACGUAUGACCAACGAUCGAGCAAUCAUUUGUAAACGCUUAAUGAAAGCCUCUGCCAGGCCGUUCUGGGUGUGAACAUGGGGUACAGGAUGUUCAACUUCAACCCCAACCGACAUGCAAUAGUCAUCAAAAGUUUUAGAUGUGAAUUCUCCAGCAUUAUCCAAUCGAAUAGAUUUGAUCGGAUAAUCAGGGUGGUGAGCCCUGAGCUUGAUAACCUGAGCCAACAGUUUGGAGAAUGCAGCGUUCCUUGUGGACAACAAGCACACGUGUGACCAACGUGUAGAAGCGUCAACCAAAACCAUAAAAUAUCUAAAUGGUCCGCAGGGAGGUUGAAUCGGUCUACAAAUGUCCCCCUGAAUCCGUUGUAGAAAAAUGGGAGGAUUCGAACGAAUCUUGUCAUAAGAAGGCUUAGUAAUAAGCUUUCCCAUAGAACAUGUUUGACAUGCAAUUUCAUGGAUCGAACCUAAGCUUCGGGUUAGUGGAUGCCCGUGUGAAGUUUUGAGGAUACGGCGCAUCGCUAUUCGUCCAGGAUGUCCCAAACGAUCAUGCCAAAGUGUAAUUUCGUGCGCGGUCCCUGUGGUAGGGCCGGCCACAUAGUGGCAUUCUAUGGGGCGUAUGGUCGUAGUAUAUAGACCACUCGGGUUACGCGCCAUCUUCUCUAGAAUACGCUUCUGGCCAUAUUCGUAGGAAGUUACGCACAGAAAUUUAACUCCGUUUUCUACGUGGGUUUCAGCGUGGUAAUUGUUAUCUCUAAUGUCCUUGAAACUUAGUAACGUUCUUCCGGAACGUGGAGAAUAGAGUGCCUCAGCAAUGGUCAAGAUUGUACCAUUGGACAACAUUAUACGUGCCUUACCGUAUCCUUCGAUCAGGUUGGAUGGGCCUGAGGGGGUUGUCAGAGGUGCAUUCUUAGGUACGAAGUUAGUGAAAUAGAUGCGUUCACGCAAAACAGUAUGCGUGGUUGCACUAUCUGCCAGACAACUAACUUUCCCACUAUUCAUACCUAGAAUUAAUUUGAAUUGGUCACAUGCAUAAAAGUUUAUAAAACAAGUAUCAAUUCAAAAUAAUUUCAUUUAUUCAAGGAAAAAACUUAAUAUCCAAAAUAAAUCGCCAACUAAUAAUCCAAAACAUAAAGGAAAAUUGUUCAAAAUCAACCAAAAACAAGGUGGGGUUCGGCCACUAGGUGGAAUUCGGCCCCAAUUGUCUUAUUUUAACUGAAAAAUAAGUCUAUGUCUAAGAUUCUAAUCUUCCAUAGGAGUGGUAUCCUCCUGAAAAUCAGAAACCUCCAUCUUUGUAAUCUCCGGUUCGUCCACUUGCAGGAAGUUUGAUUCAAACUUCGUACAACGAGAAUGAUAUGCAUCCACAACCUUCUUGGGAGUACGGCAAAUACGGGACCAAUGGUCCUUGGAACCACAACGAUAGCACAUAUCGUCAUUCAUUGUGGCAGGUGCUUUGCCCUUAUUCUUGAAGUUCGGGGCCUUGGGAGUGAGGUUUGGGCGCUUCUGGGCUUUGUUUCCUCCCUUGGAUGGGCCUUGGCUCUGUUGACCUUGGUGGGAUGGCUUCUGGCCGCCCUUACCACGCCUCUUUUGGCGUUUUGGGUGCUGAUUAGUGCUAUAAUGUGCUUCAGGCACAGCAGUAGCCCCAGUAGGUCGAGCUUGAUGAUUUUUCAUCAACAGCUGGUUCUGCUUUUCAGCAAGAAGUAAAACAGAGAUCAAAUCAGAGAACUUAGUGAACUUCUGAGCUCUAUAUUGUUGCUGCAGGACAAUAUUAGAAGCAGAGAAGGUCGAGUAGGUCUUCUCCAGGAGAUCCUCUUCAGUCAAAGUUUCAUUGCAAAACUUGAGAAGUGAUCGGAUUCGACAAACUUCAGAAUUAUAUUCAUUCACAGACUUAAAGUCUUGGAAGCGCAAGUGCUGCCAGUCGUGUCUUGCUUCAGGCAAGAAUAUGUCCUUUUGGUGAUUGAAACGAUCAGCCAAAGCGACCCAUAAUGCACGUGGAUCCUCCUCAGCAAGGUACUCAGUUUGUAGAGCGUCAUGGAUAUGUCUUCGGAUGAAGAUCAUAGCAGUGGCUUUUUCAGCCUCGCCAACAGGUUUAUCUGUUACUUCUUCAAUAGCAGGACGCAAGUUCUUUGCAGUGAGGUGGAGCUUCACAUCUUGAACCCACUUGAGGUAGUUCCUUCCAGAAACCUCCAAAGCGGUGAAGUCGAGUUUGUUCAAAUUCGACAUGUUCCUAUCACAAAAUGGAUGAACAAGAUGUGGUUAGUGUAAUGGAGAAAAAUCAAUCCAUUCACAUAGGAGUAGAACAUACAGGUUCUAAUAGACAUGUAUUGGUUUAAUUUUGCAUGAAAAACUUCGGGUUUUCAUGGGUGAUAUAUUUAAGUGAAAACUUCGGGUUUUCAAACAAGGCAUGUGUAUAAGAAACUUUGGGUUUCAAAGUAAUUAUGAACUUCAGGUUCAUAUAUUCCUGCAGGCAAACACAAAUAUAUAUGCAAACAAAUAUGCAAAGAAUAUAUGUAGAAAUAUUGUAUAAUGAUAAGUGAAUUAAUUUAUUUUUGGUCUUCGGGGCCAAAUUAAAGUGUGGGUGAAAAUAUAAAAACCCAUAUUAUUUAAAAAAAAUUAAAUAAUAAAAUCUCGGGGCCUAAAAAUAUAGGCCAAGAACCCUCGGGUGGGAUUACAGGCCCACGGGGUGAGAAAAGGGGAAUGGGCUGCUGUGUGCAGCCCUAAAAUUUUUUUUUUCUCGGGCCGUUCCAGGCGAGCCCAUAAUUUUUUUUUUCUUUUCGGGCCGUUCCAGGCGAGCCCAGAAACUUUUUUUUUUUUUUUUUAAUUUAGAUGCAUAUAUAAUUCAAUGAAUCACAUAUUUACUUUGAUGCAUAUGCAAAUAAUAGUUUCAAUGCAUGUACAUAUGUAAGAUUCAAUUCAUGGCAAAUAUCAAAUUCACAUAAUUGUAGCAAUUUUGAUUAUGAAGCAUACACAAUUUAUGUAGAAUCUAAAAUACGUAAAACGUAAAGUUGGGUCAUGCAUCAUGGUGAAUGUUCAUGCUAUCAGGGCUUGCAAAAUAUCGAGUUAAAAGCCGUUGUUUGGAAAGAACCUGAUUGCGUGAUGAUAUGGAUGAACUGGUUUGAUGCAGAAAAAAUCUCCAACGUCAGAUUCCUAAGCGCAACGGUAGGAGCGUGCUGAUAACGUGUUGUGGUCUAUUUUAUCUGACAGAGGGACUAGGGCCGGCGGCAGAGAGAGAGAGGAGAGAGAGGUGUGUUUGUAGAAUUGUAGGGGAAUGUGUGUGUUGUUAUCCCUCCUACAUUGUGCCUUUAUUUAUAGUAGUAAAGGGAGAGAAGAUAUUCCUUCUUCUCCAAGUAAUACAAGUUGUAAUAGGAAAGGAUAACUAGAAUCAAAUCUUAUCUAGGAUUUACACAAUCAUACUUAAACUAGGAAUGUUUACAACAAAUCUAAAUAUUUGUCAAAUUAUCUAAAUAUAUAAAGAGAGAGCCCCAGUUUGGUGAAGCAUUCCAAAAUGCCAAGAAUAUCCCUAUGUUUCCUUCACAAUCAAAAUCCAAAAAAUCCAAAAAAAAGGAGGACAAACUGGUAAAAAACUUAUAACCGAACAUAAAAUUGUAUUGAAAGAAAAAACUAAAUUUUUACUAAAAAUUGAGAGCAAGAAAUACAAAAAAAAAAAACAAAAAAAAGGGAAAUUAAACCGAAUACUGGUAGAACAAGUCCACGUAAUUGAUAAUUGACGAAUGCAAUGUUGGUAACUGGUCUUGAUUUAAAAUAAAAAGUUGAAAACACAAAGAGACAGAUGCAGUAAAAAACACCAAUAAAAAACAAAAUAAAAAAAAAAAUAUUGGAAACUGAGGAAAGAAACGUGGGAGAGAGACUGCUGUUUUCAAACUGCAUUAAGUUUAAAGGCUCUCAUGUUAUUGCUAAUGGAAUAAAACAAAAAAGAAAAUAAAAAGAGACCUAAUACGUUUAGAAUAGAACUGCUAUUCGACAGUUGCAGGCUUGAAGUGUGUGAAGGAAACAGUUUUGAAGAACGAUAAACUCGAACGUUCAUGAAAAUAAAAGCGAACGUGGGAGAGGAACCAGUUUUGCGGGACAUGUAAAUAAAACACAAAAUAAAAUAACCUCAAGAGAAUAAAUUGAAAUUGUUGUGCCAGAGCCUGAAGGAGAAGAUCAAAUUGGCGAAAACCAACAAGAACUGGUAGUUCUGUAGUUCUCAAUUAUUAAAUUUGUGUGUUUUGUUCUCUAUCAAAAUGCUUCUUAUUCCUUAAUCUUCUCAUGCAUUUUCACAUGAUUAUUGAAAAUUCUGCACGUUAAUUGUAAUGGUUUGAUUGUGGUUUUUGUUCUCUGCAGGUUUUUCUUCCCUUAUCUUAUCAAAUAAAUCAAUUGAUAGGUUAGGCUUUCAUUUUUUUUUCUUCACAGGACUUUUAAGGACAUCCUCAAGUCAAAGUGAUGGAAUCAAAGUCUUCAGGUUUGGAUGCUUUUUUCCUUCUCUUUUUAGAGUAAUUUUCGAGUUUCUUCUCGCAUUUUUCGGGUUCCUUUCCCCAGUCCCCCAAAAUAACAAUAACAAAUUAGGCUUCUUCAUUUUUAGACUCUCUUGGGGUUGGCAGAUAAGGGGUUGCUUGCAUUUAAACCUCACCGUCCGGCUUCUUCUUUCUUAUGAAUUUUUAUCCCUUUCCUACGGCCAGUUCGUGAAGGCCGUUUUCAAAUUGAGGUUUUGUAUAUUCUGUCUCUUAAGAUUUGAUUCUUUCUAUUUUGGAUUAUUUUUUGUCUGAUUUCUCAAACAAUUUGGCUAAUGAAGAGUUUAUGGAUAUACAAUGGGACAAUAUUAUUUUCUCUCUGUUUUAUGUGUUUAUUUAGUUUUACUGUAGUUUUCAUCUAUGCCUUGAGUUUUGGCUUCUCUAUCUUUUUAUCUUUUGUAGCGUUCCAGGUAAAUGGUGAGAAUUAUUCAAGUAUGCGACAUCAUUUUAGUUUCAUGUGAAAAAUCUUCUCUUAUAAUUUUGUUUGAGUGAUUGAAUGUGCAUAUGUGAGCUCUAAGGUUUGGUUCCAUAUUUAUUGUUGAAGAAAAACAGGAAGUGAGGAACACAAUAACCCUACCACGAUUAUGUAUGAAAUAAAUUGGAUCUAUUAAAAACUCAUAUUUUGGGUGUGUUGUUAGGAAGAAAUGCCUAAACUCCGAAUUUGUAUGGAACAUACUCAUUAUAGAAUAGAUUAAUUGUAUGUGUUAUUGCUUUUAGUACUAAAAUUGACUUAUUUGCCCUCCUACAAGUCAUAGCUUUGCUAAUAAAUUGAGAACAAUGUCUGAUUUAGUUUUUUUUUUUUGUCGAAAUGUCUUAUUAGUUUAACUCUUUUCAUUUGAUAAUUCUCUUGCCCUUGGUUUGAGAUAUAAAGUAUUUCAUUUCAGUCAUCAAGUGUCACAGCCUGUCCCGAAAUAUUUUAUUGAUGUUGUGAAAUGACGAAACUGCCUUUGAGCGUUUUUUGACAUUUAAACUUUAGGGUUUGUUUUGGUAACCAUGGUUGUGUUUAGGGUUAGGUGGAAGUGUGAGGACACACACAUCACCCUUUCCCUUUCUUUCUCUUCUCUCCCGUGCACUCUCUCUCUCUCGGAAACACUCUCCCUCUCGGAAACACUCUCCCUCUCUUCCUUCUUUGUACGGACAACAUCAAAACCCUCUCAAACCUUGUAGAUCGAGGGUGUAAAGAACACCAUUGGGUUCGUGAGGAUCAUACAAGUCAAAAGGUACCAGUUUCAGGUAAGGAAACCUUCGAUUUCCCGUGAAAACCCUAACCCUCCGAUUUUGUCACUGUUUAUGCUCAUGUAAAACCUUGUGUUUUAGGGGAUUUUAAGCUCAUAGGGAGCUUUAGGAGGUCCUAAGGAAGAUCAGAGUGGUUUGUUGGAAGAAUUUGGACGUCGAAAUAGUGAGAUCGACGAGUUGCAGGGUUUGGCCUGAUUAUCGAGGUUUUUUUCCAGCGAGUUGGAGGUCGAGGCAUGUAUGGUUUUGUUCGUCUUUGUGAGAUCUUCAAAUUGGUUCAAAUUUCAUUGAAAAUGGUGCAAAAAUGAAGAAGUUAUAGGCAUUAGAAAUUUUUCCAUAAACCGGUGACUCACCGGAGAAGAAAGGAGUUGACGGAAUAUACUAACGGCGUCAUGUAUCUUUAACAGAUUCAGUUAGUUUUAACGGAAUAUUCCUGACGGCGUUAACUGACGCCGUCAGUGUGCCAAGCACAUGGGCGCACGUGGGGGCGCAUCUGGCCGUGCCUUGGCCACGUGGGUGAUCAGAAAAUUAUUCUAAAAAUAUGGGGAUGUUUCUGAGGUUGUGUAGAUCAUUUUGGUAUAUUCAAACACCCCGAUUGAGCAUUGUAUGAGAAGUUGUUACCAAGUUUUGUGUUUGUGCUUUAAAAGUAACGUUUAUAUAGUUGUUUCGCAUAUAGGUGAGACCUAUCCCGAGGACGAGCGAAGUCAGGGGCAACUCGGGGGUUACGACCCUUCCACAUACCAGUGAGUAUAUAUAUAUAUUGAAUAUUUUCCUAGAAAAGCGAUUUAAAUGUGUGAAAUCCCGUUUCUGGAUUUCAUUGUUAUCACCUACAUAUUUGUAUUAUUGAGAUUUUAUAUUAUUUCUCGAGAAUUUAUUUUAAUUUGUUUGAAUUUAAAUUUAAAUUAAAUUAGUUAUUAACGUUUGAAGUUUGAGGCAUUUUAGAAAUAAAUAGAAAAAUCUGAAAUUUUCUUAUGAAAUCUGGUGUGCCACAUGGGUGGCCCAGAUUCAAUGGAAAGGAAAAUGGAUGGUGGAGAUGCAAAGGAAAGGAUUUAAAAGAGAGUGGGCGCUGCCCAGUUAGGAGGGGGGAGAGAAAGAGGUGACCAAUUGGGCGAAGAGGAAAGGAGAGUAAGGAGAGAAGAAGAGGAAGAGGGAACCGGCCGGGGUUUACUAUGGCCCAUGACCCGACCCGGUUAUAUCUCCCAACUCCGGCCACCAUGGACGGCUAGGAUGGUGUCAAAAUGAUCCUUAGCUCGAGGCCAAUCGAUCUCUCUUCCAUUUCUACACUUAAAACGACGAGGGGGAGUCCAAUUUUGAGGAAAUACCACGGUGGGUGCGUCGGGCUUAUGUGGAAAUCCAUUAAAUCUUGAAACGUUUUCUUCCAAUUACAACCACCCAUAGCAUCCUCAUGAGGCCUAGAACAAAGCCCAGACAAGUUUGGGGGCGGCAGAGUUGUUUUCGAGUCGGAUCGAACACACCUAAAAACAAGGGUUCCGUACGGUUCGAGUGAAAUUGGGGAUUUUCCCGGCCAAAUUGGACUUGGCCACAGGUAUAAAAAUUGCUAUACUCAUUGAAAUCUUCAUUUCUGUAAAUUUUGAUAAUUUUUAAAAAUAGUUGAAUUUUUCCGGCAAGUCGGGGCGGCCGACGGCCACCCGUGGCGGCGAGUGCGGCGGUUUCCUGGCCAGUGGGCCGAAAAUAUCAUUUUAAGUUCAAUUAGAUGUCUUGAUUUCAUAAUUGAUAUCCUUAUGAUAUGGUUUGAUUGUUUGAACCUAAUUUCAUUACGAUACGUGGUUAGGUCAAAAUAUGAUUCGACGAUCCUACCGUUGGAUCGUCACCAAACCUUAAUGCGUGAUAGAACAUAAUAUUUUUGGAUCAUAGAAACUUACGGAUCGAGAAUCUGACGUACGGAUCUUCCCUAAUUGGAUUUCUAAGUUUGUAAAAUUAAAUGUCGACCGCCACUUGAAUUUUGAAAUUGGCGGAGAUCCAACUGUCGGAUCAUGUUGAGAUUUCAGUAUGUUGUUAUUUGAGCAUAAUGUGGACUUUGGAAAGUUUCGGAUCGGAAAUCCGAGGUGCGGAUCUUCCGAAUCAAAUUACAUAAGUUUGUGGACCCUACUGUUGAUCGAGAGUUGACUUUUGCUCAACAUGUCAUGAAACGUCCUAAUUACUAAAAUUAGUACUACAGGGGAACUAGGUGAAGUCUAGUGGGCAUGCAUUGAUUAGAGAGUGACUUGAAUAUAUGUGAUAUGAUUAUUACCUUAAUUUCCUAUUAGUAUCCUUUGUGAAGAUGAAUUGGUUUUAUAAAUGUGAUUUCUAUUGAAAUGUGAUUUUUAUAUAUUUAGCCAUAGGCCUAUGAUUAUUAAACAUGAUUUGGCUUGGUACUGAUGAUGGUUGUGACAUAUGUGAGUUAAAUUAUCUUUUUAGUAAUGUGAAUGAUGUGUAUGAUUAUUUUCAUGACAAUGUGAUCCUAGAAUCCUAUUAAAAGUAUGUUGUAGCACUUAUAUGCUUGGGUGCCAUAUUAGUGGUGACCUUGAGAAGUUGAUGGUGUAGGUGACUACGUUGUAACUCAUAGGGUUGAGAUGUGAUGUGGAUAAGUUGAGGUGUUGAAAUUACUACACCAUGUAGUAGUUGUACAUUGAUGGUCCUGCUUGGUAUAUCCGCAUUGGGGGACCAUACGCAUUCUAGGAGUGAUCAUGCUUGGUAUAUCUGCAUUGGGUGAUCACUACCUACCUGAUUAUCUUGACCCUGCUUGGUUAAUCCGCAUUGGGGGGUCACAAGUGGUCCUGCUUGGUUAACCCGCAUUGGGGGACCAUACUUUAUAUGGAUCGCGCUUGGUUAAACCGCGUUGGGCGAUCCUUAUGGCCAUGUAUGCUUAGGAGUGAUCAUGCUUGGUAUAUCCGUAUUGGGUGAUCACUGCCUAGGAUAUUAAACUAUGCAUACGGUUUUGCUUGGUAUAUCCGCGUUGGGGGACCAUAUGCAUUCUAAAAGUAAGGAGGAUUAGUUGUGUUGAUGCACAAAAUCAGCGAAGACUUUGGUACAACAGAAAGUGUCAGGUUUUGUGACCUUCGCUUGGUUGCUUCGGUCACUAGUGAGGAUAAAUACGUAAAUAAAUAGAGACAGAGAAGCAAACACAGGAUGUACGUGGUUCACCCAGAUUGGCUACGUCCACGGAGUAGAGGAGUUCUUAUUAGUAGUGAAGGGCUUACACAAGUACAAAGGAUCAAGCUCUCAAUUUAGUGAGUUCUUGUGAAUGAUUUACACAAAAUGGCAUUAGGCAAUAUUGUGGGGGAAUGACCCCUAUUUAUAGAAAAACUUGUAGCUUUGUCACAUUGACAUGUGUCAUGUUAUGAUUGGUUCUUGAUGUUGACACGUGCUGCGCUCUGAUUGGCUUCUAAUCCUGACACGUGUCGAGUAGUGAUUGGCCUCCUGGUCGGAGGGGAACUCUUCUGGGUCCUUGACAGUAUAGCGUUGGCUGGUACUCGGUAGUUUCGGGAUUGGUCAAGUAUGGUACAAACAGUGCUCCCCUAAGUUCCCGAGUGAGGGAAACUCCUCGGUUGGGGACUUGCAAGAUCCAAUCCCUUGAGUAAUCACGAAACUUCUAAGUACCGAAGUGUGGUCUGAUCUUCAUCUGCCCUUCUCUGGAAGUACCUUUCCUCCAUCCGGGAAUGGUGUAUUUAGCUGAUGUUGACGCACAAGCUAAUGUAUCAAUUUCACUUGAAGCUUAGUUGUAGUUUCGGGCUUAGUCAAGUGUGAUACAAACCCUAUAGUAGGAGUCCCCCAAGUCGCCGAGCUAGGAGAUCUGCCGAAAGAGGUGACAGACAAGGUAAGCAGUCAAACUUCCAAGUAAGCAACCCAGGAUCAGAGGUUUGACUUCGGCUUCCGGUUGAUUGUUCUCAUUCUCCUUGUCUCUCAUUCAACUGCCAGGAUAAGGAGAAGCAAAUGGAUAAGAGAUGAUAUGAGAUACUUUUGCUUUUGAAGAAGUAACUUUCCACAGGCUUAUUCUUGAACUGUGCUGGAGGGUUUUCUGGUGCCCUUCAGAGUAUAAGGCCAACUCAAAAAUUUGAGGGUCAAAACAAGUCCAUCAAAUCUAGAGUACGUUCGACCUUGAUGAUAUGGGAUACUUUUGCUGUUGACGGAAUAAUGAAUGUGGUAUGGAAAGGUGUCGUGCUGUAGUGAUCUGUUUCAGCUCACCGUUUGAACCUUCUGCUUCAAUCUUUUGCAUGGCAGAAGUGGUGUGCAACCUUUGCAUUUAAAUGGUCCUUCAGAACAUUCCUUCAUAGUGACUCAUCCACGCUUGGCAGCUUCAGUGUAAAGAGCCAAUAUCUGAUCAACUGUCAUGAGGUAUUUGCCGGUGGAAUUCGUGACCUUGACAGCAGUUGAGGAUGAGUACUCGAGAGCAAUGCUAAGUAAGCAACCAGGCAAAGGCUCCAGGCAGUCAGUUCCAAAUUGGAGGUUUGAUUUCAGGUUCCGACUGACUGCUCUCUUUCUCCUUGUCCUGCAGGUGUGGACAAGGACAAAGACAAAGACAGGGAGAAAGCAUGAUAUGGGAUACUCUUGCUUUCGAUCCUGAUGAUAUGAGAUACUCUUGUUCUUGGUGUGGCUUAUUUGCUGAGGUAUUAUCGGGGGGAAAUAAAGCUGAGUAUUUCGAGAGGUUAUGUUGAGGGUGCCUUUUCGAAUGCGAGAAAGGGUUGAGCAUUUUUGCAGGUUUGCCUGUCCGUUGAGGAGGGAGGUCAAUGUAUAUAGGGAUUUCCCAAUAACAAGUAGUAAUGCUAUUCCUUUACCCUUCUUGGUCACAGCAAUGUAGUGGGAGCUGCCAGCUUCACGUGUUUUAAUUUUGUCAGAGCACUUUGAAAAAAGUGGUAUGUGGUAUCUGGAAAGCUGAUGUUACGUGUGAAGAUUACAGACAAGCUUUAUCUAAGGAAAUCUGGCUCUCGAAGUUCUGAGAGUUGUGCCUCUUCGGUUUUCGAACAAGCAAUCCCGUCGAGGAUCUGACUCUCGAGAUUCGGAAAGCGGUGCUACUCCGGUUUUUUAGAAAGUAAUUAUGUUGGGAGUCUUUUCUUGAAUGUGAGUAAAGGUUGGACGUUCUUGCCAACCUGUCUUGCCGCAAAACACGGAGGUCGACACACAUAGGGACUUUCCAGUUGUCAAGCAGUGGUGCUGUUCCUUUACCCUUAUGGGUAAUAGUAGGGUAGCUGGAACUUCGAAAUUCUCGUGCCUAAACUUUGUCAGAGAUCUUUGACAAAGUUAUAUGUGGUACCCGAUGAGUUGAUGGUGCAUAUGGAGAGCGGUGAUUGAACAGUAAGAUUCACGUGCUUUCUACUUCACCAGAAAUCUUCGACAGAUUGCCCGUAAUUUCUGCAAAGCUGAGUGUGCAUGUGACAGGUGCUGACGAGGCUGAAAAAGCAGGUGCUUCUUUGAUUUCUGAGAUCGGCCCUCGUGGUCUCUGAGCAGCCCAGCUUUUGAGAAAGCAAACGCCUCUUCGAUUUCUGAAGCUCCGUCGAGUGCAGAUUUUUAUAGAGGCUGGCAUUAAGUUCCACAGCACACUUGAAUCUCUACCAGUAGAAGCUCAUUUCUUGCACUUCUAAGAUCUUGAUUUGUCUGACCUCUUCCCUCUUCAACACAUUUGAAAAUGUCUGGACCCUCCGACCGUCGUUUUGACUUGAACCUUGGAGAAGAGACAGCCACGCCUUCUCCAGACAACAUAUGGCGCCCAUCAUUCAUAUCCCCUACCGGUCCUCUUACCGUUGGGGAUUCUGUGAUGAAGAAUGAUAUGACCGCUGCAGUGGUGGCCAGGAACCUUCUCACUCCCAAAGAUAACAUACUACUUUCCAAACGGUCUGAUGAGUUGGCUGUUAAGGACUCUUUGGCCCUUAGUGUUCAGUGUGCAGGUUCUGUGUCUAAUAUGGCCCAACGCCUAUUUGCUAGAACCCGCCAAGUUGAAUCAUAUUGGCUGCUGAAGUGAUGAGUCUCAAACAGGAGAUUAGAGGGCUCAAGCAUGAGAAUAAGCAGUUGCACCGGCUCGCCCAUGACUAUGCUACAAACAUGAAGAGGAAGCUUGACCAGAUGAAGGAAUCUGAUGGUAAGGUUUUACUUGAUCAUCAGCGGUUUGUGGGUUUGUUCCAAAGGCAUUUAUUGCCUUCGUUCCUCUGGGGCUGUACCUGGUAAUGAAGCUUCAAAUGAUGAACCUCCAAUGCCUCCUCCUUCUGGGGUUUUGUCAAGUACUGAGGCUCCGGAUAACCACCCUCCGGUGCUUUCUCUUUCUGGGGCUCUACCGACUGCUGAGACUUCCCCUAAGCAACCUUUGUGAAGGCUCCCUUUUGUUUGUUUAUUUUGACUCAUGUAUAUGUACAUAUUUGUGGCUUAUCGAAAAUAUUAAUAAAAUAAGCUUUGCUUCAUUUCAACAUAUUGUGUUAAAUACACCAAAGCCUUCUUCAUAAAGUUCUUUGAAUUUUUGCUUUUGUUGAAACCUGUAUUGUUGAAGCUUUGUGAGUGAAGCAUGUAGUUUGAGGUAGUGUUCCCUUAAUUUCUCGAGUGAGGAAAACUUCUCGGUUGGAGACUUGAAAAAUCCAAGUCACUGAGUGGUUGUGAGACUGCCGAGUAUCAAGGUGCAGUAGCAUAUGGUGGGAGUCCCCCAAGUCUUCAGGCGAAGAGAGUUGCCGAAUGAGGUGUCUCGCGUGUUACUAAUUUGUCAAAGUAACGAAUUCUUGUUUCGAUGUCACACAUUCGUAUAUGCUUUAUCUAAAAAAUAUUUCCAACUUUUGUGUGUGUUUGAUGCUGCAUGCUAUUGACUAGACAAGAUCAAGUGCAAUUAGUAGCUUUCUCUCUUUUUCAUCUUUUCUUUGGUGGAAUUGCUUUUCGUUUCCACUAAUCAGCCUGAGUGGAUGCAAGAUAACACCUUUCUCUAUAGCUCAGAUUGCAAAGUCGUCUUCAUGAAAGUUUUUCCUUAUCUUGUGAACUACAAUAUAUCCAAAUUUGAGAUCCAUCGGAGUAGUACAACUUCAGAAAUUCAAGUAUGAUGAGUAACUGUUCAUCAAUGUUCUGUUAAUCCGUCAGACUUGUUGUGAGCUUCGAAACUCCAUUUUCUCUUGUUCAGAUCAACAUACUUUCUUUCUUCAUCGAAGUUGUUCCUCAGCUUGUGAACUACAACAUAUCCAAAUUUGAGAUCCCUCGGAGCAGUAUAACUCCAGAAAUCCAGGUAUGAUGAAUGACUGGUUAUUAUUUUUCUGUCAACCCGUCAGAUUUGUUGUGAGCUUCGAAACUCCAUUUUCUCUUGUUCAGAUCGGUAUGCUUUUCUUCAUUGAAGUUGUUCCUCAGCUCGUGAACUACAACAUAUCCAAAUUUGAGAUCCCUCGGAGCAGUAUAACUCCAGAAAUCCAGGUAUGAUGAAUGACUGGUUAUUAUUUUUCUGUCAACCCGUCAGAUUUGUUGUGAGCUUCGAAACUCCAUUUUCUAUUGUUCAGAUCGGCAUGCUUUCUUCAUUGAAGUUGUUCCUCAUCGUCUCUUUCAUAACAUAUCAAAAAUUCAGAAUGAACUAAUGGUUAAAUAUUUCCAGAUCUUUGAAACAUCACAGCAGCUUCGAAAUCUGCAAGAAUCCGACUGUCAUGUUUGGAACUUCAACACUUUAAUUUCCGUCGCUCAAACAGAAAUGGUUCCUUCUUGAAAGUUGUUCAUAUGCUCAAGAACUAUAGGGUGUCCAAAAUUCAGCUCCAUUGGAGAAGAGCAGAGGUUGCAGAAAUUUGAUAGAUGAAAGGAGGCGGAAGAGGGAGAGAGAGAAAAAGUCUCUUGGGUUGGAUUUCUAUUUUGGGGCAGAUUCCAAUUUUUGUAGCACCUUCAUUAUUGAUGAAUUGCUUGUACUUUUGUCCAUUAUGAAACUUGGGACUUUGGCUUGUUGUUGGAUCUAUUAUAAUAUGUUUGGGAACAUAUAUAAGUGAAUAAAUAAGAAGGAAAAUUUUGGGCCCUUGUGGGUGUAAAACAAAAAAUGUUUAUGUUUACCCAAGUGGUUUUGUGAACAAAAUUUGUUUAUUUGGAGCAAGGUUUUGUGUUGAAGCUUUGUAGGUGAAGCUUUGUAGAUGAAGCUUUCGAGGUGAAGCUUUGAUGGUGAAGCUUUGUAGAUGAAGCUUUCUGGGUGAAGCUUUGAUGGUGAAGCUUUGUAGAUGAAGCUUUCGAGGUGAAGCUUUGAUGGUGAAGCUUUGUAGAUGAAGCUUUCUGGGUGAAGCUUUGAUGGUGAAGCUUUGUAGAUGAAAGUAUGUAGAGGGAGCUUUCUAGGUGAAGAUUUUUUAGGUGAAGCUUUGUAGGUGAAGCUUUUUUAAGUGAAGCUUUUCGGGUGAAGUUUUUGUUGGGUGAAGCUUUGUGGGUGAAGCUUUUUAGGUGAAGCUUUGUGGGUGAAGCUUUGGAGGUGAAGCUUUUCGGGUGAAGCUUUUUGGAUGAAGCUUUUUUUUUUUUUUUUUUUUUUUUUUUUUUUUUUUUUGGCGCUUGACACGGUCUUCAUUUGCUUGUUUUGUAGUGACUGUGGAAGACGGAUUGCUUUCUGAAUUGAGAAGGGUUCCGGCAUCGCUUGCUAUGAAUGUAAAAGAGUGAGGGCUGAGUUGGCUAAAUUACCUCUUUAUUGAAUUCAUUGCCAAAUGGCCUUCAUUACAUAGGAUGCCGAACGGCUAUAGCUCAACACUUGUACAUCGUGAGUCUAUUUGUAGUAGUACUUCAAGUGAUCAGCGUUCCAUGGAUGGCCAAGGGUCUUGCCAUCGGAGCUUCUAAGUGUGUAAGAGCCAGGGCGACUGAUGCCAAUGACUUCAUACGGUCCAUCCCAGUUUGGACUAAGUGUGCCUUCACUCGGGACUCUGUCGCAGAGUAAUCUUUUCUUUUAAGACCCAGUCUCCUAUUUUGAAAGAACGAGGCUUGACCCUAGAGUCAUAAUAGUUGGAGAUGCGCUGCUUGUAGGCGACAUUCCUCAAGUGAGCUUGGUUUCUGUGUUCCUCGACUAAAUCCAAGUUGAGGGUGAGUUGUUUGUCAUUUUCACUUUGAAUGUAGUUCUGGACUCGGAAUGUUGCUUGCUCGAGCUCAACAGGGACAACCGCCUCUGUGCCAAAGGCAAGUGAGAAUGGAGUUUCUCCUGUUGAAGUCCGAUAUGAAGUGCGAUAUGACCAAAGAACUUGGGGUACAAAUUCUGGCCAACAGCCUUUAGCUUUGUCCAAGCUGGUUUUCAAAGUGCGCUUGAUUAUUUUGUUGAUGGCCUCAACUUGUCCAUUAGACUGGGGAUGAGCUGGAGAGGCAAAGCAUAAGUUGAUGUUGAACUUAGAGCAGAACAACCUGAACUUCUUGUUGUCAAACUGUCGCCCAUUGUCAGUGACUAUCGCAUUGGGAAUGCCGAAUCUACAAAGGAUGUUCUUCCACACGAAGUCUUCUAUCUUUGCCUCAGUAAUGGUUGCCAAGGGUUCUACUUCGGCCCACUUUGUGAAGUAGUCCACUGCAACGACUGCGUAACAGACUUUGCCCUUCCCUGCCGGCAUUGGGCCGAUCAAAUCAAGUCCCCACUGGGCGAAGGGCCAAGGGCUGAUCAUAGGAGUAAGAGGCUCUGGAGGGGAAUGAGGAAUAGUUGCAUAUCGUUGACAUUUGUCACAUGAGCGGGAUACUUUGAUGGCAUCCUGGUGGAGUGUUGGCCAGUAAUAUCCUUGGCGAAAAGUCUUGUGUGCUAGGGACCGAGAUCCAGCAUGAUCUCCACAGACUCCCUCAUGUAUUUCCCGAAGGACGAUUUCCGCCUCGGCAGGCGUAAGACACCUUAAGUAUGGCAGGCUAAAACCUCGCUUAUAGAGUUGAUCAUUGAUGAUCAGGUAGCGGGUAGACUUGUAUCGAAUUUGCUUAGCCUGGACUUUAUCAUUUGGGAGGGUGCCAUGAGCAAGGAAAUUAUAGAUCGGGGUGAUCCAACUAUCCCCCUGUUGUAAGUUGCAUACUUCUGCGGCCAUGGUGCUUGGUGUUGCCAACAGUUCGACAUGAAUUUUUCUUCCAAUCUUGUCUUCCACAGCUGAGGCGAGGCGAGCCAGGGCGUCUGCAUGACUGUUUGCCGCUCGAGGAACUUGGGUGAUCUGGUAGUGGAAGUGCUUGAGUAAAAGUUGUGUUUGCGCAAGAUAUGCUGCCAUGGAGCUGUCCUUAGCAUCAAAGUUGUUGGUAACCUGGUUGACCACUAAUUGGGAGUCACUGAAAAUAUCAAUUUGUUUAACCCCGAGGUGUUUGGCCAAACGUAAUCCUGCUAGAAGGGCUUCAUACUCGGCCUCAUUAUUUGAUGCCUUGAAUUUGAAACGAAGAGCAUACUCCAUUGCUACUUUGUCGGGUGUAGUCAAGACUAGUCCCGCUCCACAGCCCUGUUGGUUGGAUGAGCCAUCAACAUACAGACUCCAUGCUGGGGUUGUUGGUUCUAUCUUCUGAGCUUCCGGGGGUAAUGAAGCCACUGUUUCAGGUGUAGAAGCAAUGUCAACCGGAUAUGUGAAGUCGGCAAUGAAGUCUGCCACUGCUUGGCCCUUCUCAGCUGGCUUUGGUUGGUAGGAGAUGUCAAACUCACCCAACGCUAUUGCCCAUUUGAUCAUUCGCCCUGAAGUGUCAGGACUUUGGAGUAUCUGUCGAAGAGGAUAAUUGGUAAGCACGAUGAUGGAGUGCGCUUGGAAGUAAGGGCGGAGUUUUCGAGCAGACAUGACCAAUGCCAGAGCCAAUUUCUCAAUGUUAGAGUACCGUGUCUCCGCAUCUUGUAAGGCUUUGCUAGCGUAGUAGACAGGUCGCUCAAUAUUCCCAUCCUUUCGAAUGAGAACGGAACUUACGGCUGAAGCUGAUACCGAUAGGUAGAUAAUGAGAAUGUCUCCUACCUCGGGCUUGGUGAGUAGAGGGGCUUUACUCAUGUACUCCUUGAGGUUUUUGAAUGCCUCGGCACAUUCAUCAGUCCAUGUAAUGUACUUCCUACUUCCCUUAAGUGCUUUAAAAAAGGGAGCACAUUUGUCUGUGGCCUUAGAAAUGAACCUGGUUAAGGCUGCCACCUUGCCAGUAAGGCUCUGGAUGUCCUUUGAAGUUACCGGUUCCUUCAUGUCGAGGAUUGCUUUGAUCUUCUCGGGAUUAGCUUCAAUGCCUCGUUGGCUAAUCAUGAAACCUAAGAAUUUGCCAGAGCCUACGCCGAAGGCACAUUUGUUGGGGUUUAACCUCAUUCGAUACCUCUUCAAAAUAGUGAAAGUUUCAGAUAGGUUGGUGAUGUGUUGGUCAGCAUGUUUGCUCUUGACUAACAUAUCAUCAACGUAAACUUCCAUGCUCUUCCCAAUCUGCUCGGCGAACAUUGAGUUGACUAGUCUCUGAUAAGUCGCUCCUGCAUUCUUUAGGCCGAAAGGCAUGACUUUAUAGCAGUAUAGUCCUCUGUCGGUAGUGAAGGCUGUGUGUUCUUGAUCCGAAGGGUUCAUGAGGAUUUGGUUGUAUCCUGAGUAAGCAUCCAUGAAGCUCAGGAGUUCACACCCGGCCGUAGAGUCUAUAAGUCUGUCAAUAAGAGGAAGAGGGAAGCUAUCUUUCGGACACCCUUUGUUUAGGUCGGUGUAGUCAACACACAUUCUCCACAAGACCUUUUGAAGCGAAAGACUUUCUUUGGUCGGAUUUUUCCUAACAAGGACCACAUUUGCUACCCAUGUCGGGUAAUUGACUUCGCGGACAAAGCCUAUGCCUUUGAGUUUUUCAACUUCUGCUUUCAUUGCCUCGUAUCGUUCAGCGUCAUAAGAUCUUCGCUUCUGUCUCACCGGCUUGAUCUUGGGGUCAAUACUCAAACGAUGACAGAUGACAUCGGGAGAGAUGCCUGGCAUGUCCUCGUAUGACCAGGCGAAGACUUCAGUGUUCUCUUUCAAAAAAGAUAUCAAUGCUAACCGAAGGGGUGGUGACAAUGUGGUGCCAAUCUUCACCAUGUGAUCUGGAUAAUCUCUUGAGAUAGGUACCUUCUCCAACUCUUCAGCAGGUUGGGCUUGCUGGGUGAAAGAGUCAUCUCGAGGAUCAUCGGGUUGAUUGUUGCUAUCAGGAAGAUCCAAGUUCGCUUCAUCUAGGCUGGUCUUUGUGACUUGGUCAUGUACAGACAGGGUUUCCUUGGGUCCGGGCAAGUGUUGUUGCUUAACUGAAGUGUUGUAACAUGAUCGUGCACUAAGCUGAUCUCCUCUGAUGUAGCCGUUGCCAUGGGGGGUUGGAAAUUUCAUCAACAGCAUAUGCGUGGAUACCAUAGCCUUGAGAUCAUUGAUGCCUGUGCGCCCAAAGAUGACAUUGUAUGCCGUUGGGCAGUCAACCACUAGGAAGUUAGUGGUAAUGGUAGCCGUGUAAGGGCCUGUACCAAUAGUAAAGGGUAAAUGUAUGCUCCCUAAGGGUUGCACGAUAUCACCGGAGAAGCUUAUCAGAGGAGAAAUCGAGCGAUCGAGCAAGUGUUCAGCUACACUGAGUGCCCUGAAAGCUUCGGCAAACAUGAUAUUGACCGAAGCCCCUGUGUCUACGAGGAUUCGUCGAACAUCAAAGUUGGCUAUGUGAGCCUCCACGAUCAAUGGGUCGUUAUGAGGGUAGAUGAUGCCUCUUUCUUCCUCAGGGUAGAAACAUAUCGGAUCCCAGUUAGGCUUUUGAUACUUCCCUCCCCUGAUGUCUUCCACGUGAAACACUUGGUGACCAGGCCUCAGAAUUCGUUCACUGUUUUUCAUGGCCCUAUUGGAAGAUUCAGAUAUGGGUGUGCCGCCGCUUAUGGAAUAUAUGACAUUCACCUGGCGUUGGUUACGGUUAUCCCUUUGAGGGUGAAGGAGGAAUUGAUCAAUUUUUCCUUCUCGUGCCAAAGCUUCAAUACGAUCACGGAGGAUGAUACAUUUCUCGCUAUCAUGGCCGUUAUGCUCAUGGUAGCAACAAAACAUGCCCGCGUUAUUCGGGGGCGUGUAAUCUGGGUGCCUCGGCUUUGGCUUUGGUAUCAGGUGAGCUAUGCUGGGGUAAAUGGCCGCGCAUGUGGCAUUCAAGGGCGUGUAUGUCUCAUACCUUGGGGUAGGGGGUAUCUUGACGCGGGUUUGACCCACUGCAUUGACUGCCUGGGGGCGAGCGUUAUUGUGGCGAUACCCUUGGUUAUCGGGAUAGUGUCCCUUACUCUUUUUUACUGAAAUGAGAGUGGUGAGGAUGGAAAUCCUUCCUCUUGCCUUGAAAUUGAUAUGUCUGUUGAUUCGGCGAAGCAUUAUGCAAGGCAUGGGGAGGUGCCACUGCUGUUUGGAAAGUCGAGGUCUUCUCAUUUAGGUGAGUCUGGCUUCCACCUCCCACUUGUUGAUAAAGGAUGGUUGUAGGGGGUUUCUCCUGAUAUGUCUUUGCCUCGGCGGAGGCAUGGUUAUAAGCCUGCGCCAUCACCUCAGAGUAAGUCUUCCAAGUAUUGGCAUUGAUCAUGUAUUUAAAGAAACAAUCACGUAGGCCUGCCGUGAAGGCUUUGAGGGCAGUCUUGUCGUCUGCCUCGGCACACCGGGAGUAUUCAUGGCUGAAGCGGCCAGCAUACAUACGUAAUGACUCGUCUGGCUUCUGGCGGAUAGUGUACAGGUCAUCUGCAGAGUGCAAGCGAUCGGUUUGGAAAAUGUGUUGGGAAACAAAUAGUUUCCUCAAUUCCUCAAAUGAGUCUACCGUCUCAGGUGUAAGACGACAAUACCAAUUUAGAGCUCCGCCAGAGAGGGUGGAGGGGAAGAGAAGACAUCGCUCUUCGUCGGUGUGCAUCCGGUAUGCCAUGGUGGACUCAAAGAGGUUAAGGUGCUCAAUCGGGUCCUCUUUUCCAGUAUAAAGUUGCAAGCCAAGCUUUUUGCUUUGUCUUUGCUUGAAGGGGGGUGUUGAGGAUCCUCCUUGUAAGAGGGCCAGGCCUGGGUUGGUUCCAGUCAGGUAUUUCAGCCUGACGUUCAGCCUUCAACUUGUUUACUUCCUCAAGAAGUUGUAGGACAAGGGGGUCCUGAGCGGAGUUAUGUGCCACUGGAGCUUUCUUUCGUAAAUCUCCAUCUUCUCUUGGAAUUAGGAAGGUUUGAUCAAGGGCAUGUGAUUUUUCCCUGGACUCGCUGUACUGGCUUCCAGGGUAUGUCUGUCGGAACACCUCUGAGUCCCCUGUACCCUCAUGUCUCUCUAGGACUUGUUGCCCCUUCCCCAAAUUGGUGGCCGGCUUGGGCCGUGGCAGGGGACCGAGUCUCUCAGAAAUCCUUGGGUCAUUAAUCUUUGAGCUUAUAUGGAUGGAAUUCUCUCGACGUUGCUUCAGGAAAUCCCGACAAUAGCGAAAGACAGCUUUCGAUCCUUCUGCCCCUUCAGCAAAGAGGUGUCUCCCUCCACUUCUCAUGGUUCGGGUUGAAGCAACUGGGUUAAGAGAAGCCUCAUGUUGAUUAUCAAGUCGAGGGGUAAUCUGUUCCCUAUCAGGGAUAUCUAUGUCGAAUGCAUGUGACCCUCCAUGUUGGAGGGCACCCAGUUGAUGGUUGACUUCCACGGGGGCAACAAGCUCGCGUGUCUGAGCUUGCCUAGCUUCGUGGAGUGUCUCGAAGAGCUUCUCAUAUUGCUCCUGGAGGACCUCAUUCCUCAUUGCUAUCUUGUUGUUCUGAGCUUCCAACUCAUCGACUUUAGCUUGAAGAAGAACUCGUUUUCCUUCCUUCUUUCGUUGUUUCGCACUAUGUGCAAGGGGGGUGUCAUUCUGUGUGCUGUGGCUUCCUUCGCUUCCCAUGUUGGAGAGGGAUGCCUGGUCAAAAGAAAGUGUACGAAUGAUAGAAACCAGCUUGACACAGCUGAAGAGAGUAGGAAUAAGUGUCGUUUCCCACAGACGGCGCCAAAUGUUGAUUAUCAAAAUCAGCGAAGACUUUGGUACAACAGAAAGUGUCAGGUUUUGUGACCUUCGCUUGGUUGCUUCGGUCACUAGUGAGGAUAAAUACGUAAAUAAAUAGAGACAGAGAAGCAAACACAGGAUGUACGUGGUUCACCCAGAUUGGCUACGUCCACGGAGUAGAGGAGUUCUUAUUAGUAGUGAAGGGCUUACACAAGUACAAAGGAUCAAGCUCUCAAUUUAGUGAGUUCUUGUGAAUGAUUUAACACAAAAUGGCAUUAGGCAAUAUUGUGGGGGAAUGACCCCUAUUUAUAGAAAAACUUGUAGCUUUGUCACAUUGACAUGUGUCAUGUUAUGAUUGGUUCUUGAUGUUGACACGUGAUGCGCUCUGAUUGGCUUCUAAUCCUGACACGUGUCGAGUAGUGAUUGGCCUCCUGGUCGGAGGGGAACUCUUCUGGGUCCUUGACAGUAUAGCGUUGGCCGGUGCUCGGUAGUUUCGGGAUUGGUCAAGUAUGGUACAAACAAGUUGUACUUAGUACAUUUGAUGGGCAAUCAUAUUUUAGUUGGUUCCGUUGAGUGGUCCGGAAUCCUUUUUGGUGUCUUGGUUCCGUUGAGAGGUCCGGAACCCGAUGCUGAUGGAUUUCGUUGAGGGGUCCGAAAUUGCAUCAUUUGAUUCAUUUAAGACAGCUUCAGCAAUGUAGACUUAUGUCGAAUUGUGUCGCUCUAACCCGGCAUUCCGAUGAAUUGUAUGUGUUAUUGAUGAUAUGGUGAUUGGCAUUAUUGAUUGAUGUGAUAAUUGGAUGGUAAUGGAAUGCAUAUGUGAGGAUGAAUGACGUUAUGAGUAGAGAUUAUUAUUGUGCUUUGUUAAAUGUUCCUUAAGGUGCUACAUAAUUGAAUUGUGGUAUUAUGUUGAGACCUAGUGGUCUAUGUGACGAAUGUUCGAUAGUAGUGAAAUGUGAACUACGAAUGACUUGAUCCCUGUUGAGGGUACGUAGGUAGUCUAACGAGGAGGUUAGAUGCAGUCAUAAAAUACACAAAAAUUACAACGAAAUUCGAAUAUUGAAUUAUGCUUUGUAAAUAUUUCGGGCGGGAUAUGUGAGAUAUACGGGUUUUUAAUGACGUCACGUGCUGAUCUUGGACGUAUGUCGGGAUCAGGGCGUGACAAAAUGAGUUUUAUGAAAUGAAAUGGCAUGCCAAUUAUAUUUAUAUUAAGAAUGUGCAUAUGUGAUUAUAUAUGUUGUGAUUCGAUGCUAUGGGCGCUCAGGUAAGUUUCAAGUAAGUUUAUGUGUUGAGUUUAAGGUGUGGAAAAAUGAUGAUUGUUGAGAUGUGUUGAGAGCUCAUUAACCUGCACCCGGGUGUUAGUGCUCCUGCCCAUGGUUAGGGGCACAGUCUUUCACGUGAUGUUUACCUCCCGUAGCACACGCUCAUCUUGGAUCCAAGUUAGGUGCACAAUCCUGUUGUAUAGACCACUUUCAGUGGGUUCGACUCGUUGGUGACCUGCAAUCAUUCGCACAGUCUUCACGUGAUUGUAGCAUUAGAGCAUAUUUGUUUUACACCCAGUCAUGUCGUAUAGACCACUAUAGGUGGGUUCGACUCGUGUGCAGACAUGAUUUAUGAGAUAGAAUUCAGUUGAUUUGAUAUUCUCACAUGUUAUCACUCCUUGGGGUACUUACCUUGUUAUUUGAGAUGAUUGGCAUGGUAUAUUCACGUUUUGACUUUGGAUUUUGAUAUUGCUGGAUAUGUUGAGAUUACGAGUAUAUGUAUAUGCUAUUUGCUGGGAAAUUAUACAGGUUUUACAGAGAGGGGUUAUACUUUUGAGAAAUGAAAUGAUUUUGAAAAGUUUUGUUUUUUGCCCACUCACGCGUUUUGUUUUGCGCCCCUCUAGGUUUUAGGUAGCGUUGUUGGUGGCUUACGAGUUUUCAGCGGAGGUUCUGACAGACCAUCACUUAUGUAGAAUCACCUUUGGGUGUUGUUAUUUAGUACUUUUAUGCUUGACUGCACUUAGGCUAGUUAAGCUCUGAUUGUGUAUUCACACUUAAUUUCCACUCUUGCAUCUUAGUCUUGUCUAGUACUAUCAGGAUUUGGUUUCUAUUCAAUUGUAUUUCUCUAUAUUAAUCUUGCUUCCGCACUGUGCAUAUGGCUACGUCACCCUCACGUGACGGUUAGCAUGUCUCGAUCUUGGUCGGGGUGUGUCAUCAAGUCACCUUUUAACUUCUAUUAUGUUGAUUUUUGUCUGUAGGUACACAAAAAUAUGCAGAUUUGGCUUUCAAAUUGAGAGGCCUAAGGACAAUCUCUGUUCAUAGAAAAAAAAGUUGGACAUAGAAGGCAUGGGUAUGGGAACAUGAUUGGUUGUUAUAUUGCUUUGGGACGUUUUGAUAUUUUAGAGAUUAAUGAGUUUGUGGAGAUUUUGUUUUUCACAUCUUGCUUUGUAUUUGAACUUAAGCACUAUAACUGAACUUACUUUAAAAUUAUAGGACUUCAAAACGCGACCGCGGUUAGGAUUAGAAAGGGCCAAGUAUAUAUGUUGAGAAACUAGGCAUUGCAAGCAUAUAAAUUCCAAUUUUAUUAUUGCUAAACCAUAUAUCAAAUGUAGUUAGGAAUUAAAUUAAGUACAAACUACAUGGGGAUGGAGAAAGUUAUGUAUAGGUGAGAGCCUAAAAAUACUUGAGAAUCAAAUACUGCACAAAUUUGUGAUAAGUUAGAUGAGUAAAGAUCGCCUUUUGUCAAGCAGUUUUUGACUUUUCUGCAUUCUUUUAUAUAGUUUUUUCUUUUUUUCUUCCUAUUUUGUCAGAUUAGAUAGAUAGGGGCGCUAAUAAAAAAAAAGAAAGAAAGUAUUUUUGCAUUUUGCUGCACGUGAUGAUGUUGAUGAUAUACAAUAUUCAAUGACUAAACCCUAUUCCCUAUACUAUAGCAAAAAAUGAAGCAUAAUUAUACAAUAGCUACACACAAAACAUUGAAAGUAUACAUGCGUGCAGUAAGAAUGAAUGGUAAAAAUGCCAUGUUCCUUUUAACAUUGCGAAUUACCGAGCUUUAUGGAGGGAGUAUAAAUACGAAUGCUCUUGGUGGUCUUCAUCUAAUUUCUUAUUAGUAUCAUCUCGAUGUUUUGGAACUUUUGACAGCCCUCUCACCGAACAUAUAAUUUUUAGGGGCGCGCAGCGCUCGUAAUUAAAAAAACGCGCAUGCGGAGAGGCUGGUAUAUACUAAAGUCCUACGCCCAAAAAUGCUGUUCAUAAGAGCAGUGUAAAGACGCAAAUACCCCUCCUCAACUGAUCUUUUCCUUCCUAUAUUUCAUGAGGCUACAGUAAAAAGACGAAAAACCAUGUUGCACACGUGGCGUGCUAGCGAGAUUUCUCUCUUCCACCGCUUCCUUCCUCUGCAGUCUACACCUCUUGCGUUUUUGCCUUUCCUCUCCAGCUGUCGGCCAUCACAGAGUCUUAUGGCAUCUUCCCGUUCUUUUCGCUGUUUUUCCUUCGGUUGCUUUUCACUUCUUUUCCUCUAAUUUGACUUCGUUUGUUUUGUGUUAUGUGGUUUUUAUUGAUUUUCAAUGUGUAUUGAUUGAUACUAACAAUUACAAGAUGAAACUUAUAUAUAGGGAAAGAAAGAUGACAUAAGCCUAACUUGCCUAACUUGCCUAACUUACACAAAGAAAGUUGACUAGCCUAACUUCACUAGUCAUCCAAUACAAUUGUUCCAACAUGUUUAUUUCAUGCAUUUUAACACUCCCCCUCAAGUUGGAGUGUGGAUGUCAAUGAUACCCAACUUGCUAAGUAAGACCUCAAAUUGCGCCGAGCUUAGUGGUUUGGUGAACAAAUCUGCAGGUUGAUUCGAGGUUCGUAUGUAAGCUGUUUGCACCAUUCCCAUCUGAAUCUUCUCACGUACUAAGUGACAGUCGAUCUCUAUAUGCUUCGUUCGUUCAUGAAACACUGGGUUCGAAGCAAUGUGCAUGGCAUCUUGAUUAUCACAAAACAAUGUGACUGGUUGUGCAUGAUUCACUCGUAAGUCCUUCAAAAGGUUUCUUAGCCAUAUAACUUCACAACAGGUGAUAGCCAUAGAACGAUAUUCUGCCUCUGCACUAGAACGAGAUACUGUGCUUUGCUUCUUUGUUUUCCAAGAUAUCGGUGCUUGCCCAAGGAAGAUACAAUAACCGGUUAUUGACCUUCUAGUGUCUUUACACCGAGCCCAAUCAGCAUCACAAAAAGCUUGUAAUUGUAGUGAACCUGUAGAAGGCAAAAGAAUUCCCUGGCCAGGAGAUUGUUUGAUGUAUCUGAGAACCUUAUACACUGCAUCAAGGUGUGGUUGUCGCGGCUUGUCCAUGAAUUGGCUUAACAUAUUAACCACGUAAGUCAGGUCAGGCCUCAUGAUGGUUAAGUAAAUUAGCCUCCCUACGAGUCUCCUAUAUGAAGAAGGAUCAUGUAGGAGCGUCCCUUCAGUUUAUGUAAGGGACAAGUUUGGUUCCAUGGGCAAUCGUGAGGGCUUCGCACCAAGGAACCCAACAUCUUCUAGUAUCUCCAACGCAUAUUUGCGUUGGCACAAGGCAAUCCCUUGUUUAGAUCUUGCAACUUCUAUCCCCAAAAAAUAUUUGAUUUUUCCCAAAUCCUUUAGCUUAAAAUGUUGGGAAAUGAAGAGUUUAGUCUCUUCAAUUUCUCUCAAAUUGUUACCUGCAAGUAUUACGUCAUCAACAUACACAAGUAAUGCCAUGAAACUGCCUUGAUUGAUGAAAACCAGCAGUCUUGAGAGCACUAGACAGCUUAAUAAACCACUGUCUUGAGGCCUGUUUUAAACCAUAAAUGGAUUUGUGUAAUUUGCAUAGUUGUGUCUCCCCCUUUCGUCCGAACCCAGGAGGUAUAUAAACCUCAUCGUAUAAGUCACCAUGCAAAAAUGCGUUGUUUACAUCAAGUUGGUGAAGAUGCCAACCACAGAUGAAGGCAAUACUGAGGAGGACAUGGACGGUGGUGAGCUUGGCAACUGGAGCAAAUGUUUCCCGAUAAUCAAGCCCUUCAAUUUGACUAUAGCCUUUAGCAACGAGACGGGCUUUGUAGCGUUCAACACUGCCGUCAAGUUUAAGCUUCACCUUAUAGAUCCAUUUGCAGCCUAUGGGAUGUUUGUGAGGUGGUAAGGGCACAAGAGUCCAAGUGCGAUUGUCAUGGAGGGCAUCAAUCUCUUUUUGCAUGGCGUCACGCCAUUUUGGAUCCUGAACAGCCUGCGAAAAACUGGUGGGUUCUUUGAUAAUGGUGAGGGUGGUGAGAAAGGUUUUGUGAGGGGGGAUACAUGGUCAUAGGAUAAAUAACGAGAUAGGGAGUGAGAUGUACCUGAGGACUGAACCAUGCUUGUGGAAGAUGUGGGUGCAACACGGGAUGGGAGGGCCACCUCAACAUGAAAGUCUUGCAAAAAUAUGGAAGUUUUGGUUGGUCGAGUGCUAGGACGGAGUGCAGGGGUUGGAUCUGGUGAUGGAGUGGUUGGAGGUGGGGAAGAGUGUAGGGUAGGUGAAGGUGUUGAUAAGGUAUCUGGUGGUGGAGUUGUAGAGGGUAAAGGAGAUGAGGGUGGUGUGAUGUCGGCAAGUGUGGGAGAUGUGGUGUUUAUGUCUGCUGGUGCAAGGCUUGAAUGCGACUCAAUGGGAGAGGUCGAGUCAAACGGGAUAGGUGUAGUGUUUGAUGGAGACGGGGCAACGGAAGUGUUACAAUGUUGGAAUGGAAAAUGAUCUUCAAAAAAUACGACAUCCCUAGAAACAAAAGUCUUAUUGUGUUUUAUAUCAAACAAUUUAUAACCCUUUUGACCAUAAGGAUACCCAAGAAAAAUGCAUUGGAUUGCACGAGGGUCAAAUUUAGAGGGCCUUUGGGCAUGUGUAGAAGCAAAACACAAGCUACCGAAAACCUUCAAAUGAGAAUAGUUAGGUGCUUUGUGAAACAGUUUUUCGUAUGGUGUUUUACCUUGGAGAAGUGGAGUGGGUGUUCUAUUGAUGAGGUAGGCUGAGGUUAGGAUUGCAUCUCCCCAAAAACAUUUUGGCAGACAAGCUUGAAAGAGCAAAGCCCGAGCAACAUUGAGCAAGUGCCGGUGUUUACGUUCGGCAACACCAUUUUGUUGUGGUGUGUUGACUCAACUAGAUUGAUGUAUGAUGCCUUUGAGAGCAUAAAAUUGCUCAAGUUUAAACUCAGGGCCAUUGUCACUUCGUAUGAUUUGAACUCUGGUAUUGAAUUGAGUCUCAAUCAUUUGAAUGAAUUUGACUAAAAUGUCUUUUGUGUCAGAUUUAUGUUUCAUCAAAUGAACCCAAGUGCUUCUAGUGUAGUCAUCUACGAUGGUAAGGAAAUACUUGGCACCUGAAAUAGAAGCAACUUGAUAACCACCCUAAAUAUCAAUAUGCAAUAAUUCAAAACAUGAUUUGGUAGAAAUAGAGCUCAAAGGAAAGGGUGAUCGUGUUUGUUUGGCCAAUGGGCAAAUUGAACAUUUUUCCAAAUCACAAGCUUUAUUGUUAAAGAAAGGUAAUAACGAAGUGGCUUUAUGAGAUGGGUGUCCUAGGCGUUGGUGCCAAAGCUUUGGUGCGAUGGUUUGAAUAUUGUUGCAUGUUCUUUUCCUUGAUGAGUCGAGGUAGUAGAGUCCAUCCCUUUCAGUUCCCAUCCCAAUCAUCUUCCCCGAGCGAAGGUUCUGAAUGACACAAAAUUGGGUGAAGAAAAUUGUGACAUAUAAGGAAUCAUAGGCUAGUUUACUGAUGGAUAUUAAAUUUAAUUUAAAGAAUGGCACACAUAGGACAUUGUCAAGGAUAAGAUUAUGAGAGAAAACAACUUGUCCAAUGUGAGUGACUUUGGCAACGGAACCAUUUGGCAGUUCAACUGUAUGAUUUUCAACAGCUCGUGAGUGUGUAAAGAGACUAGGGUUGAAAGUUCUUCAUGACUAGAAGGAUUACCGACUUGAUUGGCAAAUGAUGAUUUGUUCUUGUUCAACAUUUGAAGGAUUUGCUUGCAAUCCUCCUGAGAGAACGGGAAAUUGGGCAACAUCUCUUGCUUGUUACUUUGUGAAACUUGAUUCCCUUUUGAAGAAAAAGGACGACUGCUUUCCGUUUCUGUGGCUGCUUUUCGUUUUCGACAGAAAUCGAAGGUGUGACCUUUCCAUCCACAAAAAGUGCACUUGAGAUGUGCACGACAGUUUUUGGUGAUGUGAUUUGUUCUAUUGCACUUUCCACAUCGCAUCUCUUUGUCUUCCGGUGUAGGUUCUUGCGACAAAUUCUUCACUCCAAAGACAACAGCCUCUGGUUGUGUACUCUUCCCAUUGGAAACCUCUGCCUGGCGUUCAUGUCGAAGGACCAACGCAUAUGCCUUGUUCACCGUAGGCUGUGGUUCAAGAAGAAGGGUAUUGCUUCGAACCGUAGCAUACGAUUCGUUCAAUCCCAUAAGGAACUUCAUGGUUUUCUGAGUUUCAACAUAUGAGUUCAUCUCAUUCUUUGUUCCACAACUGCAUGCUGGAAUGGAACACAAAGUAUCACGUUCAUCCCAUAAACUUUUAAGUUUAGUGCAGUAAGAACUUACACUCAUAUUGCUUUAGACGCAAUCAUGGAUCUCGUUCUUAACAUGGAACAGCUGAACUAUAUUCACAUGUGAGAACCUCUCCUGCAGAUCGGUCCACAUUUGUCGAGCAUCCUUGUAGUUGAUGACACUCCUUGAAAUCUCCUUUGACAUGGAGCCUAGUAGCCAUGUCUUGACCAAGUUGUUGCAGCGAUUCCAUUGUUGCAACUCCUCAGAAUUGUCCUCACUUGGUUUGUUGAUUGUCCCAUCAACAAAACCAAGUUUGUUCUUGACCGUUAAGGCCAUACUCAUGGAUUGAACCCAUGUGCUGUAGUUGUCUUCCACCAAUGGUUGUGGUACGAGGAUUGCACCAGGUUGGUCCGAGUGGUGGAGAUAGAGUGGGUGGUUGGGAUUUUCCCAUUUUGAAUGAGAAGCCAUGCCUGGAAUGGUUGACCUCAUGACUGCCUUAGAGCUUGUGUUUUGUGGUUUUCCCAGAUCACAGCUCUGAUACCAUAUUGAUUUUCAAUGUGUAUUGAUUGAUACUAACAAUUACAAGAUGAAACUUAUAUAUAGGGAAAGAAAGAGGACAUAAGCCUAACUUGCCUAACUUGCCUAACUUACACAAAGAAAGUUGACUAGCCUAACUUCACUAGUCAUCCAAUACAAUUGUUCCAAUACAAUUGUUCCAACAUGUUUAUUUCAUGCAUUUUAACAGUUUUGGUUUCGUUUGCUCUCUUUCCCUUCUUCUCUGUUGGUUUCUGUUGCUUCUCCAUCAGUUCACCCAAACCACCGCUUGCUUCUCCACCAGUUCACCCAAAUCCGACGAAGGGCGCCACAACAAACGUGCCAAUCUUCCUGCACCACCGGUCUCCGCAACGUUUUCCAAAACCCGCUUGACCGAAGGUAAGCGAAUUUGGUGUUCUGGAUUAUAUCGGAAUUGAAAUAGGUUUGGUUUCAUUAACUUUUUGGGUUAAUAAAUUUGUAUGCUCUGAUUCUUUUGAAUUUGAGUUUGGAUUGGAAUUUAAUUUUGAUUUACAAAUCUCUGAUAAAACCUCAACAAGAAACUUAAACCCUCAGCAAGAAACUUAAACCCAAUGCAUCAUCCUAUUAAUUCCAACAUCUCCUCAAUAAGUAUUCUAAGAUAUAAAUAUUACAAUUCUGGUGAUCAUAGAAAAAUGCAUAUUUGAGUGAUCAUGGAACACUGUUAGUAGCUACACAUAUCAUAAUAAUUUAGGAUAUGGACGUUAAAUUAUCUUAAACUGCAGAAUGUGGCUUUUACAUUGUUAUAUGGAAUUUCCCCUAGGAAGAAAUAGCAUUGAACUUAUAGGAUGGAUACAUAAAUAGCCUAUGUACGCAUUACAAAAUGAUUUAGUUGUUUGGGAUUAAACAAAGUUUGGUUUUUCAUGGUGAGUUCUCAACUGGGUUUUACUUAUUUUUUUGCCUCCGAUAUAAGUUUUAGAUGCUUUUCUUUGUUUUUCGCUAAUUUUUAAAUUUAUUUUUUUUACUAUUUAGUGUGAGAAAAUGGCUUCAAAAUUGGAUUUCCAAUGUCUGGGCAGAGGAAAACAGGAAGAGAACACCAAUGGUGGUUACGAAGGAGAAUCCCUUCUUUGCGGUGGAAAUUGACGGUCCAUGUGCAACAUUCAACCCAGUUUAUAAGAGCAGGGGUCAAUAUGAAGAACCAAUGACAUGGGGUUUUGUUUAAUUUUAUUAAGUUUUGUACUGAGGUAAAAUUCUCCCCAUUUAACAUAGUUUUAAAUGUUGAUUAGUAUAUGUGUAAAUAGGAUUGUGAGUAUGGUUGUAUAUGUAGUAGUAGAAUUGAAAACAUUGUUGUAAUUAUGUGUAAGUAGAGUUGUAAACCCGACGCAUCGCGCGGGCCUUUUUGCUUGUUACCCCUAAACGUUACAAAAAUCCCAAAAAUUAAAAGGAAACUAAAAAAAAUUAGAAUUUACCCAUAGUUUCGCGAAUCCCAGCCGGAUGAACUGGUGGCAGUUGUAAGAGCGGAUCUCCAGCUCCGAACCUCUUCUAUUUCAGCGUUAGAAUCAUGGUCGUGCUGAUCAAAAGCUUUCGCGAAACUUCCCUUUAGUUUACGACAUCAGACGGAUCAACUUCAUAGAAAAUGGGGAGUACAAUCUGUUUAUUGGUAUCCUCGCAUUCCAGGAUUUGCACGAGUUCUUUCAAGCACCAAGUGGAAGAAGCAUAGUUUUGAGAGAAAACUACAAUCGAAAUCCUUGACUCUCGAAUGGCUGACAGGAGCUUGGAAAGGCGGUCGCCUUUUCUGAGGUCUUCGGCAUCAAUGAAGGCGUUGAUUGGUUUCUGACGCAGGGCUUUGUAGAGAUGGCUGACGAAGCCCCUGCGAGUGUCUUCCCCUCUGAAAUUGAUGAACACAUCGUAUUUCCAACCAAGGCCAGAAGAAGAAGAAGAAGCAGCCAUUAAUCGAUCGAGCAGCUAAGUCCUAGAGUAAUGUAAGAACAGAAAUACUCGAUUGAUCAAUAAAUUGAAUCACAGAAAAAACUGGUCUGAUCGAUACGAAGUCAACGAGGACAGAAAAUUAUGCUUUAUGUGUUUUCACAUCUUCUUCCGGGAAAUUUAACGAAAAUAAUUUUCUUGCCGGCAAAAUUGACUUCAAAAUAUAAAAAUAUUCUUCCAGGUAUGGACAUAUGAAGUUUCAGUGUGAAACGAAUCUGCAUACUUUGGUUUGGUUUUGACCCAAGAAAAUGCUAAGAAAGGAUGGUUUAGCAGCUUUGCAUGAGGGGACUGGGUCAAAGUACUCUGUUGAAUCUGCCCUUGCCUACCCAACAACUUCUUUGUAAGUCGGAAAUAAAUCCCGAUCUUCCUAUUCACACGAAAAAUGAGUGGGGUGACAGGAAAUAUUUCUUGUUAAAUGUAAGCAUCUCACACAUGUGGUAUAUUCAAAGGUAUUGAGGCGACAAACGAGCGAUUAAUAGUUUGGCUUUUAAUUUGAUGUCACGGUAGUAACGGUACUUACUAUGAAAUCUUUGAUAUAUUUGCUUUUAGCUACAAAACAACUAAAACUCCACAAAUUGCUUAUGAAAAUAAAAAAUAUUGACAAGAUUUGAACUUGUAUUAUCUACAUCUUCACUACACAUUGUUGCUCCGCUCGUGUUCUGAAGUUGACAAUAGCUAGAAGGUCACAGCAAGAAGCAGAGGAGGCUAACUGUUACAGAAAAUUUGUUUAUUCAAAGCAUUAAUAAAAACACAUUGAAAUUAAUUCACGCAAAAAAUAAAUAAUACAGUGAAGGAUUUACAGUGGUGGCAGCCACACUUCAAAAAUAGGGCGUCUCACCCUGUGGAGAAAGCAUUUUUUGCUAUGAAUAAAAAUUCCACUGCGUAACAAAACAGGAGAUUAAUGAUUGAGUGAUAGCUGAGUUGUUUGCAAUGAGAGAGAUGUUUUUACUUUUAUUGAUAAGGAGUCUACAUAUGCGAUGUUCUCAUAGUAUAAAACUUCGCCGACAACAAUUAUAACUUGUUUGUGUUGAUAAAUUUUGAAUGACAUUAAUAUUGUCUAAUAUCUAAAAGAAUUUGGAUGGCUACAUUUUUUUUUUUUGGAAAACCUUUUAACCUUAUAAAUUGCGGGCUUCUUCCGACAAUUCCUAACUUCGUCACUGCUUCAGUCAACUCGAAGUCCUAGUGGUUCUUGUCCAUGAUAUCAAUAUCCCUACAAUAAACGGUGACUUCAAUAUGAGCUACACUCAGUCUAACAAAAAGUUUGUAUAGAGAAGAUAUGCAUGAAAAAAUGGCAAUGGUUGUGUUUGUGUUGCUGAACGAAUGAUACUGAAAUACCUAAACCCAAGUCAAGCUCCUUUAGUCCACGAAAACAAAAGUUUAGAAUACAAUAAUGUUUGCAUAUAGACUAGAGAAACGACAUACCGCAGGCCAGGAAGGUGCAGUGAAAGAGAGAGGAAGAGAGGAAAAGAGGAAAGAAACAAACAUGAAAUGACAAAGACUAUCAAAUAGAUUAUAACAAUGACUUCUUAGCGAUGGUUACAACUAUUUAACUAUCGAUAAUGCAUUAUUUUAGUUUGAAACGUGGAAGCAUUUGAGAAGUAGCAUGUCAACAACCAUUACACAAUAAUAUUGUCUAAUAUCUAAAAGAAUUUGGAAGUCUACAUUUUUUGGAACCUUUUACCCUUAUAAAUUUUGCGCCUCUCCUGACAAUUUCUAGUUUCGUCGUUGCUUCAGUCAACUCCAAGUUCUAGUGGUUCUUGUCUAUGAUAUCAAUAGCCCCACCGUAAAUGGUGACUUCAGUAUAAGCUACACUUAGUAUAAGUGUAUGGGGGACAUAUAUGUAUGAAAAAAUGGCAGUGGUUGUAUCUGUGUUGACUAACGGAUGGUACUGGAAUACCUAAACCCAAGUCAAGCUCCUUCAGUCCACAAAAAUCAAAAGUUUAUAAUAUAAUAAUGUUUGCAUAUAGACUUGAGAAAAGACAUACCGCCAGCCGGGAAGGUGCAAUGAACAAGAGAGGAAAAGAGGAAAUAAACGAACAAGAAAGGACAAAGACUAUCCAAUAGAUUAUAACAAUGACUUCUUAGUAGUGAAGUGAUUAAGCUAUUCCACUAUUAAUAAUGCAUUAUUCUUAGAUUGAAAUGGUUCAGAAAUUUAAAAGCCAGAAUUGACUUAUAUAAAAUCAAUUUUUAAUUGGGUAGAUGUAAUUUGUAAAACAAAAAUGUUUAUAAAAAAAAAUUUCUCUUGAAAAUGUAUUCUGGUGCCAGGAUUUAAACCUGGAUGAAAACUCUUAACCGUAAGACUUUUUGUAGUGAGCAACACUGGACUAGUUGAUAGACUAUGAUGAAAUAAACCAUUUAAAUGUACUCCUUACGUUAUGCAGUGCGCAUACUGGAUAAACAAUUAGUGCACAUAAUGUGGUUAUCUGAUUUGUGGGGAAUGGUGAUGCUCACCGCUGACUUUUGGUUUACUGACAGGCUCUCAAAGUUAAAUAUAUCAGAUUUUGUUUGACAUUCGUAACAUAUUUUAAUAUUUUCACCACAACAACAACAACAACAACAAAGUCUUUUCCCACUAAGUGGGGUCGGCUAUAUGAAUCCUAGAACGCCAUUGCGCUCGGUUUUGUGUCAUGUCCUCUGUUAGAUCCAAGUACUCUAAGUCUUUUCUUAGAGUCUCUUCUAAAGUUUUCCUAGGUCUUCCUCUACUCCUUCGGCCUUGAACCUCUGUCUCGUAGUCACAUCUUCGAACCGGAGCGUCAAUAGGCCUUCUUUGCACAUGUCCAAAUCACCGGAACCGAUUUUCUCUCAUCUUUCCUUCAAUUUCGGCUACUCCUACUUUACCUCGGAUAUCCUCAUUCCCAAUCUUAUCCUUUCUCGUGUGCCCACACAUCCCACGAAGCAUCCUCAUCUCCACUACACCCAUUUUGUGUACGUGUUGAUGUUUCACCGCCCAACAUUCUGUGCCAUACAACAUCGCUGGCCUUAUUGUCGUCCUAUAAAAUUUUCCCUUGAGCUUCAGUGGCUUACGACGGUCACACAACACGCCGGAUGCACUCUUACACUUCAUCCAUCCAGCUUGUAUUCUAUGGUUGAGAUCUCCAUCUAAUUCUCCGUUCUCUUGCAAGAUAGAUCCUAGGUAGCGAAAACGGUCGCUUUUUGUGAUCUUCGCUAGAUUACUCCGGUCAUUAGCGUGGAUAAGUAUAUAAAUGGAUAGAGAUAGGAAAGCAAACACAAGAUGUACGUGGUUCACCCAGAUUGGCUACAUCCACGGAAUAGAGGAGUUCUCAUUAAUUGUGAAGGGUUUACACAAGUACAUAGGUUCAAGCUCUCCUUUAGUGAGUACAAGUGAAUGAUUUAGUACAAAUGACAUUAUGAAAUAUUGUGGGAGAAUGAUCUCGUAAUCAUGAAACUUCUAAGUAUCGGAGUGUGGUAUCGUCUUGACUUGCCUUAUCUGUCUCAUAGGUAGAUGUGGCAUCUUCUCUGGAAGUACUCUUCCUCCAUCCAUGGGUGGUAUCUUUAACUGGUGGAGAUGCAUAAGGUAAUGUAUCAAUUUCACUUGAAGCUUACUUGUAGUUUCAGGCUUGGUCAAGCGCGAUACAAACCAUGUAGUAGGAGUCCCCCAAGUCGCCGAGCUAGGGGAUUUGCUGAAAGAGGUGACAGACAAGGUAAGCAAUCAGAGCUCCGGCUGAUUGUUCACAUUCUCCCUAUCUUGCAGGCAGCAUGAAGGAUAAAGAGAAGAAAAAAUGAGAAGAGAUGAUAUGGGAUACUUUUGCUUUUGAAGAAGUAACUUUCCACAGGCUUAUUCUUGAACUGAAGCUGGAGGGUUUUCUGGUUUCCUCCAGAGUAUAAGGCCGACUGAAGAAUUUGAGGGUCAAAACAAGUCCAUCAAAUCUAGAGUACGUUCGACCCUGCUGAUAUGGGAUACUUUUGCUUUUGACAGAGUAAUGGAUGUAUCGGCACGUGUGCUGUUACGCUUGUCUCUCCACAUGCUUCCUUGUAUCCUUCUCACUUGCCCUAUCUGUUCCUCAAGGCAAGAUGCGGUAUCUUCCCUGGAAGCAUAAGAUGUUGAAGAUGAGUACUCGAGAGCAAUGCCAGGUAAGUAAUCAGGUAAGGGGUUCCAGGCAGUCAGUUCCUAGCUGGAAGCUUGAUUCCAAGUGCUGACUGAUUGCUCUCUUUCUCCUUGUCUUGCAGGUAAAGAACAAGGCCAAAGGAAAAGACAGGGAAAAAGCAUGAUAUGGGAUAUACUCUUGCUUUUUAACCCUGAUGAUAUGAGAUAUUCUUGCUCUAGUAUAGCUUGUUUGUAGAGGUAUUAUCGGGGGGAAAGAAAGCUGAAUAUUUCGAAAGGCUUCGUUGGGAGUGCCCUCUCAGAUAUGAGAAAGGGUUGAGCAUUUUUGCAGGUCUGCCUGUCCGUUGGGGAUGGAGGUCGACAUAUAUAGGAGUCUCCCUAAUAACAAGUAGUAAUGUUAUUCCUUUACCCUGCUUGGUCAUAGCACGAUAGUUGGAGCUGCCAGCUUCACAUGUUUUAACUCUGUCAGAGCACUUUGAAAAAGUGGUCUGUGGUAUCUGGAAAGCUGAUGUUGCGUGUGAAGAUUACAGACAAGCUUUACCCAAGGAGAUUUGGUUCUUGAAGUUGGGAAAAUGGUGCCUUUUCGGUUUUCGAACAAGCAAUCCUAUCGGGGAUCUGGCUCUCGAGAUUUGGAGAACGAUGCCUCUUCGAUUUUUGAGAAAGCAAUCAUGCUGGGGGUCUAGCUCUCGAGAUUCGGAGAGCGGUGUCUCUUCGAUUUUUGAGAAAGUAAUCAUGUUGGGAGUCUGGCUCUCGAGAUUCGGAGGACGGUGCCUCUUCGAUUUUGGAGCAAGCAAUCUUGUUGAGAAUGUUUUCUCGAAUGUGAGUAAAGGUUGGGCAUGUUUGCUAGUCUACCUUGCCACGAAGCACAGAGGUUGACACACAGGGACUUUCCAAUUAUCCAGCAAUGGUACUGUUCCUUUACCCUCUUUUCGAUUUUUGAGAAAGUAGGCAUGUUGGGAGUCUGGCUCUCGAGAUUCGGAGGACGGUGCCUCUUCGAUUUUGGAGCAAGCAAUCUUGUAAUCUUGUUGGGAGUGUUUUCUCGAAUGUGAGUAAAGGUUGGGCAUGUUUGCUAGUCUACCUUGCCACGAAGCACAGAGGUUGACACACAGGGACUUUCCAAUUAUCCAGCAGUGGUACUGUUCCUUUACCCUCGUGGGUAAUAAUAUGGUAGCUAGACCUUCAAAAUUUAUGUGUCUAAACUUUGUUAGUGUUGUUUCUUUGCUAUUCUUUUACCCUUCUUGGUCAGAGCGAUGUAGUGGGAGCUGCAAGCUUCACGUGCUCAACUUUGGCAGAGAACUUUGGUAAAGUUAUCUGUGGUACCCAUGAGCUACUGUUGCGUGUGGGAAGUGGGUGAUUGAACAGUAAGAUUCAUGUGCCUUCUACUUCACCAGAAGUCUUCGACAUAAUGCCCAUAAUUUCCGCAAAGCUGAGUGUGCGUGUGACAGGUGCUGACAAGGCUGGAAAAGUAGGUGCCUCUUUGAUUUCUGAGAUCGACCCUCAUGGUCUCUGAGCAGCCCAGCUUUUGAGAAAGCAAGCGCCUCUUCGAUUUCUGAGAUCGGCCUUCGUGGUCUUUGAGCAACCCAGCUUUUGAGAAAGCAAACGCCUCUUCGGUUUCUGAGAUCAACCCUCGUGGUCUCUGAGAGUAAAGGUUGGGCAUGUUUGCUAGUCUACCUUGCCAUGAAGCACAUAGGUUGACACAUUCGGAGAGCGGUGUCUCUUCGAUUUUUGAGAAAGUAGUCAUGUUGGGAGUCUGGCUCUCGAGAUUCGGAGGACGGUGCCUCUUCGAUUUUGGAGCAAGCAAUCUUAUUGGGAGUGUUUUCUCAAAUGUGAGUAAAGGUUGGGCAUGUUUGCUAGUCUACCUUGCCACGAAGCACAGAGGUUGACACACAGGGACUUUCCAAUUAUCCAGCAGUGGUACUGUUCCUUUACCCUUAUGGGUAAUAAUAUGGUAGCUAGACCUUCAAAAUUUAUGUGUCUAAACUUUGUUAGUACUAUUUCUUUGCUAUUCUUUUACCCUUCUUGGUCAGAGCGAUGUAGUGGGAGCUGCAAGCUUCACGUGCUCAACUUUGGCAGAGAACUUUGGCAAAGUUAUCUGUGGUACCCAUGAGCUACUGUUGCGUGUGGGAAAUGGGUGAUUGAACAGUAAGAUUCAUGUGCUUUCUACUUCACCAGAAGUCUUCGACAGAAUGCCCAUAAUUUUCGCAAAGCUGAGUGUGCAUGUGACAGGUGCUGACAAGGUUGGAAAGGUAGGUGCCUCUUCGAUUUCUGAGAUCGGCCCUCGUGGUCUCUGAGCAGCCCAGCUUUUGAGAAAGCAAGCGCCUCUUCGAUUUCUGAGAUCAGCCUUCGUGGUCUUUGAGCAGCCCAGCUUUUGAAAAAGCAAACGCCUCUUCGAUUUCUGAGAUCAACCCUCGUGGUCUCUGAGCAGCCCAGCUUUUGAGAAAGCAAACGCCUCUUCGAUUUUUGAAGCUCCGUCGAGUGUAUAUUUUUAUAGGGGCUGGCAUUAAGUUCCAAAGCACACUUGAAUCUCCACCAGUAGAAGCUCCAUUCUUGUACUUCUAAGAUCUUGAUUUGUCCGACUUCUUCUCUCUUCAACACCUUUGAAAAUGUCUGGCCCCUCCGACCGUCGUUUUGACUUGAACCUUGUUGAAGAUGCAGCCCCGCCUUCUCAAGACAACAUAUGGCGCCCAUCCUUCGUCUCCCCUACUGGUCCUCUUACCGUUGGGGAUUCCGUGAUGAAGAAUGAUAUGACCGUUGCGGUGGUGGCCAGGAACCUUCUCACUCCCAAAGAUAACAGACUACUUUCCAAACGGUCUGAUGAGUUAGCUGUUAAGGAUUCUCUGGCUCUCAGUGUUCAGUAUGCAAGUUCUGUGUCUAAUAUGGCCCAACACCUAUUUGCUCGAACCCGUCAAGUUGAAUCAUUGGCGGCUGAAGUGAUGAGUCUCAAACAGGAGAUUAGAGGGCUCAAGCAUGAGAAUAAACAGUUGCACCGGCUCGCACAUGACUAUGCUACAAACAUGAAGAUGAAGCUUGACCAGAUGAAGGAAUCUGAUGGUCAGGUUUUACUUGAUCAUCAGAGAUUUGUGGGUUUGUUCCAAAGGCAUUUAUUGCCUUCGUCUUCUGGGGCUGUAUCGCGUAAUGAAGCUCUAAAUGAUCAACCUCUGAUGCCUCCUCCUUCUAGGGUUCUGUCCAGUACUGAGGCUCCGAAUGAUCCCCCUCCGGUGCCUUCUCUUUCUGGGGCUCUACCGACUGCUGAGACUUCUCCUAAGCAACCUUUGUGAAGGCUCCCUCUUGUUUGUUUAUUUUGACUCAUGUAUAUGUAUGUGUAGCUUAUCGGGGAUAUCAAUAAAUAAGCUUUCCUUCAUUUCAACAUAUUGUGUUAAAUACACCAAAGCCUUCUUCGCUAAGUUCUUUGAAUUUUCUUUUGUUGAAGCUUGUAUGUUGAAACUUUGUGAGUGGAUCAUGUAGGUUAAGGUAGUGUUCCCUUAUUUUCAUCAAUAUUGAUAUUUUAAACAAUGACAAUUCUUAGAAUACUGGAAUUCAUGUCAUUUUCAUAAACAAAUAAAUGGUUAAGAAAUGUAUAUAUUAGAAAAUUAAGAGCCAGAUUUAACUAAUAUUAAAUCGAUUUUAAAUCGGGUAGUAAAACAAAAUUAGGAAUCUGUGUCCUUUUCAUAAAUAAAUAAAUGGUUACAAAAUUUAUAUAUCAUAAAUUUAAAAGCCAGAAUUGACUUAUAUAAAAUCGAUUUUUAAUUGGGUAGAUGUAAUUUGUAAAACAAAAAUGUUUAAAAAACAAUUCUCUUAAAAAUGGUAUUCUGGUGCCAGGAUUCGAACCUGGAUGAAAACUCUUAACCGUAAGACUUUUUGUAGUGAGCAACAUCAGAUGAGUUGAUAGAUUAUGUAACGCCCCGCGCCCGAAAUAUUUAUUUUCAUAAAAUAAUUCCAAUGAUAAGCCUAAAUUAAAUUUUUUAUUUACAUUACAACCAAUAAUCACGAUUCCUUAUUUAAUUUUCUUAAUCCCUCACAAAAACUAUAACCCAUAAUUAACUUACCAAAACAUACGAUUAAAUUUUCAUAAUUUGUCACCAACUUCUACUCUUAAAACAACUUCCCAACUAAAGAUUAAAUCUCAAUUAUUAAGGCUACAUCUAACUCUUGUUAGACUGCCUACAUACCCUUUAGCGGGAUCAAGGCUUUCGUAGUUCAUAAAUCCGUUUAAAUCCAUUCUUAUAGCCGUUUCUGAAAAUAUUCUAGAAUUGGAAAUAUUCAACAUUAGCUUUCACAAUCGAAUCACAUCAAAUGAUUACCAAUUAUGGAUUUAAAUUGUCUAAAUUAGUAUUAAAAGGCAGCGUCGGCCCACUGGCCACGCGCCACCACGGGUGGCGAUCUCCAGUGAUCGGAAACCCCAAUUUCCGACAAACUCUACAAAUUACCAAAUUUUAUAGGGUUGUAGAGUUCAAUUAUAGGAACAACUUUCAUACUUGGGACGAAGUCCAAUUCGGCCAAGAAAAGCCCCAAUUUCACUCAAUUCCGUCUGAACCCUAGAAUUUGGGUGUCCUCAAUUAGUCAUCUCCCGUGCCCCGCCGCCCCAAACAAGGCUUGGUAGAUGUUCCUGGGUUCACAAGGAGUCUAACCAUGGUGGUAGUCAAUGGUGGUGGCUUCACAAACGGGAGAUCGCAGAAACGGACCCAUCGCACCCACCAAUGUAGGUUUCACUAAAUUAAAGCAUAUUUCCAUCGAAAUUGGGAUGGAAUUGGUGAAGGUAUCAAUUGGUAUCGAAGGGAGGGUUAUUUUUGGCACCGUUCCCAUCAUCAACGAUGGUCGGAAUAAAAAACAAUGGUCAGGUCGGGUCGGCGGGUUGAAGGAAGGUCUGGUUCCCUUCUCUCCUUUCCCUCCCUACCUCCCCCUCUGGUUGGUCCGUGUCUCUCGCCUUCUCUCCUUCCCUUUCCAUCACAGCCACACACGUGGCUUCUCAGAUCCUUGCUCCAGCAAAUCUGGAGCCUUUUAGAUAUUGGUCAAAUGACCAUUUUACUCCUAACUUCAAUUGUUAAUAACUUCUUCGUUAUAACUCCGUUUCAUGAACGGUUUUCGUCUACAUGUUCGUAGGGCCAUCCUUUAUCCAAAUAUAUCAAGAAAUCCGAUAAAAUAUAUGAGGAUAAAAUACAUCCUUGUAUAAUUACGUCAAACUAGUUAGGGCAUUUUCUUCUUUUCUACUUAACGAUAAAUUUUACUACGUAAAUUAUAAAAUUUCCGGAAACAAAACUUUAAAAGUUCACAAUUUUUUUUUCUUUCAUAACCAUAAAUUGAUUUAUUGUCGAUUUUUCUUCACAUAUUCAUAUAUUUAAAUUUUCAGGGUAUUACAGAUUAUGACAAAAUAAACCAUUUAAAUGUUCUCCUUACGUUAUGCAUUGCGCAUAUUGGAUAAACAAUUAGUGCACAUAAUGUGGUUAUCUGAUUUGUGGGGAAAGGUGAUGCUCACCGCUGACUUUUGGUUUAGAGACAGGCUCUCAAACUUAAAUAUAUCAGAUUUUGUUUGACAUUCGUAACAUAUUUUAAUAUUUUCACCGUUAUUGAUAUUUUAAACAAUGACAAUUCUUAGAAUACUGGAAUUCAUGUCCUUUUCAAUUUUCAUAAACAAAUAAAUGGUUAAGAAAUGUAUAUAUUAGAAAAUUAAGAGCUAGAAUUGACUAAUAUUAAAUCGAUUUUAAAUCGGGUAGUAAAACAAAAUUAGGAAUCCAUGUCCUUUUCAUAAAUAAAUAAAUGGUUAAGAAAUUUAUAUAUCAGAAAUUUAAAAACCAAAAUUGACUUAUAUAAAAUCGAUUUUUAAAUGGGUAGAUGUAAUUUGUAAAACAAUUUUUUUUUUAAAUAAUUCUCUUAUAAAUGGUAUUCCGGUGCCACGAUUCAAACCUGGAUGAAAACUCUUAACCGUAAAACUUUUUGUAUUGAGCAACACCGAACGAGUUGAUAGAUUAUGACGAAAUAAAAACAUAAUAAUUUCUUUCAAACUUAGUGAAUAACCUUCAGAAAAUAAAAACACCGAACGAGUUCAUAGAUUAUGACAAAUUAGUGGAUAAACACCUUCAGAAAAUAAAAACACCGAACGAGUUCAGCGGUGAGCAUCACCAUUCCCCACAAAUCAGAUAACCACAUUAUGCGCACAAAGAAUCAAUCAAAACAUAAUAAUUGAAUGAACGAGGAUUUCUUUCAUUUUUUCCAAAUUUUCUGAAGGUUUUUUCUAUAAGAACUUUUCUCUGACCAAUGCUUUCUAACAUUUCAUCAUUUUUUUUUAAAUUACACAAAUUCUUUGCAUACAUUGUUGUUAAAAAGAAAAUUUCUAUUAUUAAGGAGAGAGUUCGAAACUAUUGAAUUAUGGAAGAUGGACUUUUGAACUCGAGACACGGGUAGAAACCUAACACCUAUCCACUAGGACAUUAGAUCACCAGAGGUGGUCCUGGUUUUUUGGUGCCGACUGCCCAUGAACACUCAAAAUGUGCUUUUUUCCAGUACAACAUAAAUUAAACUGAAAGAUUUAAAAAGGGCUGGAGCCAGUCGAAGCUGUUGGGACAUUCUUCCAAAGAGGGAGAUGAAAUCGUUGAGGCUCUUACAGAUCCCACGUCACUGUCUUCAUUCAGCAGUUUUCCUCCAUCUACAUCAACAACUGCACGUUGCUCAAGAAGGUACUUCUAAAAAUUGAAAGUCAAACGAUAAAUUAUUAAGAAACAUUGAAUAUAAGCAUGAAACAAAGAAAAUGUUACGGAAUGGUGAUCCUCAUCCUCAAAGAUGAUUAAAAGCAAUUUGAUUCAAAAAUGACAUAUCAACUCUGGAGAAAUGGAAGACAAACAUGUGGUACCAUAUUCGCAACAGAGGUUAUGAAAGCUGAAAUCGAUUGUUCCUGUGUGCAUUGAUAAGUAAGACUACCGUAGAGAUUCACAACUAAGUAAAGACAGGUAUUCCACAGAACAACCCUGACCUCUUUGGAAACACAGAUCUAACAAAAACUAAAACAUUUUGGAUUAAUAUUGACUAAUCAAGAAUAAUGCAAGGGAGCAAAAGAGAUACUCUUCCUUCUAAUAACAAGAAGGCAUAAAAAGUAUACAGAGUUCCAACAAUUAGAGAACUUAAAUCAAACUAAAAAAAUCACCAAAGUAGACAGAAUUUCACUUCGCCAAAAAUUUGAAAAUAUAUCCUUUUUAUCCACUGAGAAUCAUAAACUACUACUACUACAUCAUGCCAAUAAGCAAUGCGUAAGAGGUGCUACAAUUUACCAAUAUAUUUACCCUGAGAACAAGUUUUGAAAUCAUCUCUAGUGUUAACAGCACCUUGCGUCCUUGGGUAAGCUGAGUCCUAGUAUCAAGUAAAGAGACCAAUCAGUACAUAUCCAAAAGAUCUUAAAUGCUUGUAAUACCAAAUAAGAAAGAAACAUGAGUAUAUCUUGAGUUAACCAUGCAAAAAUGUAAUGUUAAGGCAUCUUGUCAUACAGACCUCUUCAAGGUACCAGAAAUUUUUGCACUAAAGAUGUCACAAGCGGCUGAUAUGAAGCUGCAUUUUCUGUGAGUUGAGAUUUUGUCAAUAUAAUCGAUCACCUGAAGAGAGAGAGAGAGAGAGAGAGAGAGAGAGAGAGAAAGACAGUGAUAUCCAGAGAUGUGAGCCUAAAGGCUGAGUGUGUAAAAAAUAAGAUUAAAUGGAUAGCAAGAAUAUACAACUUUAAUGCCGAAAAGAACAUUAUAUGAUGCUCAUUCAUCAUUGCCAUUGAACGUGUACCUUCUUCUUUUCCUCUUUCUCAAAAGGAAGUAGACCCUUGAAGACUUGCCUAUAUGAUCCAUCAUCACAACCAGGCAAAGUCAUUUUAAUCAUAGCAACAAUGGCUCUAACUACCUGCCAUAAGAAACAUGCUACAUCAACAAGAUCACAGAGUGUACCAGAAACCGUAAUGUAGCAAAAUCUUAGAUAGAAUAGCUGGCCAAAAGGGAAUGGAAAAGCAAGCACAAAAAACAAUGAAAAGGACCAGUGAUGCCAAAAUUCAGGUGUUUAUAACUUUAAGUUCUACGUAGCAAAAACCACCUUAUGCACAACAAUAUUGGAAAAAUUAGAUACAUACAACUGAGAAGAUAGGUUUUCAUAAUCUGGACAAGUGCUAACUACCUUCUUCCUAUAAACUGCCACUCCAUGAACAUUAAAUGGUAUUUUCGUUUCACGCAAGGCUGUCUGGAAGACUUUUCCUGAUACCUGUAGUAUAAAAUACAAAAGAAAAUGUGACCAAAAUGUCUUAUAUGAUUCACCUCAUUCACAUUAGCACUAGGGCAAGCAAGCUUGACCUGCCUCCGGUAAAGGAUUGCUAUAUUUCCAUAGGAGCACCCUGCUUCUGACAGUUAGAUGCAGUCUCCAGGAUCUUGUCGACAACAAAGGCGCAUUAUGCAUCCUCAUUGUGACUUUCCUUGAUAAUUACCUACAUUUUGCCAGUAAAACCAGUGUCACUAACUAAAAAGACUGAAAAAUGACAUCAAAUUGUACUUGUUGGAGCAAGGAAAGAUUAGGUACAUUAGACCCAGAAGAAUUGUCGGUGUCAACAUUCUUUAGUUGGCAUCACUUCUUAUUGUUUUUUAUAACAGAAGAUGCAGCUUCCACAAUAUAGCGUGUGGACCGAUAGUUUUUAUUAAGCCUAAUCUGAACCAUAAAGUUAUGUCAAAUCCCACAGAACCCCAUAAAAUAAAACUUACUUUCCUGUAAUUAUACAAUAUAUUUGUUCUAUACUAUAUAUAAUGAAAAAAGACACUGAAUGACAUAAGAUAAACAUAGCAGUUAAGUGCGAAGGAACCUCUUUGUAAUUUGAAAAAUCUUUACAAAAAGAAUCAAAUCCAGAACUGUCCGCCCCGUUGAAACUGAAAAUGGACUGCAGCAGGAUAUAUGUUAUUUGAUUUAGAACAGAUAAGGGCUGGAUUAGAAUGAGCUGAGAGAGAGAGAGAGGGAGAGAGGGAGCAAUAAGAUUGGAUUUCCAUAAUAAAUCAACAACAUGCCUGAUCAUCAUCACCAACAAUGGUUAUGUGGUUAUGAGAGGCGAGAAUCCGCAAAAGACUAUACUGCAUAGCACUUGUGUCUUGAAACUCGUCUAUUACAAUAGCUUUCCAUGACUCCUGGCACUCCUCCGACACUAAUUAAGAGAACACCAUGUAUCAACAUUUAGCAUUACUUGUAAAACUAGAUAAAUCAAUUUAAUAUACUUAGAUGAUAGAGACCUUCAGGAAAAUCACUUAGCAGCUAAUUAAGUCAUGGUAGUCCAAAGCGUUGCACGAUUCCUAAGAAUUUCACCCUGAUUCAGAUUGAGAUCUAAAACUCAUAAGCAAUAGUUUCAGAGAACUGAAAUGAUAACUGAAAUUCUAGAACUGAAAUGAUAACUGAACAACAACAAAAACAACAACAAAGCCUUUUCCCACUAAGUGGGGUCGGCUAUAUGAAUCCUAGAACGCCAUUGCGCUCGGUUUUGUGUCAUGUCCUCCGUUAGAUCCAAGUACUCUAAGUCUUUUCUUAGAGUCUCUUCCAAAGUUUUCCUAGGUCUUCCUCUACCCCUUCGGCCUUGAACCUCUGUCCCGUAGUCACAUCUUCGAACCGGAGCGUCAGUAGGCCUUCUUUGCACAUGUCCAAAUCACCGGAACCGAUUUUCUCUCAUCUUUCCUUCAAUUUCGGCUACUACUACUUUACCUCGGAUAUCCUCAUUCCCAAUCUUAUCCUUUCUCGUGUGCCCACACAUCCCACGAAGCAUCCUCAUCUCCGCUACACCCAUUUUGUGUACGUGUUGAUGCUUCACCGCCCAACAUUCUGUGCCAUACAACAUCGCUGGCCUUAUUGCCGUCCUAUAAAAUUUUCCCUUGAGCUUCAGUGGCCUACGACGGUCACACAACACGCCGGAUGCACUCUUACACUUCAUCCAUCCAGCUUGUACUCUAUGGUUGAGAUCUCCAUUUAAUUCUCCGUUCUCUUGCAAGAUAGAUCCUAGGUAGCGGAAACGGUCGCUUUUUGUGAUCUUCGCUAGAUUGCUCCGGUCAUUAGUGUGGAAUGGAUAGUGAUAGGAAAGCAAACACAAGAUGUACGUGGUUCACCCAGAUUGGCUACGUCCACGGAAUAGAGUUCUCAUUAAUUGUGGAGGGUUUACACAAGUACAUAGGUUCAAGCUCUCCUUUAGUGAGUACAAGUGAAUAAUUUAGUACAAAUGACAUUAGGAAAUAUUGUGGGAGAAUGAUCUCGUAAUCACGAAACUUCUAAGUAUCGGAGUGUGGUAUCGUCUUGACUCGCCUUAUCUGUCUCAUAGGUAGAUGUGGCAUCUUCUCUGGAAGUACUCUUCCUCCAUCCAGAGGUGGUAUCUUUAACUGGUGGAGAUGCAGAAGGUAAUGUAUCAAUUUCACUUGAAGCUUACUUGUAGUUUCAGGCUUGGUCAAGCGCGAUACAAACCAUGUAGUAGGAGUCCCCCAAGUCGCCGAGCUAGGGGAUCUGCUGAAAGAGGUGACAGACAAGGUAAGCAAUCAGAGCUCCGGCUGAUUGUUCACAUUCUCCCUAUCUUGCAGGCAGCAUGAAGGAUAAAGAGAAGAAAAAUGAGAAAAGAUGAUAUGGGAUACUUUUGCUUUUGAAGAAGUAACUUUCCACAGGCUUAUUCUUGAACUGAGCUGGAGGGUUUUCUGGUUUCCUCCAGAGUAUAAGGCCGACUGAAGAAUUUGAGGGUCAAAACAAGUCCAUCAAAUCUAGAGUACGUUCGACCCUGCUGAUAUAGGAUACUUUUGCUUUUGACAGAGUAAUGGAUGUAUCGGCACGUGUGCUGUUACGCUUGUCUCCACAUGCUUCCUUGUAUCCUUCUCACUUGCCCUAUCUGUUCCUCAGGCAGAUGCGAUAUCUUCCCUGGAAGCAUAAGAUGUUGAAGAUGAGUACUCGAGAGCAAUGCCAGGUAAGUAAUCAGGUAAGGGGUUCCAGGCAAUCAGUUCCUAGCUGGAAGCUUGAUUCCAAGUGCUGAUUGAUUGCUCUCUUUCUCCUUGUCUUGCAGGUAAGAACAAGGUCAAAGGAAAAGACAGGGAAAAAGCAUGAUAUGGGAUACUCUUGCUUUUUAACCCUGAUGAUAUGAGAUAUUCUUGCUCUAGUAUAGCUUGUUUGCAGAGGUAUUAUCGGGGGGAAAGAAAGCUGAAUAUUUCGAAAGGCUUCGUUGGGAAUGCCCUCUCAGAUAUGAGGAAGGGUUGAGCAUUUUUGCAGGUCUGCCUGUCCGUUGGGGAUGGAGGUCGACAUAUAUAGGAGUCUCCCUAACAACAAGUAGUAAUGCUAUUCCUUUAACCUGCUUGGUCAUAGCACGGUAGUUGGAGCUGCCAGCUUCACAUGUUUUAACUUUGUCAGAGCACUUUGAAAAAGUUGUCUGUGGUAUCUGGAAAGCUGAUGUUGCAUGUGAAGAUUACAGACAAGCUUUAUCCAAGGAGAUCCGGCUCUUGAAGUUGGGAAAAUUGUGCCUCUUCGGUUUUCGAACAAGCAAUCCUAUCGGGGAUCUGGCUCUCGAGAUUCGGAGAACGAUGUCACUUCGAUUUUUGAGAAAGCAAUCAUGCUGGGGGUCUGGCUCUCGAGAUUCGAAGAGCGGUCUCUUCGAUUUUUGAGAAAGUAAUCAUGUUGGGAGUCUGGCUCUCGAGAUUCGGAGGACGGUGCCUCUUCGAUUUUGGAGCAAGCAAUCUUGUUGGGAGUGUUUUCUCGAAUGUGAGUAAAGGUUGGGCAUGUUUGUUAGUCUACCUUGCCACGAAGCAUAGAGGUUGACACACAGGGACUUUCCAAUUAUCCAGCAAUGGUACUGUUCCUUUACCCUCUCUUCGAUUUUUGAGAAAGUAGUCAUGUUGGGAGUCUGGCUCUCGAGAUUCGGAAGACGGUGCCUGUUCGAUUUUGGAGCAAGCAAUCUUGUAAUCUUGUUGGGAGUGUUUUCUCGAAUGUGAGUAAAGGUUGGGCAUGUUUGCUAGUCUACCUUGCCACGAAGCACAGAGGUUGACACACAGGGACUUUCCAAUUAUCCAGCAGUGGUACUAUUCCUUUACCCUUGUGGGUAAUAAUAUGGUAGCUAGACCUUCAAAAUUUAUGCGUCUAAACUUUUAGUUGUGUUUUCUUUGCUAUUCUUUUACCCUUCUUGGUCAAAGCGAUGUAGUGGGAGCUGCAAGCUUCACGUGCUCAACUUUGGCAGAGAACUUUGGCAAAGUUAUCUGUGGUACCCAUGAGCUACUGUUGCGUGUGGGAAGUGGGUGAUUGAACAGUAAGAUUCAUGUGCUUUCUACUUCACCAGAAUGCCCAUAAUUUCCGCAAAGCUGAGUGUGCGUGUGACAGGUGCUGACAAGGCUGGAAAAGUAGGUGCCUCUUCGAUUUCUGAGAUCGGCCCUCAUGGUCUCUGAGCAGCCCAGCUUUUGAGAAAGCAAGUGCCUCUUCGAUUUCUGAGAUCGGCCUUCGUGGUCUUUGAGCAUCCCAACUUUUGAGAAAGAAAACGCCUCUUCGAUUUCUGAGAUCAACCCUCGUGGUCUCUGAGAGUAAAGGUUGGACAAGUUUGCUAGUCUACCUUGCCAUGAAGCACAGAGGUUGACACACAGGGAAUUUCCAAUUAUCCAGCAAUGGUACUGUUCCUUUACCCUUAUGGGUAAUAAUAUGGUAGCUAGACCUUCAAAAUUUAUGUGUCUAAACUUUGUUAGUGCUGUUUCUUUGCUAUUCUUUUACCCUUCUUGGUCAGAACGAUGUAGUGGGAGCUGCAAGCUUCACGUGCUCAACUUUGGCAGAGAACUUUGGCAAAGUUAUCUGUGGUACCCAUGCGCUACUGUUGCGUGUGGGAAGUGGGUGAUUGAACAGUAAGAUUCAUGUGCUUUCUACUUCACCAGAAGUCUUCGACAAAAUGCCCAUAAUUUCCACAAAGCUGAGUGUGCGUGUAAUAGGUGCUGACAAGGCUGGAAAAGUAGGUGCCUCUUCGAUUUCUGAGAUCGGCCCUCGUGGUCUCUGAGCAGCCCAUCUUUUGAGAAAGCAAGCGUCUCUUUGAUUUCUGAGAUCGGCCUUCGUGGUCUUUGAACAGCCCAGCUUUUGAGAAAGCAAACUUCUCUUCGAUUUCUGAGAUCAACCCUCGUGGUCUCUGAGCAGCUCAGCUUUUGAGAAAGCAAACGCCUCUUCGAUUUUUGAGCAGACGCCUCUUCGAUUUCUGAAGCUCCGUCGAGUGCAGAUUUUUAUAGGGGCUGACAUUAAGUUCCAAAGCACACUUGAAUCUCCACCAGUAGAAGCUCCAUUCUUGCACUUCUAAGAUCUUGAUUUGUCCGACCUCUUCUCUCUUCAACACCUUUGAAAAUGUCUAGCCCCUCCGACCGUCGUUUUGACUUGAACCUUGUUGAAGAGGCAGCCCCGCCUUCUCCAGACAACAUAUGGCGCCCAUCCUUCGUCUCCCCUACUGGUCCUCUUACCGUUGGGGAUUCCGUGAUAAAGAAUAAUAUGACCGCUGCGGUGGUGGCCAGGAACCUUCUCACUCCCAAAGAUAACAGACUACUUUCCAAACGAUCUGAUGAGUUAGCUGUUAAGGAUUCUCUGGCUCUCAGUGUUCAGUGUGCAGGUUCUGUGUCUAAUAUGGCCCAACGCCUAUUUGCUCGAACCCGUUAAGUUGAAUCAUUGGCGGCUGAAGUGAUGAGUCUCAAACAGGAGAUUAGAGGGCUCAAGCAUGAGAAUAAACAGUUGCACCGGCUCGCACAUGACUAUGCUACAAACAUGAAGAGGAAGCUUGACCAGAUGAAGGAAUCUGAUGGUCAGGUUUUACUUGAUCAUCAAAGAUUUGUGGGUUUGUUCCAAAGGCAUUUAUUGCCUUCGUCUUCUGGGGCGGUACCGCGUAAUGAAGCUCCAAAUGAUCAACCUCUGAUGCCUCCUCCUUCUAGGGUUCUAUCCAGUACUGAGGCUCCGAAUGAUCCCCCUCCGGUGCCUUCUCUUUCUGGGGCUCUACCGACUGCGAGACUUGUCCUAAGCAACCUUUGUGAAGGCUCCCUCUAGUUUGUUUAUUUUGACUCAUGUAUAUGUACAUAUUUGUAGCCUAUCAGGGAUAUCAAUAAAUAAGUUUUCCUUCAUUUCAACAUAUUGUGUUAAAUACACCAAAGCCUUCUUCGCUAAGUUCUUUGAAUUUUCUUUUGUUGAAGCUUGUAUGUUGAAGCUUUGUGAGUGGAGCAUGUAGGUUGAGGUAGUGUUCCUUUAAUUUCCCGAGUGAGGAAAACUUCUCGGUUGGAGACUUGAAAAAUCCAAGUCACUGAGUGGGAUCGGCUAUAUGAAUCUUAGAACGCCAUUGUGCUCGGUCCCGUGUCAUGUCCUUCGUUAGAUCCAAGUACUCUUAAGUCUUUUCUUAGAGUCUCUUCCAAAGUUUUCCUAGGUCUUCCUCUACCACUUCGGCCCUGAACCUCUGUCCCAUAGUCGCAUCUUCUAAUCGGAGCGUCAGUAGGCCUUCUUUGCACAUGUCCAAACCACCAUAACCGAUUUUCUCUCAUCUUUCCUUCAAUUUCGGCUACUCCUACUUUACCCCGGAUAUCCUCAUUCCUAAUCUUAUCCUUUCUCGUGUGCUCACACAUCCAACGAAGCAUCCUCAUCUCCGCUACACCCAUUUUGUGUACGUGUUGAUGUUUCACCGCCCAACAUUCUGUGCCAUACAGCAUCGCCGGCCUUAUUGCAGUCCUAUAAAAUUUUCCCUUGAGCUUCAGUGGCAUACGGCGGUCACAUAACACGCCGAAUGCACUCUUCCACUUCAUCCAUCCAGCUUGUAUUCUAUGGUUGAUAUCUCCAUCUAAUUCUCCGUUCUUUUGCAAGAUAGAUCCUAGGUAACGAAAACGAUCGCUCUUUGGUAUUUCUUGAUCUCCGAUCCUCACCCCUAACUCGUUUUGGCCUCCAUUUGCACUGAACUUGCACUCCAUAUAUUCUGUCUUUGAUCGGCUUAGGCGAAGACCUUUAGAUUCCAACGCUUCUCUCCAAAGGUUAAGCUUUGCAUUUACCCCUUCCUGAGUUUCAUCUAUCAACACUAUAUCGUCUGCGAAAAGCAUACACCAAAGAAUAUCAUCUUGAAUAUGUCCUGUUAACUCAUCCAUUACCAACGCAAAAAGGUAAGGACUUAAGGAUGAGCCUUGAUGUAAUCCUACAGUUAUGGGAAAGCUUUCGGUUUGUCUUUCAUGAGUUCUUACAGCAGUCUUUGCUCCUUCAUACAUAUCUUUUAUAGCUUGGAUAUAUGCUACUCGUACUCCUUUCUUCUCUAAAAUCCUCCAAAGAAUGUCUCUUGGGACCCUAUCAUACGCUUUUUCCAAAUCUAUAAAGACCAUGUGUAAAUCCUUUUUCCCAUCUCUAUAUCUUUCCAUCAAUCUUCGUAAGAGAUAGAUUGCCUCCAUGGUUGAGCGCCCUGGCAUGAACCCGAAUUGGUUGUCCGAAACCCGUGUCUCUUGCCUCAAUCUAUGCUCAAUGACUCUCUCUCAGAGCUUCAUUGUAUGACUCAUUAACUUAAUACCCCUAUAGUUCAUGUAAUUUUGUACGUCGCCCUUAUUCUUGUAGAUAGGCACCAAAAUGCUCGUUCGCCACUCAUUUGGCAUCUUCUUCGUUUUCAAAAUCCUAUUGAAAAGGUCAGUGAGCCAUGUUAUACCUGUCUCUUCCAAAACUUUCCACACUUCGAUUGGUAUAUCGUUUGGGCCUAUUGCUUUUCUAUGUUUCAUCUUCUUCAAAGCUACAACUACUUGGAAAAAGCGUAUCAUACGCUCCCAAACAACUUUGAGUGGAAUCGUUCGAAAAGAAGUUUCUAUGGCCCCCUUGCUCAUUUAACACUGCAUCCGGAUGCUGAUGGAGAUACAGCGACCCUUGCUCACUUAUCACUGUGCUCGGGCCACACAGCGCGCCACUUACGGGUGACGCCCUAGAUUUAGCGCGAUUUCGUUCUGGAUUCAUUUUCAUAAGGAUUCGACGUGAUCAUGGAGUGCCGGCUGUCGACUACCUGACGCCCUCCCCCUCCUCCUUUAUCCGGGCUUGGGACCGGCAAUGUAAGAACAUAGGCGGAGUUAACUGAAAUGAUAACUGAAACAUAAAUAAAUUUAGAAUUCAAGACUAACCUGUGUAGCUAAUAUAUUCUAGCUUGAUUGUAGCUAAUAUUUUUUAAAUCGAAUGAAUGUUGUUCUUAAUCCACUAUAAUCUGAACAUUAAAUUUGGUAUUCAUGACUAACCUGUGUCACGAACUUUAGCCAUUUCUUUGAUGGAUCCUUAAAAUGAUGUGGAGAUGUUACGCCAUUACUCUUCCCCAUCUAUAGCAACAUUAAGAUUCGUUUUACUCUUUUCAUCUUCUGAUAACCGCACAGCUUCAAUGACUGCUCUUCUCUGUUGCCCAUGUCCAUAUAUAAAAAAUUCUGGUGUGCGCUCAAGUCUAAAACACAAGCCAACAUAACAGACUCAGCUAUACCACCAUAGGUAUGGUGUUCAAAAUCAAGGGAGGUGAAUCAAUAGCUUACUUCUCAGCAUGUGAUCGGCAAAGUUGCAAUGAAAAUGAAUGAAAUGUACUGAUUGUUAGUAGUUUUGCCGUUCCUUUCCCAGUCACAGAUCCAAUUCGAUCUCUCAUCUCGGAAGCUGCUGCUGUAGUGAAAGUCAUUGCUAGAAUGUUAGACGCGCUCAUGCCCUAAGAACACAAAAAAAAAAGGAAUAAGAUUUCGAUCAUAAACAAGAAAUGUAGAGAAACAGACAAUUAAGAAAGAAAAAGUUAGAGGGAAAGUGGCAACACCUCAUUGAGCAGCAUUAGAACCCGCCCAACCAUCGUUGAAGUCUUUCCACUUCCAGGGCCGGCAACAAUCAUCAAAGGUACUGAAAUAUCGCUGCAAGCUGCCUCCCGCUGCCUUUCGUUGAGAGAAAGCAAAUACUUCGAAUACUCAUCCGGCAUGUUAGGCAAUCCAUGGUUAACAGAAUCUGUUUGGUUUUCACUACUCAGAGGUGGCGCUGAUGCGGCAUUAACAUCGCUACCACAACUCCCAAUAUCAUCACGCUGAAUGUCCCCACUCGGUUUCUGCUCAAUUAAAGCGUCAAUUUCCUGCAAAAUACUCUCAUCGAAAUCAUCAUCCUCGAGAAUUCCAGACGCAGAGAAAGAAUCGAAUGAAGUCGGAAACUGCGGUUGUUUGAUUGGAAUUGUGAAAGAAUCCGAUUUUGACACGCUUGAUUCAGUCCGGCUAGCGCUUAAGCUCCCGGAACACGACGCACUGCCAUAUUCAGUCCGGCUUGUAGAAAUCGGAGGCGGUGUGUUCAUCGGUAGCUCGGCAAGAGGAGUUCUGUGAACUCUAUUGAGCUGAGCUGGCGUUUGGAUUCCAUUUCCGCCACAAAUUCUGGAAUUUGAAAAACACAAUUGAAUUGAUUUAAAUUGAAUCAAGAAAACAGCCGAGUACCAAAAAAGUAGUAAGAAGAUGAAAUCUUUGAUUCCUGAACGACUUACUUGGUAUGAGGGAGGUGAUGAUCAGUCAAAACGGCGUCGUUGCGGGGGCGUUUGCGAUCAAUGAGGGCCUUGGCGGCUCUGAAAUUCCCAGAGAUGCGGUUUCUUUUGAUAGGAUCACAGAUCUCAGGACCCUAUUCAACCUACAAGCAGCAAUAGAAAUGACAAAUGGAGAAGACGAAGUAGAAGGGAGCAGGGCUCCAAUAUAUUUUUUUGGUUUUGUAUUUCUGUUUGUAAAAUCUGAUCUGCUACAUUUGAGGGAGCUGGACUCCUUUUAUACAAACUCUACUUCUUAAAAUGCCAGCUGGCAUAUUUAACAAUUCUUAACAAAUCAAUUAAAGCAUAAAACCUCAGUAAUAAUUUGGGUCAUAACAAUACUUCCCCCUUGAAGAACAACCUUGUCCUCAAGGUUGAAAGUUGAAAAACUUAUUUGAACGAGUAGAAACUAGGAGUCUUGCAACAGAAGGGAAGCUGCAGGGACUGCAAAUACAAUCUGCAUGUAGCUCUCAACUUUUGGAGAUGAGCCUGACAGCACCCCUGUACUUGUUAUGGCAGCUCCCCACAACUUGGUAAGUGAGCACUUGUUACCCGUAGCCUCUUCAUAAAUUUCAACCCACGAUAUCAUUUCAACUUCCAUGCUAGUUGCCAAAAAGCAUGCAGCAUCAAAUGGAGAAAAUGGGCCAACUCCCAGGGAACCUGCCAGAGGAUCAUUCUCAACGAAUGCAGCUACUAAAGCAAUUGGACCCUUGCCAAGAAUUAUAACCUUAGAGAUGGUUAUGAGCCUGAUAUCCUCAAAAGCAAGACGAGCGGUCUGAUUGAUAAGAGACUGCCUAAGAUUAACUAUCCUCUUCUUAGGUCCAACACACCAUUCCUUGCUCCGAAUGUAGCCAUCCUUCAUCACACCAAACCGAGGGAAGCCACCCAUGGGAGUGAUGUCUUUCUCAGUCAUCUUCCCCUCAUGGAGGCACAUUUCAUAGUUUUUUUCAGUGAAACUAGGACCACCUAAUGUCGGAUUGUCAAAAAACUCCUGAAAUAAGCUGAUGGAUGGGAGCAGUCUAUAUUGGAUAUUGAAACUUGCAAUUCUUUCUGAAUCAUUGAAAUCACUGUACUUUAAACUGUCAUUAGCAACACCGAUAUUAUGCAUGGAAGAUUUAAAGGACCUGAGCAAACCCAAAGCUUCAACCAUGUCCUUCAUCACCUCUGUUAAGGUGUACAAUUGGCAUUUGAAUUCAUAUGAUGGCUCAAUAGUAUCAAGUUCCAAAAAUUUAAACAACUCAUUUUGCCAACUUACACUCACGGUAAGACAAACAUGCAAAAACCAUGCAAAGACAAAUAUGUUGGACAUCCUUUCUGAAGAACAGGCAAAGAAAUAACACCAACAGCAACCAAAUGAAAUAACACCAGCAGCAACCAAUACAUUGAUGUGUACCAUAUUGUCUAACAAAAUUACUUUAAGCUGAUGACUGACUUUGCAGAUACGUCCAUAAUCGUACAACCAUGCAUAAACACUAGCACCAUCAAAUCUUAGAUUUGGCCUGAAUACUAUUACCUCUUCACUACCAAAAGUGAGCAUCUGAAUACGUCUGCCGGUUUUCUUAUGAUGCAACUCCAGCUCUACCAACAUCCAUCUUUUACCAAUCACAUAAGAGAAAACAUAAUGACUUACACAAUGUUGCUCAGGUACAGUCAUAUAUGGUGUUGUCCGAGAUUUCCAUUGCUCCUUGAAAUGCAUUCCAUAAACCAAGAAAAAUAAGAUUGAAGUAGUAGUUGUUCCAUCCUCCUUGAAAGAGAUGAGAAUGCAGGGCCUCUCCAUCAACCAUAUUGUAUAAUUCCUCUGAUUGAAGACAACCCUUUGAGAAGAUAUAUUGUCACAAGGAUUAGUGAGAGUGUGACACCAACCCGGUUGCUGGAAAAUCUGGUCAUUCGCUACGCAAUUAGGAAAGAAAACAGUAUCGAGGUGUACAUCAACACUAUUACAUAAUUCCGGAUUCAAUUUCGAUAACAAGCUGGUGAGAAUAGAAUAGUCAAGCUGGGAAAUGGCCAUGACUGUUAAUGCACAUCUGUGUAACAGUGAUAAGCAGAGGAACUGCUUGAUAGCAUUGAUAUAACCCAAAGUCCCAUUCUCCUCAGUCAAACUAGCUGCAAGAUCUUUAGGCAAAGAACGACAAACAAGUACAACAAUAUCCAAAGCUUCCAGGUUGCUACUCAAUGACAUAUUCUCCAUAUUAUGCCUCUUAGACAUUUCAUCAAAUAGAUGCAAUGCAUAGAAAUUCUUCUUCACAAAUUUACCCACAAGGUACCAAUUAACCCAGCCAUACUUAGCAUUCAAAAAAACAUGAUAUACAAUCGCAUUAUGACCAGUAUAGCAUGCAAUUACACCAUACAAAAGCAAUACCUCAUGUCCACGUACCAUUCCUAACUCCCAUAGCCCACUAGGUAGCUGAUACCAAACAUGAAGUUUCUUCUUGAUGAAAUAUCCAAUGUUGUCAUCGUAAACCGACUGUGUAAUCUUCUCUCCCAGUCUCAUUCGACAAUCUUCCAGUGGCCUAAUUUUGGAGCCUCCACCCUUAUCCCGAAUGCCAUUGCAGUAGCACAUGUCACGAUUGAGAACAACAUAGCCACUUGAGUCUGGAAUUUCAUCAAACAGGUUCCAUGCACAAAAAUCCUCAGGUCCAUUUUUCGUAGUAUCAGAGAACGAGUGCUUAUGGAGUAGCCGCGGAGCAGAGGUCAUCGUCUUCGAUCCCGGAAGCAAAAUUGUAGCUGCAUCAGAGUUGUUCGAGUGUGGCUUCACGGGCGGAGUUGCCAGUGCUUGCAACAACGGUGAAGAUGAGAGUAACGGCGGAACGGAAUGGACUUCAAUUGGCGAUGGAAUUCUCGGUGGAUUGUCGUCUCCUUGAAGUCCGGGAUGAUCGAGAUUGAUUGAUUGAAUCGUUGGGGUAGGAUCGGAAACUUCCCCGACACCAAGAGUCAAGUGAUGGCGGAACAGAGCAAGGUCACGGCGGACUGCGGCGGCUAUUGAAUCUAUAGCCUUGUGGAAAGCCUCCUCCGUACGCCUGAAUGUUUUCCUUGGACAUUGCUUCGAAGAUUCCGACGGAAGAUUUGGCCUGACAGCCUGACCAGGCAACCCUAGAAAGAAGAAGGAGCGAAGAAGACCAAAUGUGUCCGUUUUUCCUUUGGUUUUUUUCCCUCCUAAUCGAGUUGUUCGAAAUAAUUGGGCCUGGGCCUAGUGGGCCCAAUUGUCAGGCCCAUUAUCUCCUGUCUUCUAGUUCUACUUCCAAUUUCCCAAGUUAACAACGUACUGGUUCGCUUUUAGCGCGAGAGAGAAAUGGAGGCCCUGAUUGCCUCGUACGGAGACUCGUCGUCGGACUCAGACUCCGAGUCGCCGGCUCCACCUCCACCGCCACCUCCGGAGCUCAAAAACUCUCAAGAAUCGACCACUGCGCUGCCUCCACCUCCUCUGUCACUUCUCGACAGCCCAAUUCCUUCGGUAACCUCUGAUUCCCAUAAAUAUUCUAUCUUUUAACUUUCUGUUGUGAUGGCUUUUUCCGAGUUGCCCACCAAGUGUUUGAUGUUUUGCCUCUAAAGGAUUUCUGGACUUCUCCCCAAGCGCCCAGCCGAGCAGAGUUCGGAACUUUCCUCACGUCGAAGGGAACUACGCAGUACAUGUAUACAUCCCAGGUAAUCAAAAUUCUCGAAAUUUUCAGCUCCAUUAGCAAAUGCGAUCCCUUUGCACUUAGAUUUUGCUUGUUUAAUUGUGUGGUUCCAGUUUAUAUACCACCAGCACCAAGGAAAGAGAUGGCCUUGUUUUUGAACAAGCUUGCUUCUCUGGUGCCUGGUCUCCACGCCGUUGACGUUGACGUCCCGCUUGACAUUCUGCGUAAGGACGAGCAUAAGCUUGAACAAGUUGCUUUAGGCAGAGAGUUCCAUAUAAGUCUCGGAAGAACUGUUCCGAUUCGGGUGCACCAGAUUAAUUCCUUGGUGACAAUGCUGCGGCAGAAGCUUCAGAUUCAGAGGCGGUAUGGUUGCAUUUACCUUCUCUUGUGUGCAUUGCGUGAAUUUAGUUCUGUUAUUUAACAUAAUUGUUUAAGCCUGCAGAUAUUUUGUCCAUUUUUGGUUUUUAACACAUUUGGUUAUUGUGGAACAGGUAUUGGAUUGAUUUUUGCAAGUAGGAGGUUUUUGUUAACGAUGAUCAGACCCGGACCUUUGUGUCGAUCGAAGUCAUUGCUGCUGGGUUAGCUGAGGUAUGAUUGCUAGCUUUCUCUCUUGGUGCAAUUCAAAAUGUUUUGAGUUGUUUAUGGACUUAAGAUUUAGCAAGUACUUGCCGAAGGUCAUGGGAUUUUGAAAUAUCGAUAUCUUGCUUAUAGAUUGUUUGGUCUUCGAUGCACUUGUUACCUGAAAAGUAAAAAUGUAAAAGAUCAUGAAAAGUCCAAACGAAACAUAAUGGAUGUAUGAUAUGCUCAUGCUUCUAACAUGUGUUGUCCUGGCAUAAAUUAUGUUCCAAAUACCGUCAUUUGCGUGUAAGCCUAUGAACUUAGAGCACGUUUGGUAUGCCGGGUAAGAUUGGAUUUGGUAUUUCAGACUGCUUAGGUUAGGAUUGGAUUGGGUAGGUUAGGUUUUUUGUCUAAUGUUUGGUGUAGACUGUCGCAACAACGCUCGUGAGCCUCCACAUCCAUUGCAAUCUUGCACCACUCUGAUGUCCUGGAGGAGCGAAACAUGGUUACUUGAAGCAUACCUGUUUUCGUAUUAAUACAUGGUUGAAUCAGCUUUCAUUGUCAAUCAGUCUGUAAUAUUUCAACUUCCAUUGAUUUCAGAUAACAAAGCAGAUUCAAGCUGUCAAUGAGGUGUAUAUGCUUCACAAUCUUCCUGAAUUUUACAAGGUUAGCAUUUCGUGUUUUUCAAACUUGAAUCACUUCCUGAACAUAUGACAAUAUAUUGGAGCAAAUGGUUGUGCAUGAAUACUACUCAUUGCUCAGAGGGUGUUGCUGAUCACAGGAUCCGCGUCCUCAUAUUUCGGUAGCUUAGGCAUUGGGUGACAUCAGCAAUUCCCUGAAGAAAGUGGUUGAAGAAGAAAGACGAAGAUCUACCAUCGGAGGAUCGUUACAGAAAUGUAUUUUUACCAGUAAAUUCAAUGGUAUCGAAUGUAGGAUUGGUAAUAAAACACACAAAAUAUGUAAAUUUUCUGAAGAAUAAUGUAGCCAUUUAACUAUAUUGUGAAAUUCCGAGAAUAUAUCGCUGAGCAUUGGAUGAGAAGACAUUUCUUCGUUGGUGUCGAACUUCAUGUUGAAGGUAUUGACACCAGUGUAAACGCCAUCAUCCAUGUUGAUGGUAAUUACUUCCCAGCUACUAAGGGUGUCGGAACAACCUUGCACGCAGCCUCCUGUGCAUUACUUAGUAUUGUCUCAGUUUCUCCAAACUUGAAUGCUCCUGUAAACCCACUUUUGACCUUUCCGUCAUCUGUGAUUACCGGAAUGCUGGCUAGGAUGUUGCCGUUGACCUCCCAAACUUAAAAUACCGGAAAGCCGGCUCCAAUGUAUGCGAGAGCUCCACCUCUAUUGUUGUAACAGCAUCUGAUGCGUACUAGUCCUUUAUUCCCGUUACUCUUUGCCAUCUCCACUUGGAACUUGGCGUAAUGGCUCCCGGCCUCCUCUCCGGUGAAAUUGAGCAACCCCGGAGCUGGCGUGCCAUCAAGAUUUCCGUCAUGUCUGUAGCGAAAGUAUUCGCUGUUGUGGUUUGGUUUCACCACUAUAAAUCUUGGCAGAGUUGGCAUUUUCAUUUCUGUUGUCUGUAUAUCUUGAUAUUACAAGUAUUUGUUGUGCAAUAUGCAUGCUAUGUUCAUGUUAUGCGUAUAUACAUAUAUAAGUGUUUUAACACUUUGCAAACGUUUUCUCCAAAAUUUUGAUUUUGGUGGUGUUCUAACUUUUGUGAAUGCUAAUAACAAUUCCCUCAUUAACUGUUAGGACGAGCAACAAAACAGUUUUGAUUCUGUGCACAAAGGCGAUCCCUCGUAAGAAAUUGAUUCUUCAACAGAAAGAUGUUUUAAAACAAAUUUGAAGGGAAGGAAAUAUUUGAAUCGCAUUCAGAUGUCUGGUCAAAUUCUUGAACAGUUGAUAUACACAGAAGUUCCUUGUUUAUGUCACUACUUAUGAGAGGAUGUACGCAUUGCAUUCGCAUCAAAAGAGAGAGAGAGAGAGAGAGAGAGAGAGAGAGAGAGAGAGAGAGAGAGAGAGAGAGAGAGAGAGAGAGAAGGUUGUCAGUGGUAAGGGAACGAAUAACGAUGGCGUUGCGCUUCUAAUCAAAGGGGUCGAUCCGAGGGUCGUGUUCACUUGCCAUCGCCAUUCCAGUGCAAAGGCAUGUAGGGCACAUUACCUGCCACAUUAAAAACGCGAUGUUAGAUAUACUCGCCAUUUGGAAGUCAACCCUCAAAAUUUGCUACUAAAUUAUCUUAAACUCCAUUUCCAGUCAAUUUUUUUUCUUCCGAAAUGUCUUUCACGUGCUUAGGGAUAGGCAAAUACCCAUUGGUUAUAGGUAAUCGCGGUUACUCGCCCAUUUAAAUUAAACAGUUACGGUUAUGGCUAACUGUUUAGAUAAAUAAACGGUUAUGGGUAUAACCGUUUACCCGUAAAAUUUAAAUGGAUGGUUAUGAGUAUUAACCAUGGUUAUAAACGAGUAACCGUUUACCCAUUUAUUUUAUAUAUGUAAAGCUAACACAAAUCAUGUUCUCCAUCCAAUAAUACUUAGCACCCAAUAAAUUAGCAAGGAAUUCAUCGAUCAUUCUCUCAAUAACACUACUACAUGAAUGAUGAUUCCCAUCAUCAAGGAAUUUGCCAAAUUAAUUUAAAUUCCUUGUGGGUAACCGUGAAAUUGACAGAAAUACUUUAACAAAAAUGUCUUCUAAACAAUUUUUGUAACCCAAUAAUACUUAGCAAAUAUUAUAUUUACCUUCAUUGGUAACAGUUAAAAAUAUCGUCCGUAAACUAUUAUUUCAAUUAUUGGAAUGGUAUAAAGACUUAAAAAAUUAAAAUAUAAAAAUGUAUGACGAAUGUACCUAUAACGGUGUUUAAUUGUCAAAAAAAAAAUUAUGACAAUUUUUUUUAAUUUUCAAGUUGUUAAAAAACAUGUAGACUGGUGAAAAAAAGGUAAUGGUAAAAAGAAAAGAUAAACGGAUUAAAAAUGAUAAAUGGUAUACGGGUAUUAAAUUGUUACGGUUAAAUGGCUAUGCGGUUAUGGGUAUGGUUAACCGUUUAUAAAUGGUUAUGAGUAUGAGUAUAACCAUUUAGGCAAUUACCCAACGGGUAAACGGUUAUGUAGGUAUGAGCAUAAACGGUUAUGGGUAAAUUAACCGCGGUUACCCGCCCGCAUAACCAUCCCUACACGUGCUCGACAAACACAACAGUCACCAAUCAUGUGAAUCAGCUAUUCCUCAAUGUAUAUGAUGAAACAAGUGCAUCCCAGAGGCAGGCACGAAGAGGAAUUUACUAUGCAAUAAACAUUCAAUGGGUACAAUUUUAUGUCUAACCUUUCCCGCUCCUGAGCAAUUUGAACAUCUUUCAGUUUUUGGCAGUGAAAGGGGCUGGUUUCCGCCAUCAACUGUUGAAAUUGGUUCGGUAAGAACAAGGGUUCCAGUGCUGGAGCAACGAGCACAAGCAAGAUAUCCUGCAUAAGUAUCAAAUACACCGGUUAGUUGACAUAUGAAGGAUUGGUUUGGUAUUGCUGUGCUUUGAAAAAAAAACUGCUGUGAGAAUAAGCGGCUGUGCUGUGAAAAUAAGCGGCUGUGAAAUAAAUCAGCAGAGUGUUUGGUAAACUUUUUUGUAAAAGUGUUUUUGGAAAAAAAAAAGUCUAAUAGUGGGUCUUUUCAUUAAAGAAACACUGUAGCUCCAUGUGCUUUGAAAAAAACCAGUUUUCCAAAGCUACAAAUAGCAGCUUCAGCUUUUUCCUUUGAUUUCAGCUUAUUCUCACAGCAGCUUCCAAAAUAAGCCUUUUUUUUUUCAGUUUACCAAACACCUAAAACCCUCACAGCUUUUUUUCAUGGGUGCUUUUUUUUUAAGCACCUCACUCCCAAACUUGGUUUGGUAUUGCUGUGCUUUGAAAAAAAGCUGCUGUGAGAAUAAGCGGCUGUGAAAUAAAUCAGCUAAGUGUUUGGUAAAUUUUUUUGUAAAAGUGUUUUUGGAAAAAAACAGUCUGAUAGUGGGUCUUUUCAUUAAAGAAGCACUGUAACUCCGUGUGCUUUGAAAAAAAACCAAUUUUCCAAAGCUACAAAUAGCAGCAUCAGCUUUUUCCUUUGAUUUCAGCUUAUUCUCACAGCAGCUUCUAAAAUAAGCCUUUUUUUUUUCAGUUUACCAAACACCUAAAACUCUCAUAGUUUUUUUUCAUGAGUGCUUUUUUUUUAAGCACCUCACUCCCAAACUAGGUCAACCAAUCCAAACAUCUCCAUCGUAUAUAUUUAAAGCUACGGUACAUAUGACUAAAAGUGAGAAACAUAGGACAUUAUCACACCAGUUCCAAGACAAUAUUUGCAUCGCUUAUGCUCCUGCUGUUUCACAUUGCUUAUUUCAACUACCAUCAAUGCUGAGAUCACUCCGACUGCUCCUCCAGAGAACGAUGCCACUAUGGGAUCAACUUGACUGCAGAUUGAAAGUAUAUGAGAUCAAUAAACGAAACUGAUAACAAUGUAGUAUUAACAUUAUUUAGCUCCAUGUCAAGAUAGACAACACAUCCUAGAUUUUUCUAAUGUGUAAAAUUUGAGGACCCUCGUAAAAUUUGACCACAUCGGUUCCCAAAGUAAAAUUUAGUACCUUUGGUUCCUACAUUACAGACCGAAAAUAGUAACUACCGAAUUUAAAGUUCAUAUCAAGAUAGAGGAUACAAAAUUUCGAAACGAUAAUUGCUAGAGAACAGGAGGGUUAAUAGCCCGAGAUAUGAGCCAUACCUCAACUGCAACGGCAGAUGCAUAUUUACUAUAAAAUCUUUAUACGAUGUGCCUCCUAUUCCCAGCUUCAACUCCAACUGAAAGAUGUAAACGUAAUUGUCGGCAGAGAGUUAGAAACAUAACCGAAUCCAUGUUUUAUAAGCAGAAAGUACACUUAUUUGACAUGCUUCCUCAUUUUUUUACUUGCAAAUUCAAAACCGUAUUGUCAGACCAGUAAAAUAAAAUAAUGUUUACUAAUAACUGUUAAAACUAAUCACAACAAGUUAAUGCAUAAAGAACUUACGGAGGGUGCUAUGAGGCCACCGAAAAGGAUAAACCCCGCAAUAAUUGAAUAACAUACAGCAUAAUACUGCUUAAGGUUGUCUGAACUCUGCAAGCAAUGCAUUCACCUUGUGAUUAAUACUUUUGCACAAACACUAGUUUUCGCAAUUUUUUAUGAACCGACAAAAGGCUACAACAAAAUAUGGCUAAAACAUGUCGGGGAUAUGAAAAUACAUGUCUUCACAGGGGCAGCAGCUUACCAGGGGAGGCAAAAAUGGAAUGAAUGAUGGAAAACUUGAUCUUCAUUUACCGCUCCAAGCUCUGCGCGUUUAAUCCGUUUAAUCCGCUGUUGUAUCCUCAGCCUGCGAACCUACGCAUAUCGAAGCUCAUUCUUAAAGAACACAUUUCUAAGGGCAAUUGGAGAGUAAUUUGAAACAUGCUAAACUGAGAAAGUGGCAGCAACUAGCAAUUGCUCUCACCUCCUCCGUAUGCAAGAAAAUUUUGUUGCGCCGACUCCGAAUAUUAUCUUGAAUUUCCUGCAGCUCCAUUGUCGCAAAGUCCUGCACUGUUUCAGGCCCCUCUAUGAUACAAAAUCUGCACAAUUAAGCAUGUAACAACUAAAACUUACAGGCUACAAAGCAAUUUCCGUAUCAUUUUUGGGUUAAUUAACAUCAACAGCAGAUAAAUCACAUGAGUUUUUCACAUGAAGUUACAAACCUUCAGAGACCAGUAAGCUCUCUGCAAUCUCAUAAAUUUCACUGUGCAAAGUAACAAUCCAAAGCUUGGAACUUUAAAUUUCCAUUUUCUGUUAUUUUCCUAGAGAGAGAGGGGGGAGUACCCGGCGGGGUUUGUAUCGGCGGCGGGUUUAGGAUCAGAAUCGACAGACGGAGCGAACGAGGAGGAGUCGGGCUCCGAAGCCAUGGCCAGGGAUCGCCAUCUGGAGCUGCUUGUUGAUAUGGGGCUUCUUGCGUAGCUGAAUUUGGAGCAGCGGAAGCUAUGCAGUUUGUACGGACCGCACCGAUUUACGGGGAAAGAAACGGCCAAAAGUCUGCCGGAGCAGAGCAUCUCUCUCUCUCUCUCUCUCAAACCAGAAGGCAGAGCUUUCUGUUUCUCUUGAGGUUUCUUUCACUGGUAAAUUCCAGACAAGCAGAGAAGGCGGCUCUCUGAGAAAUGGCGAUGGUGCAAGUGGAGACAAAACAAAUGUAAAUCUUGAAGCACCGAACAUGUGCAGAACACUUGUCAACUACCGAACUCUAGGAUUAGGAGAGAGAGAGAGAGAGCGAGUGACCGGCCAAAAAAAAAUGGAGGGAAGUGGCUGAUUCUUCUUUUUAGUGGACCUGGUGUCCUUCGAUUCGAGUACUAUGUCAUAUUUAAAAUUUAGGGUUAAUUUUGUUUAAGUUUCUUAGUUUUCAACAUUUAGUACAUAAAGUUUUUUUCAUCUCAGAGUGGUACAUAAAGUCAUAAUUUUGAGACAGUCUAAUACAUCCGUUAAGGUUGCUGUUAAAUCAACCGUUAAAUAGUGACGUGGCGUCUAGGUGGAUAUUGACUGGACGACACGUAUCAUUAUGGGUCCAUGUGGAUAUUAAAAAAUUAAAAAAAAAAAAUUAAUGGGCCGUUCAACCCCUCCUCCCUCGACCCCCUCCCUUCUCUCCUCUGCACCCACCCUCCCCACGUCUGCAACCCAUCCCCACGUCGUCAUCUUCUUCUUUGCCCAGAUCCCGCAAGAAUCUUCUUCGUCGCCGACAACUCAGCCACCAUCUCCAUCUCCGCCUUCCCCUCCUCCGAACCCGACUCCUACCCACUUCCAGUUCCAAUUCACCCUCUCCCAAUUUGCCCACUUCUUGUCCGAUUUUCGCGCCACUAUUGAACCCGAGCCCGACCCACAAAGAUGCUUAGAUUCUGAAAAAGAGAUGACACAAAUGCAAGAAAUGGAAAGCAGUGUGGUUUAGAGGUUAGAAACUGAGCAAUUUUUGGAUUGCUUUUUGGUUUGAUCAAUUUAAAGAAAUGAAAUUCUGAGUCGAAUUUCUUGUUCGUUAUAUUCGAUCUCCGCUUGAGAAUUUUAAACUUAAUAAUUGCAAAUCAAGAUACAAAAUUGACAUGAAUUUCGAAUUGGGGUUUUGGGAAAUUUGAGAAGUUCUUGGCGAUUCAUAAGAAACUUCAACUCCCAAUCGUUUCUUCUCGCUCACAACCCGAGAUUAAUAAUUUUAAAGUUUGAGCUUGAAUGUUCUUUGUAAUUAAAGAACAGAUGUGCAUCCCUCUGAAUGGCAAGAGGGUGAAUAGGAAGCGAAAAUCGGUGUGUGGCAAAUCGGAGAGGGUUAGGGAAAAAGUUUAGAGUCGGGUUCGGAUGAGGGGAGGGCGGGGUUAUAUUUUUUGUCGAGGCGAAGAAGAUUCUGCGGGAUCUGGGCGAAGGAAGAUUGACAUGGAGGGUGGGUGCACAGGAGAUAAGGGAGGGGGUCAAGGGAGGAGGGUGAACGGCCCAAUUUUUUUUUUUUUUUGGGUCAUUUGGACCAUCUCACUCAUCACCUAAGACGCCACGAUCUAAUAUUAAUUCCGGUUGACUUUGUAAAUUGGAUGUAUUAAUUAACAAACAUAGAUUAGGACAUUGAUGAUUUAAAAUUUGGGGUUUUGUUCUUCAGAAAUUUGGUCGAAAUAAGAAAUUCCCUAAAAGUUCAAUUCAGAAGAGUUACUUGCCUUACAAACAUUUUUUAAAUACUUACUAAGAAAAAGAUUUUUGUGGGUGGGUACAGUAUGGGGUUUAACUCAUUGUGUUUUAGUUUAAAUCUUUUUCUCUCUUCUUUAAUAAUAUUUAGUAUAUUAUCAAUUCGUAAUAAAAAAAUUUUGAUUAAAAACUCUCAUCUAUAUUCUAGCCAAUGGAAAAAAAUGAAUAGUGAUUUUGAUGUUGCUUUAACAAAAUAUUUUUUAAAAACAAUGGACGGCUUUCAACAAAAAAUUUGAGUAAGAGGGGUUUUGCCUUAAGUAAUUUUUGAAAUUGAAUUCAUGGUGGUUUUUUGAUUUUAUUAAAUUAGUCCCUCCCAGCAAAAAUGUGAUCAAUUUCUCUAUAAAAGAAAUAUAAGAUAUAAAUGAGAUAAUAAAGGGGUCAUUAAUAAAGAGUUGAUGAUUGUUUUUUUUUUUUUACAAUUCACACUAAGGGGGAAUAAUUGAUUUCUUUGUUGGUGUUCAAAAGCUUUUAAAUUUAUCUCUUUAAAAUAGUUUUAAUAAUCUUUUAAUGUGUUUAGUUGCCAAAAUUUUAUUUUUUUAGCAAUGAUAUUAUCUCAAUUUGAUUGGGCUUAAAUUUCUCUUAUUUUUCAUUAAUUUUCAUAUUCAAAACAUCUUAAAUGUCGUAAAUGCCGAUCAAAUAACUCUUUUCUUUUUAAUUAAUUAAUCUAAAAUUAAGUAAAAAUGAAAUUAUUACAGAGAUUUUCGAAAACCAAAUUUACAUUAUUGAUUUUUUUAACCUUUUUACAAACAAUAUAUCUAGUCUUUUUGUUUUACAAAGUAAUAUUGAAUUUUUUCACAAGAAGGCUAACAUAUCACAUUCAUUGAUUCAUGAUCAAUAUUUAAAAGUCAAAAAAAUAUUAGUAACCAUUCUCUAUUUUAACACAAUGUUCCAAGAAACAAUCUAGGGAUUAUCGGAUUUAAUGACCAAGAGGUUGGAAUUUUCCCCGUAAAUAAAUGAAUUGUUAACAACAAACAUAAAAAACAAAGCAAUAAAGAAUUCAGAUAGUGAAUACCUACUAAACCAUGUGAACACAAGCAAAAUACUUCAGAAUCACAUGUUGUCGAAAAAAUACGACUAUUUCUAAUCAGAAUUACAAUAUACCACGUUUUGCCCAUCACAUAAAAUCCAAAAACUAGUUAGGGAGCUCAAAAAGGGAGCGGGUUUGGAAACCACUGAUACACGAAGUAAAGAGGUGGUACUGUUUUGGUAAAACACAAAAGGUGCGAAACAAAGUAAACAAAACGGAAGGAAGAUGUUAUAGUCAUUCUCAGCAACAAAAUUCGAGCUUGUUGUCGAAAUCACAACAGGAGACAAUUUCGAUUAACAGCCUUUCCUGCCAAACUCAAUUUCCAAAAUCCUACAUCACAUCAUAAAUCCAUUGUUUCAUUCCCACGCACAAUCCCUACCCACUGCACAGGAGAACAAUUGUUUCUGCAAAGAAAAAACAGUUAACAAAAAACGGCAUGCAUAUCGCAAAAUCGGGAUAGGAAGCAGAAGCUUUCCUUGUUUUCCUUAAACACCAAGCUCUACAUUCCAAAAAGAACAUGAAAAAAUAAAAUUAAAUAAAGAGCCUUUCCUGCUUAUUUUGAAUUAAGGCGGGGAGGUCGAGACACGGCUGGUGUAUUUUUGUUUUUUUAAUUGUCAAACUGCCCAGGACACGCUGGGCAUUUUUUUUUUUGUUUAAACCUGGGCCCAAAACGACGCGUUUGCCAUUUAAAAAAAAAUUCCUUGGGUCAUUUACCAAUUCCUUUUUUCAAAAAAAAAUAACUGGCCCAGCGCCUUCGUCUUCUACAAAGGCACAAAAGCCCAAAAACCCCGACGAACCUUCCGUUUCACAGUUGGUGUGAGCGAACGGUGGUCGCACCAGGGGUCGCACCACCAGUCCAAGGGUCUUAAAGUUGCUUCAUGCUCUCCAAGGUCCGCGACGUGGUUGCGCACCCCAAUUGAACCGCACAGGAUCCGAAUGGCUUCUUCCCAUACAUGCCAUCGAAAUUCAGCAAAAGCAAUAACCAGCGAUUUCUUCUGGAGAAUUUAAGCCACCCCAUUGGACCAACAAUUCAAUCAAAAGAAACCAGUAACCAAGUUCAAUUGAGUUUAGAAGCAUUUACAAUGUUCCCACGGAUGUUCAUCACUUUACCCAAUAGUUCGUUUCAAGAAGGAAAUUCCAGCAGAACUGAAACUUCAAAACUUCAGAAGGCACCAAAUUUUUGAAGUAAAUUCAUUUCAAGUUGAAAUAAUCAACUUAGGUGAGGACCCAUAAAAUUAGGAGGAACAUGAAAGAAAGCUUUAUCUUUUUCCUCUAAACUCAGGCGUUACUAAACAAACGGACAUUCACAUCCCCACCAGAUGCAUUUCCUUUCACAUCUUCCCAAGUAAAUCAGUACCUUCUUUCGUCUGAAUCUUAAGUCUGAAUUCUGGAAGUGAAAAUACUGGAAAAAAGUGGGCCUUUAUAAAAGAAUACCUCACGUUUUAGUCAAUGUAUCAGCGCACUAAGAGGACCAGAGGCAGGAGUGAACGACAGCAAACAAUUCAUGUAAUAUUCAGUCGAGUUUUGGGUGAUUUCUGCAGCGAUUUCGGAGGCCAAGAGCCUGAUAAGAAAGCUGGGACGGAAGGGCAGUGGUCUGGAAGAAAAGGCUCGGGUCACACUGUCGCGAUUCGCGAAGGAGAAGUGGCCCAAUACAAUUUCGGCCUGUUUGCACUGGACUGUUUUGCACAGGGCCAAGGCCGACCCUGAACCAGAUAAAGCUUCUCCAAACAGUAUAUAUCAGGUGCUAGAAAUUCUAUAGAACCAUUCAAUCUUAGAGCAACAGCUUAGCAUUAGUUGGUACAAAAAGAUUUCCGAUUAUCGCUUUUAUUUAUUCCUCCUCUGAUGUGUCCUUUUAGACUGCAACAGACGAUUUAAAGAAAUGAAAGUUAGCAGAAUAAAUGGCGCACAAAGGGAUUUAAAAUCCUGACAUGUGUAUUUUUGGCAGAUUUAUGUGAGCAUGCAACUAAAACUGGCAUCACUAUCAAUGGUGCACGAAGAUUGGCGGAAAAACGUAAAGGGAAGCAAUCACAACACAAAAUGUACGACGUAAUCUGUCCACAUGUUGGAAGGAGCUAUGAAAGUAUGGCUUUUCACUAAUCAGGCGUCCAGAGAAUCAAUAUUUUACUCACGGAUCAGUUACGGAGAACAAUCCCCACCAAAGCAAUCUCAAUAGUCCUCCACAUCUCAAACCAAACAGAAAUCGCACUAACAAACACGACUUCUAUACUAUUAGUCCUUCCCAUCUCAAAUCUAGUAAGUAACCCAUCUUUCGUCUGAAUCUGGAAAACAAGCAGCAGUGGAUUUAAAAAUCUGGGUAUCUCAAAGUUACUCACUUUAAUCACAAAUUUAACAAUUAAACAUAUAAAUGGGCAUUUUUAGUGAAAUAUUAGUGUAGUACUCACUGUGUGCUAGGAGCAAGAGUACCCAGAAAGCUCAAUGAGCUGCGCACAGAGGACUGCAGCGGUGAACGAUAGCGACCAAUUCUGUAAAAUUCAGUCGAGUUUUGGGCAAUUUCUGCAGCAAUUUCGGAGGUCAAGAGGCUGAUAAGGAAAGCUGCGACCAAAGGGCACUGGUCUGGAAGAAAGGCUCUGGUCACCGCUGUCGCGAUUCGCAAAGGAAGAAGUGCCCCAAAACAAUUUUGGCCCUGGGCAGGUGCACUGUUUGCACUGGGACAGGGCCGGCCCUGAAUCGCGAUAACGUCCUUCUCCAAACAGUAUAUAUACAGAUGCUAGAAAUAUCUACCAGAACCAUUCAAUUCUAGCGUCUACAGCUUUAGCAUCAGCUGGUACAAGGGACAUUCUUCCAUAGAGGGAGAUGAAAUCGUUGAGGCUCUUAUUUAUUCCUCCUCUUGAUGUGCCCUUUUAGACUGCUAAUUCCAGACGAUACAAUCUCAUGCAUCUUCCCUGAAAAAGGGUUGCCACACAUCGAGAUCAAAUUUUUCCAAUAAAAUUAACUUAAAAAUCAAACUCGUUAGCAGAAUAAAUGGUGCACAAAGGGAUUUAAAAUCUAGACAUAUGUGUAUUUUUGGCAGAUUUUAAGUGAGCAUGCAACUAAAACUGGCAUCACUAUAAAUGGUGGACAAAGAUUGGCGGAAAAACAUAAAGGGAAGCAAUCACAAAGCAAAAUGUACUAAGUAAUCUGUCCACAUAUUGGGAAAAAUUUUUAACAGUUUGAUUUGUAACUUCUCCAUUGUAUUAGUUAAAGACAAGACGGUGUCAACCAUGCAAUUUGCUGAUGAUUUUACUGAUGAAUGCAGAGUUAGCUGAUGAUACGACAAGCAAUUGAAAAUCCCAUCAUUAUACCCCACAUAUACCAAAAAAGCAAGUCAUUUGCACAAAUUCAGAAGGUUCAUCCACUGCAAUUUGCAGAUAUAGAAAUGUUAAGAUAAAUGGAAAUACAAAGUACCUUUCACCCAAAUUGGAGGAACACCGGUGGCAUUAGCAAGUUAGCAUCGGGAAUUGACAUUACCAGUAUCUUCACAGUUUCUGCGGUGGAGUUAUGUACCUCUCCUUGGAAAAUGCCACCAAAGCCGCCGCAACGCGGUGUAGUGUCCGAUUGAUUGCUUCAAAACAAAGCUUCGUAUCCAUGUGUUUAAUCAGCACAGAGUACCCAAAACCCCUGAAAAUUAUUUCUUUAUUCAGACAAUAAAAUUUCCCAAAUUUCGAAUUUUAAUUCCAAAUCAAAAAUAGGGUUUGAAUUUUGAUUACCUAGAAAUUGGGGGGUUGGGGUGGAGAGGGACCCGGGCCAGGACGGAGCUAUGUGUAUAUGCUAAGGCGUGCCAAAUUACAUAGAGUGUCAGGAAUGUGUACAAGUCUUUUGCAAUUUAUCAGACUUAAAACCUGAAGCCCCGUAAGGCGUUCAAUCCAGGGGGAAAGCUCUUUGAUAGAUGUUCCACCCAAGAAAAGCAUUCUUAAUCCUUCCAUAUUUUCUUCAAUGCUUGGAAACACCUCAAAUUUUGUACAAUUGUAAAGAGAGAGACGGUAAAAGGAUUUGAGUUGACAAAUGCUGCUUGGAAGACUCUCAAGUUCCUUGCAAUUCAUCAUAAGCAAACACCUCAAUCCCGUGAGAUUAUUAAUUGACAGGGGUAGUUCUUUAAUUUUUGACCCAGAUAAAUCAAGCUCUUCUAACCCCUCAAUAACUUCUGAAAUCUCUGGAAACAUCACAAGACUCGAGCAACCAGAAAGAUCAAGGGUUUUGAGAGAUUUCAUACGAAUGCUGCUUGGAAGACUCUCAAGUUCCUUGCAAUUGUUUAGGUCCAAAUAACUCAACCUCGUGAGAUUAUUAAUUGACAGGGGUAGUUCUUUAAUUUUUGACCUGGAUAAAUCAAGCGCUUCUAACCCCUCAAUCACUUCUGAAAUCUCUGGAAACAUCUCAAGACUGGAGCAGCCAGAAAGAUCAAAGGUUUUGAGAGAUCUCAUACAAACUUUGCUGGGUAGAAUCUUAAGUUCCAUGCAUUUUGAUAGGUUCAAAUGACUCAACCCCGUGAGAUUAUUAAUUGACAGGGGCAGUUCUUUAAUUCUUGACCCGGAUAAAUCAAGCUUUUCUAACCCCUCAAUCACUUCUGAAAUCUCCGGAAACAUCUCAAGACUCCGGCAGCCAAAAAGACCAAAGGUUUUGAGAGAUCUCAUACAAACUUUGCUGGGUAGAAUCUUAAGUUGCCCGCACAAACUCAGAUCCAAUAAAACAAUUUUUGUAAGAGCCAAAAUCGACCCGUGAACCUCAACUAAGCGUGUACAACCUUGAACAAUUAGCCUCUCAAGAUUUGGCACAUUUGUGAAGUCAGGGGUUAUCUCAAGGUUAUGACAAUGACUUAAAUUGAUGAAUUUCAACUUUUCCUGCGUCUGUUAAAACAUUCAGGAAAACAUGCAUUACUUAAUAAGACAUCUCACUCAAAGCCCAAACAUUUAAAAGAAACAAAUACAUGUAAAUGAUUGUACAUACCUGGGUUCCUUCCCAAAGUCGGUCAAUGAGGCUAUAUUGCAUGUCAAGUCCAACAAGAUUUUCGAAUUGAAAGUUGGAUGGCAAAGACUUGAGAGGGUAUCCAGACCAGGAAAGACACCUCAACUCACUAGAAACAAACUUUAAGGGCCCAGUCAGGUGUUGUAUGCCGUGAGCACUGAUCUUGAGAAGUCUUAGUUUAGUCAUCCUAUCAAAAGCUUCAACCAUUAAGCAUCCCUCAUCUGAGUUCCACGAAUCGAGGAUUAUGCUUUCGACUGUUUCUGUACCCUGUGCAAAUCAAAGGGAAGGAAAAAGCAGAGAACCUUAGUUUAGAUUAUGAAGUUAAUGCUUGUUUCUUAAGGAGUUGUUUGAUAAUAAUUUUGUUUUCACUUUUCACUUUUGUUUUGAUUAUUUAUUUAGAAAUCUGAAAAUUGAAAACAUAUAACUUGUUUGUAAUUGUUUUCAAUUUUCAAUUUUCAAUUAUUAAAAAAAUGAAAAUUAAAAAUUAAAAAUGGAAACAAAAGUGGUUAUCAAACGAGCUUAAGAAAUUGAUUUUGGUCAAAAGUUGAAGCUUUCUACUAAACAUUGCAUAAGAAAAGAAAUUAUCACCGUAUUUUUAGUUAUCACAUGAAAAACAUCUUCAUAACUCCACAACCUACUUCGUCUCCCAGGCUCUUUGAUAGAUUCUUGGUAGACGAUUUUCUGACCCAUUUCCUCUAGUAAAUCAUGCAUCUCCAGUUCCCCCUUCGUUGAGACAGUUACUAGAGCUCGAUCGAUUAGAACUUUUAUUCCAAUAUCAGGAUAGAAACCACAGCUGUGCAGAACUUCGGUUGCACAGUCUUCUCUCAUUCCUUUAAAGUAACAUGCAAUAUCUAGAAAGAUAUCCUUCUCCAUGUCAUCUAGUCCAUCGAAGCUUGUUUUAAGCACAUCAUGAAUUCCCUUUUGCGGGAUUUUCUUUAUUUUUUCUAACUCAUUUUCCCACUGGCGUACAUUUUUGUUAUAAAGAAAAGCUCCCAAGACUUUGAGUGCUAAAGGCAGACCUCGAGCAUAUUUUACGGCACGACGGGAGAGAUCAUCAUAAUCUCUGGUGGGUUGGUUUUUUCUGAAGGCGUACCGCCUAAAGAGUUCCAGAGCUCCAGAAUCACUCAAAAUCUGGGGAUUAUAUAUCUCACCAGCUAUGCUUAGUAAUUGCGAAUCUCUGGUUGUUAUAAUAAUUCUGCUUCCACCACCAAAGGAAUGUGGCUCUCCAAGUAAAGCUUCAAUAUGUUCUAAUUCUUCCACAUCAUCAACAACAAUAAGAACUUUUCUCCGACCUAGACUAUUUAACAUCACCUGGAAACCUUUAUUCGAAACGUCGGAACUCCCCACCCUGUUGUUCGAGAUACUCGAUAGAAGUUCUGCCUGCAUAUGUAGUUUGCCAUGCUUCAUGAAACCUUCCUUGAAAUUUUCAAGAAAGCAACAAGCUUUAAAUCCACCAGAGAUUUCAUUAUAAACAGCUCUCUAGCGAUGGAUGUGUUUUUUGCCUAAACCCACACCCAUACCCCCAUAUUCCAACAAUGCGAACAUCAUAUUAGUUUCAACUCCAGGAGGAUGCAGUAAUGAAUGCAUGUUAUGCAUAUGAGAGUCCAUUUCAACCAAGCCAUUAUAUUUGCUUGAUGAUGAUGAGAUGUAUCGCCGACCCCACUUAGUGGGAAAAGGCUUUGUUGUUGUUGUUGUUGUUGAUGAUGAUGAGAUGUGGAUCAAUUUCUUAAAAACAUCUUCUACAAUUUUCUCAAUAAGCUCUGCAUCAUCCCUGUCAAAUUUAAAACACAAUAUAAUUACAACACCAAAUGAUACUUAAUGGGUCGUUUUGAUUACAAUUUCGUUUGCAAUUUUUUUUAAAUCUAGAUUUUAAGUUUGCAGAUUUUGUUUUCAGUUUUUAGUUUCAAUGAAAGUAGUUAUUAAACAAGUUUUCCAAUUUUUCUUUCAUGGUAUACAGUACGUAGUCCCAAAUAUCAGUAGUUAGAUCUUGCAUUUAGAUCUAAUGGGUAUUUACAACCUUUUUUCCUGAGAAUUUUGUACCAUUGUAGCCAGAUCACAUGUUUUCAUCCGUUAGUUUUAUAAAAAUGGAAACUACAAAAAAAAAAAAAAAAAAAUAUAUAUAUAUAUAUAUAUAUAUCAAAUGGCCCCUAAAUGCUAUUAAAAAUCUCAAAAAUUAACAGGAAACUAAAACAAAUUAGAAUUUAUUCAUGGUUUCGCAAAUCCCAGCCGGAUAAACUGGUGGCCGUUGUAAGAGAGAGGACCUCCAGCCGGAUAAACAUUUUCGAGUUAUUUGAUAUUUGUAUAGUAAAAAUACUUUAAUAGCAAGUGCGCGUGAGUGAAGAAAUUGAACUUACUUAUAUAUUCUUCGAAUCCCAACCGGAAAAAUUGCAGGCUCUGGGAAGAGCGGACCUCCAGCUCUGCACCUCCUUCACGUCACGUUACGAAGAACGACUUCAUGUUUAGCAAAAGCUUCUGCAAAACUUCCCUCGAGUUUACGUUUUACGAAUAUUGGACGGAUCGACUUGGUAGAAAAUGGGGAAUACAAUCUGGUUCUUGGAAUGGUUGCAUUCCAAGAUUUCCACGAGAGUUCUUUCAAGCACCAUGUGGAUGAAGCAUAGUUUUGAGAGAAACUACACUACAAUCGAAAUCCUUGACUCUCUCGAAUCGCUGUCAGGAGCUCGAAAAGGCGGUCGCCUUUUUCUGAGGUCUUCAAUGAUGGCAUCAAUGAAGGUGUUUCUGAUUGUUUCUAGAUUUGUAGAGAUGCUCUUUGUAGAGAUGGCCUGACGAGAACCGCGAGUGUCUUUCCCCUCUAAAAAAACUGAUGAACACAUCUCGUCCCAACCAAGGCAAGAAGAAGAAGAAGAAGCAAGCCAUUAAUCGAUCUCACCUGGGCAGCGAUGAUCUCAGAGCAGCUAAGACUAAGCAAGAAUUGUAAGUACAGAACACUCAAUAGAUCUACAAAUUGGAUCCAGAAAUUAGUCAAUGAGUCAAUGCAAAAGGGAAAAGGGCAAUUAUGCUUUUUGCGUUUUCACAUCUUUCUUCAGGAAAUUUCGGUGUGAAAGGAAUCCGCAUACUUUUGAUUUUUCAACCCAAGAAAAUGCGAAGAAGAAGGGUACAAAGUAGUAAAUUUAAUCUACAGUUGCCUACCCAACACAACUCUCUUGAUUAAUAAUAUAUAUUUAAUUGGGAAAAGUAGUUUAGAGGAAGGAUGUUUUAUCUCCUUUUUCUUCUCUCUCGAACAGUCAAUCUUCCGUUCCCGUGCGAUUUAAUCAUGAUUAAAGCUAAGCUUAAUCUUAGGUCGUAUUAUUUAGGUCUAAUUGGAUUCUUAAUUCUUGUUGUGAUAUAGUAGUUCGAAGAUUAAAAAAAAUUAUGAUUUAAACGUUUGUGGUGAAAUCUGUUACGAUUUAGAUUCAAAAUUGAAAAUUUCGUUAACUCCAUUAAUUGUUAGCACAUGAAGAAACACUCACAAAUGAAACUAAAAAUAAUAAAGUUAGCCCUCACAUGUAAUCUUCACGUGCUAACAAUGAAAAGAAAGUUCCGUUUUAGCUUAAUAUAUGUGACUCACGUGUUAAUAAUUAACGGAAUAUUAACAAAAAAAUUUAUUUUAAGCAUAAAUUCAAAUAAACUUCACCACAUAAGCUUAAAUUCUAAUUUAGAUAUCUUCUAACUAUCUUAUCACCAUAAAAAUUAUAAUCAAAUUAAACUUAUUAUUUAUUUAUAAAUGCGUAACUAAAUCACAAAGUGUUGAAUGAAAGGGAGCACUCCAAAUGAUGAAAGGGGUAUGAUAUCCACACAUCUUUUUUUUUACUUCUUACACAUCGUUUUAAUUUUCGACCGUCGGAUCAAAUUAAUUGAAGAAUAUCAAAGGAUAAAAAUCAACAAAGGGUGUGUAAGAAGUAAAAAUGAGUGUGUGGAUAGCCAUCCAUGAUGCCAAAAUGAAGCAAAAAGCGGGAGCAUCGAAAGCUAUCUCCGUUUUGUUGUUCUAGCUUUGUCUUCUUUUGGCAGAUAGCUCCUAGGGACCGGCCUAUUUUCCACAGCUGGUUAUAGACUCAGUUGUGCUAUAUAGAAGGGAGUGUUUUGUUGUAAUUCCAAUAUCGAUGGAAAUCCAACAGCCAAAAUCUUUUCAAAUUUUUGUGAGGAUUUUGGGGUGUACGUAAAUUGAUUAUGUUUAUCGUAUAUUGUGUGAUCAUUUUUUAUCAAAUAUUAUUUGUGUUUCAUUUUAAAUAAAAUAAUUUAAAAUAAUUUUUAACUACAAGAUGUACGAUGAACAGAUAUAAUUCACAAAUCUCCAAAAUCCUUACAAAAAAAUCCGAAAAAGAUCCAAAUUCAAUGGAAAUAAGCUAAUUUUGAAUCAAAUUACAUUACUUUAUUUUGUAAAUAAAUUUAAUUUUGAAUUGAACAACACAUUCAUUUAUUAUGUAAGUAAUUCAUUUUGUAUGUAUCAUCAUAUAUAUUAGGCACAUUUUAUCAUAGGUGAUUUUGUGAAAAAUUAAUAAAAAGUUACAAUAUUAACAAUAGAUCAAUAAUAUUUAUGUUAAUUAUAAAUAGGUUAACCAUGUAUUGUGAUACUUAAAUACAUUUAAAAUAAAUAAAAAUUACAAAAUCUACUACUACAGCUAGCAUUCACUUCAACUAAAACUCUCUUCCACGUAGUUUUUAUAUUUGGAAUAAGUCAUACGAAUCAGAGACAUGAAGAGGUGUAAGAACUGUGAAUGUCCAACAACAAAGACUUCGGAGUUUGUUGUCGAAUAUCUGCAGCGCAUCAUUUCUGAUAGAUCAAAUCGAGCCAAUUCCCGCAAACUCCAAUCCCACCACCACCUUUCAAGCCGGCCUCAGCCCUCCGGGCGGCAUUUGGCAGGACAGCACUGGAUCAAACAAGAAUGGGACUGGCAGUGGGAGCAAUGAACGAGUACACUCAGCAGGGAAGUCCAUCAUGCGUUAAGGCAAAUGGUUCUCAAACACAAAGCAAUAGUUCGCUACCGAAAACAACCAAAGUCUGACAAAGGGAACCGUCUUACACCUAACCUGUUUUUCCCUCAUCAAAUGAGCGCGUUGAUCUGCAGAUAUUUUCUGCCAUCUCAAAACCUGUUACAAAGAAAUAUAACGUUGAUGUCGAGCUGGAUAGCAUAUUAUACCAAUUAUGUGUACAAACCUAUUGAAAUAAAGUAGCUGUAGUUGCAUAUUACGACAGAUAUUAACGAAAACAAAAGAAGGCUCGCCUAUUCAAGAUCCUAAAUCCCAUGAUUCUUUUGUUUUUAGUUUCAGAAAUUUUCAGAGCACAAACUGGAAAGUACCAAGAUACUUACAUAUUGGGCAUAAUGAAAUGCAUCUUCAUCUUUCAAGCAAGAUUUGAGUGAGCGCAAACCGUCCUGAGAGUUACAUAGAGUCAAUCGGUAAUAUAAAAACGUAGAUGCAUCACACCCAAACACAAGUAUUCAAACACCGACAACUUCUUCAUGCGGUGAGGCAUGUUAAAAAAUAGGGAAGAACAGUUAUUGAAUAGGAAGUUAAAGGACUAAAUUUAUGACCUUGUGUUUGUAGUUCUUGGCUCGUAUGCGUUCAUCUAUUACAAAACCAAUCUGUAACAGGUACAACAGAAAAUAUAAGCAGUAGUCAGAACAUUAAGCAUCGGCAUUCACAUUGCCGCCAAUCCAAAGUUAAAAGUCUAAAGGCAAAACAGUAUGAUUCUUAUCUCUCAAACAAAAAUGAAACUAUACCCCAGACAUAAAUGAAAUAAGUUCUACUGCCUCAACUGAGUACUGUGAUUAUAUAUAAAUCCAAUUCACCUUGUCAAGUAAUCUCUUAGGAUCUUGAAAUGCUUGCUUCUUAGCCCAGUCAUUAAAUACAUGCGAGAUAAUCGAUCUCUCAUCCACACUGAAUCUAUUGUACAGUGACAGAAUAAUAAAGUUAAACAUGAACAUAACCAACCAAAAAUGCUAGUUAUAAUAGUACACCCAUAAUUGCAAGCAAAACCUUUUUAAGAAGCCAUUUCCAUGGUUUUCCUCCCCAAAUUCCAUCAAUUCUGCAGAGGCAACGUCAAAUUUACUAUGAUGGAGAUCAUUUUGAACCAUAACAACUUCAGAAGGUAGGAGAUUUGGUUUGAGAUCAUCUGUUGACGGAGUAGUUUCUUUUGAAGGGUCAUGAUGCUUUGAUUGCAAGCCUUCUGUACUUACGUCAGCCUACAAAACAAAAAUUGCAUUCAACCCACACUAGACUUAAUAAGAUUAGAAACACUUCAGAUUCUUCAUUAUUUGUAAGUUUGACUAAACAGCAGAACAACUGAGGAUAAUGAACAGUAAUACACACCUGGACUUCUCGUAGAGAUUUGGAAUUUCUUUCAGAAAUCGCGAAGGUUGAAGCAUCUGAAGGAGUCACCUUCUCAGUCAGAGCAACAACAACAAAUAAGGAGGACAGGAAUUCAAGCUAAAACGUACCUGCCAACUGGAAUCCAUCGUAACAUAAAGAAUGAAAAGCUUUUUUCGAGCACGAGUCAUUGCAACAUAUAAUAGGCGUCUUUCCUCCUAUGAUUAGAGUGGGAUUAUUGAGUUAUUGACCAAAAGAAAAAAGAGUGGGAUUAUUGUGAAAAACACUUCAAAGCUCUGCAUAUAACUGAAAAAUGUUGAACAAUUUACCCCACACCUCAAUGGAGGUCCCAUUUUCUUUUGCAACGCCAUUGAAUUCAUGCAACAACGGGAUCUCAGAUUCAUUUACCUGUGUUAUUGGCAUGAGCAUUAAAGCAAGCUAAGAUGAUUUGAAGAGGUUGAUAUCGUCAUGAUUAUAGUAGAACAGAAUACCAAUUUCAAGUCAUCAAUUAGGUAUAGCAUUGGCAUGUUUAAUCAGUAAAUCUAAUGACAGAACACCUCAACUCUACACAUAAAUAAAUAAACGGUCGUACCCAGUGCACAAGGCUCCCGCUUUACGCAGGGUCUGGGAGAGGUGAAUGUCGGCUAGCCUUACCCCCAUUUAUGGAGAGGCUGCUCCCAAGUCUCGAACCCGAGACCUACCGCUCAUGGGCGAAGGCACUUGCCAUCGCACCAAGUGCGACCUCUACACAUAAAUAAAUAAACAACCUGAAAAAUAUUACAGCCACUUGUUAAGGCAAAUACCUUAAUUAUGAAAACUAUAUCCCACUCUAAACCUUUUGACUGCAAGAGAAUGAAAAAGAAAGACAGUAAGCCAAGAAUGUUUUGUAGAACUCCAAAGGAAGUCCAAUAGGGAAAUCAUCGCAAGUACAAGAGUUAGCGAGGUUCGCAUAAGAGGAUAUCAAAAAGAUCUAUAACCUGAUGAAUAGUAGUCAAAGUGACAGAACUUUGGUUGUCAUGUCUUCGGGAGUGAAAAUUUUCACUCUCCCGCUCAGAUAUGUAGUCGAUGAAUGCUUUGAGUAAAUUAACGCAGCCUUUUUCUUCUGCUACGACUUCUCUCUCCCCUUUUCCCGCAACAAAAUGAGUUGAUAAGAAAUCAGAUACGUCGUCUAGUAGGUACUGAAGAACCUGCAAUGAGAAUAAUCGCAUCACAACAACAGAGUUGGACCAAGAUUUAAGUGACAACAAUGAUUAACUAACUAAAACAGAGAAAUUAUUCAUUUAAGACCUUGUUGACUGAAAAAAGGGUUUUCCAAGCAGCGGGUCAUUUAAGCUUAUUGUAUAAAUGACAAUCAUCACAAACGGCAAACUUACAGAUCUCACGUCAUUGUCUUCAUUCAGCAGUUUUCCUCCCUCUAUAUCAACGACUGCACGUUGCUCAAGACGGUACUUCUAAAAAUUGAAAGUCAAACGAUAAAUGAUUAAGAAGUAUUGAAUAUAAGCAUGAAACGAAGAAAAUGUUAUGGAAUGGUGAUCCUCAUCCUCAAAGAUGAUUAAAAGCAAUUUGAUUCAAAAAUGACAUAUCAACUCUGGAGAAAUGGAAGACAAACCUGUGGUACCAUAUUCGCAACUGAGGUUAUGACAGCUGAAAUCGAUUGUUCCUGUGUGCAUUAAUAAGUGAGACUACCAUAGAGAUUCACAACUAAAUAAAGACAGGUAUUCCACAGAACAACCUUUACCUCUUUGGAAACACAGAUCUAACAAAAACUAUAACAUUUUGGAUUAAUAUUGACGAAUCAAGAAUAAUGCAAGGGAGCAAGAGAUACUCUUCCUUCUAAUAACAAGGAGGUGUGAAAAGUAUACAGAGUUCCAACAAUUAGAGAACUAAAAUCAAACUAAAAAAAUCACCAAAGUAGACAGAAUCUCACUUCGCCAAAAAUUUGAAAAUAUAUCCUUUUUAUCCAUUGAGAUUCAUGAACUACUACUACUACAUCAUGCCAAUAAGCAAUGCGUAAGAGGUGCUACAAUUUACCGAAUAUAUUUACCCUGAGAACAAGUUUUGAAAUCAUCUCUAGUGUUAACAGCACCUUGCGUCCUUGGGUAAGCUGAGUCCUAUUAUCAAGUAAAGAGACCAAUCAGUACAUAUCCAAAAAGAUCUUAAAUGCUUGUAAUACCAAAUAAGAAAGAAACAUGAGUAUAUCUUGAAUUAACCAUGCAAAAAUGUAAUGUUAAAGCAUCUUGUCAUACAGACCUCUUCAAGGUACCAGAAAUUUUUGCACUAAAGAUGUCACAAGCAGCUGAUAUGAAGCUGCAUUUUCUGUGAGUUGAAAUUUUGUCAAUAUAAUCGAUCACCUGAAGAGAGAGAGAGAGAAAAAGACAGUGAUAUCCAGAGAUGUGAGCCUAAAUGCUGAGUGUGUGUAAAAAAAAGAAGAUUAAAUGGAUAGCAAGAAUAUACAACUUUAAUGCUGAAAAGAACAUUGAAUAUGAUGUUCAUUCAUCAUUCCCAUUGAACGUGUACCUUCUUCUUUUCCUCUUUCUCAAAAGCAAGUAGAGCCUUGAAGACUUGCCUAUAUGAUCCAUCAUCACAACCAGGCAAAGUUGUUUUAAUCAUAGCAACAAUGGCUCUAACUACCUGCCAUAAGAAACAUGCUACAUCAACAAGAUCACAGAGUGUACCAGAAACCGUAAUGUAGCAAAAUCUUGGAUAAAAUAGCUGGCCAAAAGGGAAUGGAAAAGCAAGCACGAAAAACAAUGAAAAGGACCAGUGAUGCCAAAAUUCUGGUGGAAAAGGUGAAAAGCUUAUGUCUAUUACAGUUCUUGUAUGCAUUCUUUAUAACUUAAGUUCUACGUAGCAAAAACCACCUUAUGCACAACAAUAUUGGAAAAAUUAGAUACAUACAACUGAGAAGAUAGGUUUUCAUAAUCUGGACAAGUGCUAACUACCUUCUUCCUAUAAACUGCCACUCCAUGAACAUUAAAUGGUAUUUUCCUUUCACGCAAGGCUGUCUGGAAGACUUUUCCUGAUACCUGUAGCAUAAAAUACAAAAGAAAAUGUGACCAAAAUGUCUUAUAUGAUUCACCUCAUUCACAUUAGCACUAAGGCAAGUAAGCUUGACCUGCCUCCGGUAAAGGAUUGCUAUAUUUCCAUAGAAGCACCCUGCUUCUGACCGUUUAGAUGCAGUCUCCAGGAUCUUGUCGACAACAAAGGCACAUUGUGCAUCCUCAUUGUGACUUUCCUUGAUAAUUACCUACAUUUUGCCAGUAAAACCAGUGUCACUAACUAAAAGGACUGAAAAAUGACAUCAAAUUGUACUUGUUGGAGCAAGGAAAGAUUAAGUACCUUAGACCCAGAAGAAUUGUCCGUGUCAACAUUCUUUAGUUGGCAUCGCUUCUUAUUGUUUUUUAUAACAGAAGAUGCAGCUUCCACAAUAUAGCGUGUGGACCGAAAGUUUUUAUUAAGCCUAAUCUGAACCAUAAAGUUAUGUCAAAUCCCACAGAACCCCAUAAAAUAAAACUUACUUUCCUGUAAUUGUACAAUAUAUUUGUUCUAUACUAUAUAUAAUGAAAAAAGACACUGUGAAUGACAUAAGAUAACAUAGCAGUCAAGUGCGAAGCGAACCUCUUUGUAAUUUGAAAAAUCUUUACGAAAAGAAUCAAAUCCAGAAAUGUCCGCCCCAUUGAAACUGAAAAUGGACUGCAGCAGGAUAUAUGUUAUUUGAUUUAGAACAGAUAAGGGCUGGAUUAGAAUGAGCUGAGAGAGAGAGAGAGAGAGAGAGAGGGAGAGAGGGAGAGAGGGAGCAAUAACAUUGGAUUUCCAUAAUAAAUCAACAACAUGCCUGAUCAUCAUCACCAACAAUGGUUAUGUGGUUAUGAGAGGCGAGAAUCCGCAAAAGACUAUAUUGCAUAGCACUUGUGUCUUGAAACUCGUCUAUUACAAUAGCUUUCCAUGACUCCUGGCACUCCUUCAACACUAAUUAAGAGAACACCAUGUAUCAACAUUUAGCAUUACUUGUAAAACUAGAUAAAUCAAUGAAAUAUACUUAGAUGAUAGAGACCUUCAGGAAAAUCACUUAGCUUAGCAGCUUCACAGAGCAGCUAAUUAAGUCGUGGUAGUCCAAAGCGUUGCACGAUUUCAAGAUAUCAUUGUAAUUCCUAAGAAUUUCACCCUGAUUCAGAUUGAGAGCUAAAACUCAUAAGCAAUAGUUUCAAAGAACUGAAAUGAUAUCUGAAAUUCUAGUUCUGAGCGUACUCCUGUCACAUCACCCAUUCUUCGGCAUUCAGCGGGAGUCUUUCCAGAAGCUUUUGCCUGAAACAUAAAUAAAUUUAUUGCCUAAUGCCACAUAUUGUAAGACACACCAUUGUAUUGGUCAUUCUAGCUUGAUUGUAGCUAAUAUUUUUUAAAUCGAAUGAUUAGAGUUCUUAAUCCACAAUAAUCUGAACAUUAAAUUUCGUAUUCAAGACUAACCUGUGUCACAAACUUCAGCCAUUUCUUUGAUGCAUCCUUAAAAUGAUGUGGAGAUGUUACGCCGUUAGACUCUUCCCCAUCUAUAGCAACAUUAAGAUUCGUUUUACUCUUUUCAUCUUCUGAUAACCGCACAGCUUCAAUGAUUGCUCUUCUCUGUUGCCCAUGUCCAUAUAUCAAAAAUUCUGGUCUGCGCUCGAGUCUAAAACACAAGCCAACAUAACAGACUCAGCUGUACCACCAUAUGUAUGGUGUUCAAAAUCAAGGGAGGUGAAUCAAUAGCUUACUUCUCAGCAUGUGAUCGGCAAAGUUGCAAUGAAAAUGAAUGCAAUGUACUGAUUGUUAGUAGUUUUGCCGUUGCUUUCCCAGUCACAGAUCCAAUUCGAUCUCUCAUCUCGGAAGCUGCUGCUGUAGUGAAAGUCAUUGCUAGAAUGUUCGACGUGCUGAUGCCCUAAGAACACAAAAAAAAAAAAAACGAAUAAGAUUUCGAUCAUAAACAAGAAAUGUAGAGAAACACACAAUUAUGAAAGAAAAAGUUAGGGGGAAGUAGCAACACCUCAUUGAGCAGCAUUAGAACGCGCCCAACAAUCAUCAAAGGUACUGAAAUAUCGCUGCAAGCUGCCUCGCGCUGCCUUUCGUUGAGAGAAAGCUAAUACUUCAAAUACUCAUCCGGCAUGUUAGGCAAUCCAUGGUUAACGGAAUCCGUUUGGUUUUCACUACUCAAAGGCGGCGCUGAUGCGGCACGAACGUCACUACCACAACUCCCAAUAUCAUCACGCUGAAUGUCCACACUUGGUUUCUGCUCAAUUAAAGCGUCAAUUUCCUGCAAAAUACUCUCAUCGAAAUCAUCAUCGUUAAGAAUUCCAGAUGCAGAGAAAGAAUCAAAUGAAGUCAGAAACUGAUGUCUGAUUGGAGUUGUGAAAGAAUCCGAUUUUGACACGCUUGAUUCUGUCCGGCUAACGCUUAAGCUCCCGGAACACGAAGCACUGCCAUAUUCACCACGCGCUGAAUUGUACCGGCUUGCGGAAAUCGGAGGCGGUGUUCUUUGAACUCUAUUGAGCUGAGUUGGCGUUUGGAUUCCAUUUCCGCCACAGAUUCUGGAAUUUGAAAAACACAAUUGAAUUGAUUUAAAUUGAAGCAAGAAAACAGCCGAGUAGCCAAAAAAUAGUAAGAAGAUGAAACCUUUGAUUCCUGAACGACUUACUUGGUAUGAGGGAGGUGAUGAUCAGGUGAAACGGCGUCGUUGCGGGGGCGUUUGCGAUCAAUGAGGGCCUUGGCGGCUCUGAAAUUCCGAGAGAUGCGGUUUCUUUGUUCCGCCGUGAGCCCUCCGCCGUACGCCUGAACGUUUUCCUUGGACAUUGCUUCGAAGAUUCCAACGGAGGAUUUGGCCUGACGGCCUGACCAGGCUGAUAACAGUGUAAAACCUUAGGAGCUAAGGAAAAACUAAGAGAGAGAUCGUAGAGAGGGAAAGUUUUUUCUUUUUGGAAACCAGUAGAGAGGAAAAGUUUGUUAAACCUGAAUAAUAUUCUUUUGGCCUAAUCGGAUAAAUGGUCCCGUGGUCAUAAGGUAUUCGGAUGAUAGGCCUGUGGUAAAAAAAUUCAGAUUUAAACCCCUGUGGUCUAAAUCUGUUAGGAUUUAUGCCCUUUUGUUAAAUAAUGCUGACGUGGCUGCCACAUAUAUGCCACGUGGCUGCCAAAUGUCUGCCAUGUGGCAAAAAUAAUAAUUUUUAAUUUUUUUUUUUAAAACCUGAAUUUUUACAAAAAAAUAAAAAAUAAAAAACCCAGUCCGGCGAGGGGGGGAGCUGGUCUCUGGCGGGAGGAAGAAGAAGAAGAAGAAGAAGAAGAAGAAGAAGAAGAAGAAGAAGAAGAAGAAGAAGAAGAAGAAGAAGAAGAAGAAGAAGAAGAAGAAGAAGAAGAAGAAGAAGAAAGAAGAAGAAGAAGAAAAGAAGAAGAAGAAGAAGAAGAAGAAGAAGAAGAAGAAGAAGAAGAAGAAGUCGCGCGGGGAGACCGGCGGGAAGAAGAAGAAGGAAGAAGGAGAGGGAGGAGGGUCGCGCGGGGAGAGGGCUCCGGCGGGGGGGGGGGGGGAGCUGGUCUCCGGCAAGAAGAAGAAGAAGAAGAAGUCCAGCGGGGGGGGAAGGGCGAAGGGCGGGGGGAGCUUCUGGGUUUUUUUUUUUUUUUAAAUUCAGGUUUUUUAAAAAAAAAAUUAAAAAUUAUUAUUUUUGCCACGUGGCAUAUAUGUGGCAGGCACGUCAACAUUAUUUAACAGAAGGGCAUAAAUCCUAACAGACUUAGACCACAGGGGUUUAAAUCCGAAAUUUUUUACCACAGGGGCUAUCAUCCGAAUACCUUAUGACCACGAAAACCAUUUAUCCGAUUAGGCCUAUUCUUUUCAUUCAACUUGUCUACAAUAAUUACUAUUGGAUAAGUAUAUAGGCUGUGUCAUUACUACUACACGUGCAAAACAUGUGCACAUAUGGCUUACUAGAUAGAAUAGUAUAAAUACCUUUUCCUUUCCUUUAUUUUGUAAGAGGUUGUAAUACCUAAAACAGUUAGAGAAAUAUAUUGUAAUUCUUUCUGACUUCUCCUCUAAGCUUCCUUCUUCAGUGUAUUUCUUAAUUUCUAUGGAAUUCAUCUCUACUGUUAAGAUGGUAUCCAGAGUCGUUCUUGCUUGCGCAAUGGUACUGGUUCAUCGUUUCCAUUGCUUCGACUGGUAAGAAGGUGAUAUUGCUUAUGGGCUUUGUCUCUGGAUAUUUGUUCUUUGCGUUGGAAACCCUAAAAGAGUUUAGUGUUCUUCUUCUGAAAUUUCGUUUGAAUUGAAGUGUAAUUGAAGGCCGAUGCCAUAGUUUUUUGGUUAAUUGAAGAGUUAUAUGUUGAUUUGAUGAAAGGCCGAUGCCAAAAUUUGUUGAGAAUUUUCAAUUUCUUGAAGUGAUUUGAGUUGAUUGAAGGCCGAUGCCAUAGUUUUUUGGUUAAUUGAAGAGUUAUAUGUUGAUUUGAUGAAAGGCCGAUGCCAAAAUUUGUUGAGAAUUUAGUUUCUUGAAGUAAUUGAAUAGAUUCAAGGACGAUUGCCAUUGUUGGAGUAUAUAUGUGAUUCUUGCUUCUCUGCGAUCGUAGAGUGAUUGUCUUCGUAGUUGGAAAUCAGAUUUGCAAUUCUUGUUCAUCUGGAGUUAUCCACCGAUAUCAUUAACAUAUAAUAAGAGAACAAUAAUUGAUGAACCAUCACACUUGACAAAUAAAGAAGGAUCUGCAUAUGAUGACUUGAACCCAAGCUUAGGCAAAUAACCUGAAAACAUGUCAUGCUAGGCUCUGGGAGCUUGCUUGAGACCAUAUAAAGACCUCUCCAGUUUGCACACAUAAUCUGGAUAGGUAGAAUCCACAAACCCUUAGGGCUGAGACAUAAAAACUUAUUCCUCAAGAAAGCCAUGCAAAAAAGCGUUAUUGACAUCUAACUGUAUGAGUUUCCAAUUAUGAGAUGCAGCCAACGAUAGAACCAAUCGAACUAUGGUUGGUUUGAUCACAUGGCUAAAGGUUUCAUAAUAGUUAAUACCAACUUCUUGAGAAUACCCCUUAGCUACAAGUCUAGCCUUGUACCUAGCCACUGAACCAUCUGGAUUUCUUUUAAUCUUGUAGAUCCAUUUACAACCAACAAGAUUUUUGUCAGAUGGUAAGGGCACAAGCUUCCAAGUACGUUGUUGAAUCAAAGCAUCCAUCUCUUAUUUCAUGGCAUUUUGCCAUUGAACACACUUGAUUGCACUAGAAAAAGACUUAGGUUCCUUGAUUUCAGAAGCCUGAUCCACCUUAGCAGAAAACACCUUCUUUUUCAUAAUCCUAGACUUAGACUGGGUUUGCAUGGGAUGACAAUUUUGAGCAUUGAUACACACUAGUUGGAGAUCAUCCACUUGAGACAUUGUAGUAUUUGGAUGAUCUUUUGAAUACACAGUAGGCAAAACCUCUGAAGAAGGCACACCACUUGUGGAAUAAGAGACAAGAUCACCAGAACUAGUGGGUUGAGAGGAUGAUGACUGAGUAACAUGCCGUGAUUUAGAGGUAAGAGAAGUGGGACCAAUAAAUGGAAAUGUGGAAGAAACACUAGGUGGAUGAAUGAAUGUGUUUGAAUGCACAACAGACACUGGUGAGGAAGAAUGACCAGAAGUAACUUGAGGAUUGAAACCCAAAGCAUUAGAGUCUGUAGGAAACUUGGAUUCAUAAAAAAUAACAUGUCUAGAUACUAACAGUUUCUGAUCUUUGAGAGAGAAGCAAAUAUACCCUUUGUAUUGUGUAGCAUACCCCAGAAAAAUACACUUAGUAGUUUUAGGUUCAAGUUUAGUGCUUCUAUAGGGUUUCAAUGAAGCAUAACAUAAACACCCAAAAAUUCUCAAAUGAUCAAGCUUAGGUGGAGAUUUAUAUAGCAUUUCAAAAGGAGACUGCAUAUGUAGGGUAGGUGUGGGCAUUCUGUUUAUAAGAAAAGUAGCAGUGGCACAGGCAUGGAACUAGAAUUUUGAAGGUAAUGAAACUUGUUGUAAAAAGGUAAUAGCUGUUUCAACAAUAUGUUGAUUUUUUCUCUCAGCUAACCCAUUAUGGUAUAGGGUAUAAAGACAAUAUUUUUGAUGAACAAUGCCUUUGGUAAGAAGAAAUUGCUUAAACUGAGUACUAACAUAUUCCCCACCCCUAUCACUUUGCAAAAUUUUUACAUGAGCAUCAAAAUAAAUCGAGACAAAAGUAAGAAAGUUGACAAAAACAGUGAACACUGCAAUUUUAUUAUUUAAUGGAAAAAUCCAAGUAUAUCUUGUACAUUCAUCAAUGAAGGAAACAUAAUACUUGUAACCUUCUAUAGACAGACUAGGUGAGGGACCCAAACAUCUAUGUGAAUUACUUUAAAUGGAGUAAGUAACUUCGAAGCAAUUACAGGAAAAGGGAACUUGGUAAACUUGCCUUGCAAACAAGCUUUACAAGUAUGAGAUUGAGAGUUACAAGGAAAAGAUAUACAAGACUUAUCAAGUGUUGCAGUGACAAUGGAAUGUGCAGGAUGACCUAAUCGACAAUGUCACAAUGUAGAAGAAAUCUUUUAUCCCACAAAUGCAACUGGAUUAAAAACAGGAGAAAUAGACCUCUGUGGUUUGAUUAUGGGAAGUGGAUAGACAACAUUAUUACUCAGCCCUUGGAAUAGCACUCUCCCGGUGACCUUGUCCUGUAGAUAGAGAGAAACAUCAUUAAUGAUACAACGACACUGAUUAUCUUUGCACAACUGAUUCAUAGAUAAUAAGUGUUGUGACAGUUUUGGAACAUGUAACAUAGAGUUUAACUUGAAAUUAUGUGACUUAGUGAGAAGAGAAGAGGAACCAAUAUGUUUGAUAGCUAAACCUUCACCACUAGCACUGGUCACAAUAUCAUUUGAUGGAUAAAUUUGUUGCCAUGUGCAAGUUUGACAAAUCUGAGGUCAUAUGGUCCAAGUCAAGAAACCAGAAAUCUUGUUGAAGAGUUGAGGAUGAUGCACCAGCUCGUGCUUGCAUAGCAAGAUGAAGAUUUUGUGAGGAUGUAGUUGAGAGAUAUGGUAUGACAAGAUACUAAAACUGGGAGCUAUUAGACUGUGGAAUCAUGCCUUGUGAAGGACCACAUGGAUUCUAGCUAGGUGCUUCACCAUAUAACCCAGUAGGCAUUGGAGUUGGCAUAGAUGAGGAUAAACCCUGAGAGAAAUGCUCUGAUGUGCCUGUAAAAUUCUUAUUCCAAUCAAAGCAAGUAGCAGCAACAUGGUGACAAAUUUGACAUCCAUGUUGAAAACAAUUCAAUGCAGAAUGACCUUUGCGAUCACAUAUUUGCAGAAUGACCUUUGCAACCCUAGAAAGAAGAAGGAGUGAAGAAGACCAAAUGUGUACGUUUCUCUUUGAUUGUUUUUCCCUCCUAAUCGCGCAGUUCGAAAUCACGGACCUCGGGCCUCGGCCUAGUGGGCCCAAUUAUGAGGCCCAUUAUCUCCGGUCUUCUCGUUCUACUUCUAGUUACCCAAAUUAAGAACGUACUGGUUCGCUUUUAGCGCGAGAGAGAAAUGGAGGCCCUGAUUGCCUCGUACGGAGACUCGUCGUCGGGCUCAGACUCCGAGUCGCCGGCUCCACCUUCACCACCACCUCCGGAGCUCAACAACCCUCAAGAACCGACCCCUGCGCUGCCUCCACCUCCUCUUUCACUUCUCGACAGCCCCAAUUCCUUCGGUAACCUCUGAUUCCCAUCAAUUUCAUCUUUUAGCUUUCUGCUGUGAUGGCUUUUUCCGAGUUGCCCACCAAGUGUUUGAUGUUUUGCCUCUGAAGGAUUUCUGGACUUAUCGGCAAGCGCCCAGCCGAGCAGAGUUCGGAACUUUCCUCACGUCGAAGGGAACUACGCAGUACAUGUAUACAUCCCAGGUUAUCAAAAUUCUCGAAAUUUUCAGCUCCAUUAGCAAAUGCGAUCGCUUUGCACUUAGUUUUUGCUUGUUUAAUUGUGUGGUUCCAGUUUAUAUACCACCAGCACCAAGGAAAGAGAUGGCCUUGUUUUUGAACAAGCUAGCUUCUCUGGUGCCUGGUCUCCAUGCGGUUGACGUUGACUUCCCGCUUGACAUUCUGCGUAAGGACGAGCACAAGCUUGAACAAGUUGCUUUAGGCAGAGAGUUCCAUAUAAGUCUCGGAAGAACUGUUCCGAUUCGGGUGCACCAGAUUGAUUCCUUGGUGACAAUGCUGCGGCAGAAGCUUCAGAUUCAGAGGCGGUAUGGUUACAUUUACAUUCUCUUGUCCGCAUUGCGUGAAGUUAGUUCUGUUAUUUAACAUAAUUCUGUAAGCCUGCAAAUUUUUUGUCCAUUUUCGGUUUAACACAUUUUGUUAUUGUGAAACAGGUAUUGGAUUGAUUUUAGCAAGUGGGAGGUUUUUGUUAAUGAUGAUCAGACCCGGACCUUUGUGUCUAUCGAAAUCAUUGCUGCUGGGUUAGCUGAGGUAUGAUUGCUAGCUUUCUCUCUUGGUGCAAUUCUAAAUGUUUUCAGUUGUUAUAUGGGCUUAAGAUUUAGUAAGUACUUGCCGAAGGUCAUGGGAUUUUGAAAUAUUGAUAUCUUGCUUGCUUAUUAGCUUAGAUUUGGUCUUCGAUGCACUUGUAACAUGAAAAACACAAACGAAAACUAAUGCAUGAUAUGCUCAUGGUUUUAACAUGUGUUGUCCUGGCGUAAAUCAUGUUCCUAAUCCUGUCAUGUGAGUAUAAGCCUAUGAUACUUAGGGCAUGUUUGGCGGGCCGGACAAGAUUGGAAUUGGUAUUUCAGACUAGUUAGGUUAGGAUUGAACUGGAUAGGAUAGGUUUUUGGUCUAAAGAUUGGUGUAGACUGUCUUAACGAUGGGAUUUAAAACGUGAAACAGAUCUGCGACAUCCCAACGAUGACCCGCCCACCCAACAACUCUGCUCGUGACUUGCAACACCUCUCGUACCCUCCACGCCCCUUGAGGCCCGUCAGACCACUCUGAUAUCCUGGAGAGGUGAAACGUGGUUACUAGAAGCAUACCUGUUUUCGUAUUAAUGCACGGUUGAAGCAGCUUUCAUUGUCUACAAGUCUGAAAUAUUUCAACUUCCAUUGAUUUCAGAUAACAAAGCAGAUUCAAGCUGUGAAUGAGGUGUAUAAGCUUUUUCGUGUUUUUCAAACUCGAAAAACAAGAUUGUGCCUGAAUACUACUCAUUGCUCAAAAAACUAAAUCACUUCAUGGGGUGUUGGUGAUCACAGGAUCCGCGCCCUCACAUCUCGGUAGCUUGGGCAUUGGGUGACAUCAGCAAUUCCCUGAAGAAAGUGGUUGAAGAAGAAAGACGAAGAUCUACCAUCGGAGGAUCGUUACAGAAAUGUAUUUUUACCAGUAAAUUCAAUGGUAUCGAAUGUAGGAUUGGUAAUAAGACACAAAAUAUGUAAAUUUUCUGAACAAUAAUGUAGCCAUUUAACUGUAUCGUGAAAUUCCGAGAAUAUAUCGCUGAGCAUUGGAUGAGAAGACAUUUCUUUGUUGGUGUCGAACUUCUUGUCGAAGGUAUUGGCACCAGUGUAAACGUCAUCAUCCAUGUUGAUGGUAAUUACUUCCCAGCUACCAAGGGUGUCGGAACAACCUUGCACGCAGCCUCCUGUGCAUUACUUAAUAUUGUCUCAGUUUCUCCAAACUUGAAUGCUCCUGUAAACCCACUCUUGACCUUUCCGUCAUCUGCAAUUACAGGAAAGCUGGCUAGGAUGUUGCCGUUAACCUACCUAACUGGCUAGGAUGUAGCCGUCAUCUCCAAACUUAAAAGACCGGAAAGCCGGCUCCAAACCUCAAUGUGCUACUAGUUUUUGUAUGCGAGAGCUCCACCUCCAUUGUUGUAACAGCAUCUGAUGCGGACUAGUCCUUCAUUCCCGUUACUCUUUGCUAUCUCCACUUCAAACUUGGCGUAAUGGCUCCCGGCCGCCUCUCCGGUGAAAUUGAGAAACCCUGGGAAACCCUGGAGCUAGGCGUUUUCAUUCUGUUGUCCGUAUAUCUUGAUAUUACAAGUAUUUGUUGUGCAAAAUGCAAGCUAAGUUCAAGUUAUGUUUAUGUAUGUGUGUGUGUGUGUUGUCACUUCGCCACUUUUCCAACGUUUUCUCCAAAAUUGUGAUUUUGGUGUUGUUCUAACUUUGGUGAAUGCUAAUAACAAUUCCCUCGUUAACCAUUGGGACGAGCAACAAGGCAGUUUUGAUUCCGUGCACAACGGCGAUACCUCGAAAGAAAUUGAUUCUUCACCAGAAAGAUGUUUUAAAACAAAGUUGAACAGUUGAUGUAUACAGACGUUCCUUGCUUAUGACACGACUUAUGAGAGGAUGUAUGUAUUGCAUUUGCAUCAAAAGAAAGAAAGAAGGUUGUAAGUGGUAAGGGAACGACUACCGAUGCCGCUCCACUUCUAAUCAAAGGGAUCGAUCCGAGGGUCGUGUUCACUUGCCAUCGCUAUUCCAGUGCAAAGGCAUGUCGGGCACAUUACCUGCCACAUUUACGGACGCAAUGUUAGAUAUAGCUGCCAUUUGGAAGUCAUCUCUCAAAAUUUUGCUACUAAAUUAAUCUUAAACGUCAUUUCCAGUGCAAUUUUUUUCUUCUGAAUUGUCUUUCACAUGCCCGACAAAUAAAAGUAUCACCAAACAUGUGAAUAUAGUGCAUCUAAGCGGCAGGCACUAAAAGGAAUUUAGUAUGCAAUAAACAUUCAACGGACAUAAUUAUAUGUCUAACCUUUCCCGCUCCUGAGCAAUUUGAACAUCGUUCAGUUUUUGGCAGAGAUAGGGGUUGGUUUCCGCCAUCAGCUGUCGAUAAUGGUUCAGUAAGAACAAGGGUUCCAGUGCUGGAGCAACGAGCACAAGCAAGAUAUCCUGCGUAAGUAUCAAAUACACAGGUAAGUUGACAUAUGAAACCAAUCCGAACAUCUCCAUCGUAUAUAUUUAAAGCUACAGUACAUAAAACUAAAAGUCAGAAAUAGAGGACAUUAUCACACCAGUUCCAAGACAAUAUUUGCAUCGUUUAUGCUCCUGCUGUUUCGCAUUGUUUAUUUCAACUACCAUCAAUGCUGAGAUCACUCCAACUGCUCCUCCAGAAAACGACGCCACUAUGGGAUCAACUUGACUGCAGUUUGAAAGUAUAGGAGAUCAAUAAACGAAACUGGUAACAACAUGGUAUCAACAUUAUUUAGCUUCGUUUCAAGAUAGCUGACAUCCUGGGUUUUUCUAAUGUGUAAAAAUUGAGGAUCCUUGUAAAAUUUGACUAUAUCAGUUCCCAAAGUAUUUGAUUCCUAUGUUACAGACCGAAAACAGUAACAAUUGAAUUUUUAGAUUCAUAACACGAUAGAUGGUACAAAAUUUCAAAACGAUAAUUACUAGAGAACAGGAGGGCUAAUAGCCUGAGAUAUGAGCCAUACCUCAACUGCAACGGCAGAUGCAUAUUUACUAUAAAAUCUUUAUACGAUGUGCCUCCUAUUCCAAGCUUCAACUCCAACUGAAAGAUGUAAACGUAAUUGUCGGCAGAGAGUUAGAAACAUAACCGAAUCCAUGUUUUAUAAGCAGAAACUACACUUAUUUGACAUGUUUCCUCGUUUUUUUACUUGCAAAUUCAAAACCGUAUUGUCGGACCAGUAAAAUAAAAUAAUGUUUACUAAUAACUGUUAAAACUAAUCACAACAAGUUAAUGCAUAAAGAACUUACGGAGGGUGCUAUGAGGCCACCGAAAAGGAUAAACCCCGCAAUAAUUGAAUAACAUACAGCAUAAUACUGCUUAAGGUUGUCUGAACUCUGCAACCAAUGCAUUCACCUUGUGAUUAAUACUUUGCACAAACACUAGUUUUCGCAGUUUUUUAUGAACCGACAAAAGGCUACAACAAAAUAUGGCUAAAACAAGUCCGGGAUAUGAAAAUACAUGUCUUCACAGGGUCAGCAGCUUACCAGGGGAGGCAAAAAUGGAAUGAAUGAUGGAAAACUAGGAAGUUCGUUUUCUUGAUCUUCAUUUACCGCUCCAAGCUCUGCGCGUUUAAUCCGCUGUUGUAUCCUCAGCCUGCGAACCUUCGCAUAUCGAAGCUCAUUCUUAAAGAACACAUUUCUAAUGGCAAUUGGAGAGUAAUUUAAAACAUGCUAAACUGAGAAAGUGGCAGCAACUAGCAAUUGCUCUCACCUCCUCCAUAUGCAAGAAAAUUUUGUUGCGCCGACUCCGAAUAUUAUCUUGAAUUUCUUGCAGCUCCAUUGUGGCAAAGUCCUGCACUGUUUCAGGCCCCUCUAUGAUACAAAAUCUGCACAAUUAAGCAUGUAAAAACUAAAAAUUACAGGCUAAAAAAGCAAUUUCCGUAUCAUUGCUCGGUUAAUUAACAUCAACAGCAGAUAAAUCACAUGGGUUUUUCAAAUGAAGUUACAAACUUUCAAAGACCAGUAAGCUGUCUGCAAUCUCAUAAAUUUCACAGUGCAAAGUAAAAAUCCAAAGCUUGGAACUUUAAAUUUCCAUUUUCUGUUAAUUUCCUAGAGAGAGGGGGGGUGGUACCCGGCGGGGUUUGUAUCGGCGGCGGGAUUGGGAUCAGAAUCGACAGACGGAGCGAAAGAGGAGGAGUCGGGCUCCGAAGCCAUGGCCAGGGAUCGCCAUCUGGAGCUGCUUGUUGAUAUGGGGCUUCUUGGGUAGCUGAAUUUGGAGCAGCCGGCGCUAUGCAGUUUGUACGGACUGCACCGAUUUACGGGGAAAGACACGGCCAAAAGUCUGCCGCAGCAGAGCAUCUCUCUCUCUCUCUCAAACCAGAAGGCAGAGCUUUCUGUUUCUCUUGAGGUUUCUUUCACUGGUAAAUUCCAGAGAAGCAGAGAAGAAGGCUCUCUGAGAAAUGGAGGCAAAACAAAUGUAAAUCUUGAAGCACCGACCAUGUGCAGAACACUUAUCAACUACCGAACUCUAGGAUUUUUAUUUUUUGGUAAACUACCGAACUCUACGAUUAGGAGAGAAACAAGGGGAGAGAGAGUGAGUGACCGGAAAAAAAUAAAAAAUAAAAAAAAUAUGGAGGGAAGUGGCUGAUUCUUCUCUCAUUUUUUCCUAUUGUUUUUCAGAAAAAAAAAAAUAAUAAUAGUAAUUAGUCGUUAGAUUCGAGUAGUCGUUCGGUAUGUCACAUUUAAAAUUUUAUUAUAGGAAGCAUAAGGUUAGGCCAUCUCCAAUCGAAUUAGGUCUGAAAGAUCAUGUUUAUCCUUAUAGUUUUGCAAGAAAUUAUAUUUUAAUAAACAAUGCAUGUCAUAUUUUAUACCAUCUCUAACCGGGGGGCCAAAGAAUCAUGGGCCAAACAUAGCCCUUUGACAAUAAACGCAUCUCCAACCGAGAGGGCCAAAAUGUCAUAGACCAAAAAUAAUCCCCUAAAGAAUUUAUUAUUUUAAUUGAAUUAAUAUAGUUAAUUAAAUUAAACUACCGUAUUAAAAUAAGGUUUUCUGACAUAUUUUGAGUGCCACUUGCCACAAUAACGAAGAAAGCGUGGUAUUGUUGCACUUGCUAUAAAGUCAAGCUUGACAUUCUGCCGCUGGAGAACUGGUUGGCUGACUGGAAAUGGCCAACCCGUUGGCUUGAUUUGGGGGUUUUGGCCAGAUGGGGCCCAACAAGCCAUUUGGCCUAGCCUUGCUUGAAGACGGUUUUCUUGUCAUUCCAAGCUAUUUUUAGCCCUAUGACCAUUUGAUUUGAUCGGUUGGAGAUGACUUUAGGUGCGGUGAUUGUCCUUGAGAUAUCGAAGGUUCUGUGUGAUCGAAUACUUCGUCCUCCUCCAAAGCCGCCACUGUUGAGAAGGUUACUUGCCUUAUGCAAACAUUAUGAAUUGCAAGUGAUGAAUUGUUCUGAUGAUAAGGUUUAUUUUUUAACUCAUUAUGUUUCGAGUUUAAACAUUUUUCCCUCUCUUUAAUGUAUAUAUUAAUGAAAUAUUGUUCGUAAUAAAAAAAUAAAAAAAUGAUACAUUCUCAUUCAUAUAUAAGAUGAUCAAGUCUGAAAUUAUUACUUUUAAUGAGUGACUUAGUUAACCAUUUUCAUUUCUUAUGCGUUCAAAAUUAGACAAAUUCUUUGCAAACAUUAAAAAAAAAAAAAGAUAUUAAGGAGACUUUGAAACUAUUACAUUAUGGGAGGGGGAAUUUCGAACUCGGGACUUCUGAGUAGAACCCAAAUGCUUCUCCACUAGGAUAUUAGACUAGUGCCGGUCCUGAAUUUUUUGGUGCCUGGAGCGAAUAAUGUGCCCUUUUCCAGUACAACAACAUAAAUUAAAAAGAAAUAUUUAAAGAGGGCUGGAACCCAGUCGAAGCUGGGGGGCUAGGCCCUCACGCCCAUAUUAUAUUACUUUUAAGAAUAAACAUACAACUGGGGGAACAUAGUAUCGAAAUCCCGACGAUCAAAAGCAAAAUAUAUACAACCACUCCAAGCAGUCAACAUGGCCAUCACAUAUUGAAUCCAAAAUGUCAACGCCCCAUUGGCUGCAUAUAAAGUACAAACGAGCGGCAACUUCAGCCAGUUCUGCGAUAUCCGGCUGGAUGAGAGCAGCUAAAGACAUGAUUGUUCCCUAAUAACAUGAAUAAAUUGAGUAAACACCAAAAGUAGCAGCAAGGGAAGGAGAUGUGAAGUAGAUGAAGAGAUGUAAGAACUGUGAAUGUCCAGCAACAAAGACUUCGGAGCUUGUUGUCGAAUACCUGCAGCGCAUCAUUUCUGGUAGAUCAAAUACAACCAAGUCCUGCCAACUCCAAUUCCAAAAAUCCUACAGUAUAGCAUAAAUCUUAUUCUCUUCUGAUAAAGAUGUGUGUCCCUACCCAUAAAUCGAAACCUUCAUCUGCAAGGACGAAUCCCAUUUAUUCUUCUGAAGAAUUUAAGAACCAUGAACCACCUGGUCAAGAUCAAGAAAAGCCAGUAACCAAUUACAAUUGAGUUUGAAGCAAAUUAGAGCCAAAUUUAAAAUGUAUCCGAUGGAUGUUCAUCAAUUUACACAAUAGUUAGUUUCAAGAAAGGAAAUUUCAACAGAACCUGAAAACUUCAGAUCAGGGGGCACCAAAUAGUGAGCUACACAUUCAGAAUUUGAAAUAUUUCAAAUCAACUUGGUGGGGCCAAUAUGUUGAAAAAAUUGGAAGGAGCUAUGAAAGUAAGGCUUUUCGCUAAUCAGGCGUCUAGAGAAUCAAUAUUUUACUCACGUAUCAGUUACGGGGAACACUCCCCACCAGAGCAAUCUCAUUAGUCCUUCACAUCUCAAACGGCACAGAAAUUGCACUAACAAACACGACUCCUAUUAGUCCUUCACAUCUAAAAUCCAGGAAGUACCCAUCUUUCGUCUGAAUCUGGAAAAUAAGCAGAGCACUCAAUUUAACAAUCUGGGUAUCUCAAAGUUACUCACUUUAAUCACAAAUUUAACAAUUAAACAUAUAAAUGGGCAUUUUUUUAGUGAAAUAUUAGUAUCUUACUCACUGUGUGCUCGGAGCAAGAGUACCCGGAAAGCUCAAUGAGCUGUGCACAGAGGACUGCAGCGGUGAACGACAGCGACCGAUUCUGUAAAAUUCAGUCAAGUUUUCGGCAAUUUCUGCAGCGAUUUCGGAGUUCAAGAGGCUGAUAAGGAAAGCUGCGACUGAAGGACACUGGUCUGGAAGAAAGGCUCUGGUCACCGCUGUCGCAAUUUGUGAAGGAAGAAGUGCCCCAAAACAAUUUCGGCCCUGAACAGAUGCACUGUUUGCACUGGACCAGGGCCGGCACUGGCGAUAACGUCCCCCAAACAGUACAUAUACAGAUGCUAGAAAUAAUAAAUGUCACCUGAAACUACUAGAACCAUUCAAUUCUAGCGUCUACAGCUUUAGCAUUAGUUGGUACAAGGGACAUUCUUCUAAAGAGGGAGAUGAACUCGUUGAGGCUCUUAUUUAUUCCUCCUCUUGAGGUGUCCUUUUAGGCUGCUAAUUCCAGACGAUCCAAUCUCAUACAUCUUCCCUGCAAAAGCAUGUGUGCCAGACUUCAAGAUCAAAAUUUUCCAACAAAAGAAACUUAAAGAUCAAACUCGCCUGCGGAAUAAAUGGUGCACAAGGGUGUUAAAAAUGGUGCACAAGGGUGUUAAAAUCUUGACAUAUGUAUAUUUUUGGCAGAUUUUAUGUGAGCAUGCAACUAAAACUGGCAUAACAGUUUGAGUUGUAACUUCUCCAUUGUAUUUGUUAAGGCAAGACGGAUGUCAUCUAUGCAUUUUUCUGUAAAACUUAGAAGGCUGCAUAGCAGCUCUUGUUCGUUGUAUUGAAUACCGUGGUUUAACCGAUGAAUGCAGAGUUUGCUGAUGAUUCAUACGACAAGCAAUUGAAAAUCCCCAUCAUUUACACAAAUUCAGAGCAUUCAUCCACUGUAAUUUGCAGAUAUAGAAACGUCAAGAUAAAAGGAAAUGCAAAGUACCUUUCACCCAAAUUGGAAGAGCACCGGUGGCAUUAGCAAGUUAGCAACGGGAAUUGACAUACCAAUAUCUUCACAGUUUCUGCACAAGCACAAAUCAAAAGAAUUGUGGAUUUCAAAAUAUGCGGCCGUGGCUAGCCGUCUGACCACGCCAAUUCCACCAAAGCCGCCGCAACGCGGCGUAGUGUCCGAUUGAUUGCUUCAAAACAGAGCUUCGUAUCCAUGUGUUUAUCAGCAGAGAGUACCCAAAACCCCUGAAAAUUAUUUCUUUAUUCAGAUAAUAAAAUUUCCCAAAUUUCAAAUUUUAAUUCCGAACCAAAAAUAGGAUUUGAAUUUUGAUUACCUAGAAAUGGGGGGGGGGGGGGUUGGGGUGGAGAGGGACUCAGGCCAAGACAGAGCUAUGUGUCUGUGAUAAGGUGUGCCAAAUUACAGAGUGUGUCGGGAAGAUGUACAAGGCUUUUGCAGUUUCUCAGAUUUAAAUACCGAAGCCCCGUAAGCUGUUCAAUCCAGGGGGAAAGCUCUUUGAUAGAUGUUCCAUCCAAGAAAAGAUAUCUUAAUCCUUCCAUAUUUUCUUCAAUGCUUGGAAACACCUCAAAUUUUGUAGAACCGGAAAGAGAGAGAGAGACAAGGGACUUGAGCUGAGAAAUGCUGCUCGGAAGACUCUUAAGUUCCACGCAAUAUUUCAGGCUUAAAUAACUCAACCCCGUGAGAUUAUUAAUUGACAGCGGUAGUUCUUUAAUUUUUGACCCGGAUAAAUCAAGCUCUUCUAACUCCUCAAUACCUUCUAAAAUCUCUGGAAACAUCUCAAGAUUGGAGCAGUCAUAAAGAUUAAGGGUUUUGAGAGAUUUCAUACGAAUGCUGCUUGGAAGACUCUUAAGUUCCACGCAAUGUUUUAGGUUCAAAUGACUCAACCCCGUGAGAUUAUUAAUUGACAGGGGCAGUUCUUUAAUUUUGGACCCGGAUAAAUUAAGCUCUUUUAAUCCCUCAAUAACUUCUGAAAUCUCUGGAAACAUCUCAAGAUUGGUGCAGCCAUAAAGCUUAAAGGUUUUGAGAGAUUUCAUACGAAUGCUGCUUGGAAGACUCUUAAGUUCCACGCAAUGUUCUAGGUUCAAAUGACUCAAUCCCGUGAGAUUAUUAAUUGACAGGGGCAAUUCUUUAAUUUUGGACCCAGAUAAAUUAAGCUCUUCUAACUCCUCCAUACCUUUUGAAAUCUCUGGAAACAUCUCAAGACUGGAGCAACCAAAAAGAUUAAAGGUUUUGAGAGAUCUCAUACGAAUCUUGCUGGGUAGACUCUUAAGUUGCUUGCAAUGUUUUAGGUUGAAAUGACUCAACCCCGUGAGAUUAUUAAUUGACGGGGGUAGUUCUUCAAUUUUUGCCCCGGAUAAAUCAAGCUUUUCUAACCCCUCAAUACCUUCUGAAAUCGAUGGAAACAUCUCAAGACUAGAGCAGCCAUAAAGAUUAAAGGUUUUUAGACAUUUCACAUGAAUGCAGCUUGGAAGACUCUUAAGUUCCUCGCAAUGUUUUAGUUUGAAAUGACUCAACCCCGUGAGAUUAUUAAUUGACAGGGGCAGUUCUUUAAUUUUGGACCCGGAUAAAUUAAGCUCCUCUAACUCCUCCAUACCUUCUGAAAUCUCUGGAAACAUCUCAAGACUCGUGCAACCAUAAAGGUUAAAGGUUUUGAGAGAUUUCAUACGAAUGCUGCUUGGAAGACUCUUAAGUUCCUUGCAAAGUAUUAGGUUCAAACGAAUCAACCCCGUGAGAUUAUUAAUUGACGAAGGGAGUUCUUUAAUUUUUGACCCGGAUAAAUCAAGCUCUUCUAACUUCUCCAUACCUUCUAAAAUCUCUGGAAACAUCUCAAGAUUGGAGCAGCCAUAAAGAUUAAAGGUUUUAAGAGAUUUCAUACGAAUGCUGCUUGGAAGACUCUUAAGUUCCUCGCAAUGUUCUAGGUUCAAAUGACUCAAUCCCGUGAGAUUAUUAAUUGACGAGGGCAGUUCUUUAAUUUUUGACCAGGUUAAAUUAAGCUCUUCCAACUUCUCCAUACCUUCUAAAAUCUCUGGAAACAUCUCAAGACUAGAGCAGCCAGAAAGAUUAAAG